AUAACAAUAAAAAUUUGUUGCUAAACAUGAUGUGUAUUUUUUUUUCAAGGCAAUUUGGAAACACAGUUGUUACUACAGAUAUUCUCCUCAACUUAGAGAUAAAUACAAAUAUUAAAAUGCAUAUGAUCGCACAUAUUACUUGGAGCUUAGUAAGAUUUCAUAAAGAGAAGAAAUCAAACCACUUAUCAAUUGUUGCAAUCGUUCUAUAAGCUAAAAUAGCAAUAUAAUACAAGAAAAGGAACAUAUAGAUACUUGGCAAGAGUUCAUUAAGAAGUCGCAUCACAUUCGGGUGAGUUUGCUUCUGAUAUCUUGCUAGCGGGGGCUUUUUCUUGUCUUUCUACGUAUGCCGAGGGAAACUAACCAGCUUGGCCCUUGCAUUCACCUUCUGACCAUCCAGUAGGAGCCACCUUGAGAAGUUAUAACUAAAACAGUGAAUUAAACAAAAGUUGACCGUUCAAAGACCUAAGGGGAAAACUAAUUCUUUUACGUAGGAGGAGUGAAUUAGUUGUGAUCACUGAAAUAACAGCAUAACUAUGGAAGCAUAACAAGAUAUAAAUUCACACGUCUAUAAGGGUAAACUGGGUGGUUUAGAACUGAGCUAGCAACCCUACUAUAUUCUGAUUUGCACUUCAAUGUAAAAGGGAAUAUAUGGUAGGAAGAAAGAAAACCAACCAUCAUUUGUUAACUCAUUGCUUUUCAAUCAAAAUUUUAAGAACAAAAUGCCAUGUGCUUUGAACAUCAAAUAAGUAUAAGCAUUAGUUCUAAAUUCCACAUAUCAUAAGUUAGAAGGAUAAGUUAAUAGCAUAGUAGAAAAAUCUCUGUGUUGUUAUUUAGAGGGGAAAGUACCAGGCGAACCACAACAUAAUCAUCAAUUGAAAGACUUAGCUCUCCAUUUGCUUGAGCAUCAAAUGGAUGUAUAACCUGCAAGAUAAUGGGAUAAAUAGAACUUAAAUCUUAAAAAAAGCAUAACAAAAGCAGCAACAGUAGCAGCAGCGUUCAUUGUAACCACUAUGAUCAUGGCCAACAAAGAUAUAUUAGAAACAAAAUUCCAUUUUUACUACGACAUUAAUAUGUACUAUAUGAUAUCAUGACGAUAGGGUUACCAAGAGCUAUCAAAGUCCAAUAAAUUCUGUAUAACUUUAUGUAGUUAUUCAAAUUAUGGAUCAGAUUUUAAAUCUGAAAUUUUGACUGCUCUCCACAAAACAUGGCCUAUGCACAAGAAAGUCAUAGAUAAUGAGGAUUACAAGUGUCUGACAUCUUUUGAGUGAUGGAUUUAACAUGAGAGCUUAUGGUCAGUCAAUUUCCUCUGCCUAGCAAUAUAAGCUUUUUCGGCCAGAUUUAUCAUCAAAUACAUAGAUUGCCCCCAAGUCACAUCCAUAUAAACAUAGUUUUUCUAGGUAAACCAAGUAAGGAAAAUCAUAAUUCAGACAUAAUCAUAAAAAGACCCAUCUAACUUUCUUUGGCAUGCCUAACUCAGCUUUGAUGUUGCUGAGAUAUUGAUAGUAGAGACACAUGAUACUUCUAGCUCAUGCAUUCUAUCUAGCUCAUCUGACAGCUAUCUCUUUUUUAAUUCAUUAGUGUUUGCUAAACCUCAUGCUUAAGAGUCCUGUUCUCCUAAACAAAGUUUUCUAAGAAUGACUUCCUCAGCACCACAUUUGGACACUUUUAAAGCAAUUUUAUUUGGGGGAAAAGAAUUUUCAAGGUGUUAACUAAUAAAUUUUAAAAAAUAAUUACAAUUUGUCCUACGAUUAUAUGACAAUUUAUCUGGGAUGAACGGAUACAGACAAACAUCUUCCACUUUUAAGACUAAUCACUACUUCCGUAGAUGUUUUGCAAUAACACAAAUGCUUGACCAGAUGGUAGUGAUGGUAGAAAAAAAUUUUAUUGCUCUAAAAUUAAAAUAAGAAUGCAAUAUGUUAAGCAAAAGACUGUGCAACAUCAAAUUAAUUGAUAAGUUUGUAAUUCAGUAAAUUAACAACUUUCAUGGUAAAAUACAACAAAUUUCUUUUCAAAAAAAAAUCUUAAAAGACAGCAUUCAAUUUUGUGCGCAUCUUAUUUCUUAAGAUUUUCCAGGAGGGCAAUACAGGGACUUUCACCUACGCAAGAGAGCAAAAGCCUUACUUUCGCUAUAAAGUAGACGUCAUUCUGAUUAAUAUGCGUUUGCAAAUCAGCUCCAUUUGAAUCAGUAUUCUGAUAGACACAUGAGGCAUUUACAUCCAUUUCCAAAGUCACAUGUUGCGAGGAGGACUCAUUUGAUUGCUCCUCUAGGAUCAUCUAAUUCAAGUAGCAAGGGUUGGAAGAGAAUAAAAAGUCACAAUUAUUCUUUUGCAUAAGUGAGACGAAAAUGAUAAAUGCACUAUUAUCAGCAGUAAACAAGAAGAGAACACUCCAAGGAAUAGAUAGAUGCGGACAAGCAAGUUAAAAUGCAAAGUUCCAAACCUCCGCAUACAACUUCUCUAAAAUAGCAAUAAUGUGUUGAUGAUAUGUUUUCUCAGCAUCUACCUGCAAAGGCCCGAGACUAGGAAAACAACAAUAAAACCACUAGCUAAAGGAGAAAGUAAAUAAAGAAAUACACUUGACAUAAAUCUUGACAAGAAGCACAAUUUAAGACAUAACAAACCCCAAUCAUAUUGUUUAGAACUACCAUUCGUUAUUUCGUUAUUGUAGCAUUUCGAACAAGUGUUGACUUAAUUCAACAUUGUUGGAAAGAUAGGCUUUUAGAAGCGGAAGAAAGCCACUCAAACCAAAGUGAUUAUCCUUGUAUUGAUCAAGGGAUGUAAACAUAUUACAUUUGCAGGAUGAGUUUUAAUCACUCCCCUGAUUUAUUUGGGUUGCAGUAAAACUAAGCGAGCAACUGUUUGACUUUCAAGCAACAUCUAAAUCAGCUAUUAAAAUUCAAAUAAAAUCAUAAUAGAAUAAUAACAGGCCAUCUUGCAUCAAAAAUUAAGUUUAAUUUGUGAAUUUUUUUCUAUAGACAUGUUAGUUCCUGCUAUUGAAAUGUUAAAAGCAUUGAAAAAUUAUUCAAUAAAUUAUGCAAACAUUAAAAUAGAGGACAUAUUAAAAAGUUUCUAAUUACAAUGUUAUGAUUUCCUAUAUUUUAGCAUUUGCAUAUUUUAAUUUAUUUAAAAGCUACGUCGAUCAACUUUGGGCGUGAAGAUUUUAGCUUCUACGAGACUUGAUUGGAAUAUGCAUAAGGAAGAGUGUUAAAAUAUGAUGCAUCCAACGAAAGACAAACCACGUGUAGUCUUUUAAUUAAGCCAAGAGUAGUGCUAGAGAGAGAGAAGCACGAGAGAAGGACGAGAGAAUUUUGCCCCUUUCUCUCUACCCACUCAUUCUCUCUCUACCCCUUUUUUCAUUGUUUCUCUCGUCUUUCUCUCGUGUUUCUCUACACCAAGCAUUUUCCUUAAGCCAAAGUAGCAGCUCAAACAAAUGACACUUGGACCAACAUGCAAUCAUGAAGUGGCCGGAAAAAGGACAAAUGCAACUUUGGCUUAAAUAAAAAAUAACAUGUGACUUGACUUUUGCUGGACAUGCAUCAUGUUAUUACAAGACAACAGAAAUCAGUAUGAUAGUACUAAAAGUUGACAAUAACAUGAAGAUAAGAGGCAGAAUGUCAACAAAUGCAUAGGCACACACAAGAAAGUAUUAACUUAUAUACCAUAGCAAAAAGUCUUUGAUAUGUCAUCUGUUGCUGCUGUGAUUCAACUGACAGCAUGGCAGCUGUCGCUUCUCUACCAAGAGCCAUUAUUGUAGAUUUAAGCUCGGUCAAUCUUGCUUCUGCAUUUCGAAGCUUCACAGCACUCUCUGCUGAUAUAUCAGAUUCCCUAAUCUUUGAUCGGCGCCUAAAUACUUCAGCUGCCUGGUGAAAAUAUUCAAUAUAAAUCUAACAUAAUUCUAAUCUUGCCUUAUACAUGCAUAUGUUAACUCAAAGCUUACCUGCGCUUCAACUUCAUGUCGAAGUUUGUCAUAACGAUGAGUCAGGUGUCGAGCAUCUUCCAAAGGUGCUCCAUUGAUUAACGCCCGUAGUGGCUCAGAUACCGACAUGUCCAAAAACCUGUAACAUAGUUAGAAAAAUGAAAAGAAAGAGCAAAACCUCAAUUAAAAAGUUCCUCCAACAUAAUCAUGGAAUUUGGGCCUACUUCAAGGAUAUAUAUAAGGAUAAUUUAUGCAAUUUUGGGUCUAAGGAUGAUUCAUAUUAGGUUAGUGUUCUUCUCUUCUGUAUUUAAGGUUAAAAUAGAAAUAAACCUAUGAAAAUAUCUAAAUUAGGGCUGUAAGACUUCCACAUGCAUCCUUCAGUCUCAUGGAUUUGAUUUUACUAUAGAUGCAAGUGUCUUUAUCGAAAAUGCUUGGAGUCAAUUGAGAGAACUCACGGCCAAUAACUUGUCACACGCUAGUCUUUGCUAGUGAUGUAAGAAGUCACAAGGUCUCUUCAACAUUUGAACCAAUAAAAUUAUUAAGUCAUGGAUGUCACUAGCAAUGAUUUUAAUAUAAAACAUUACAUAUUUCAGAGUUGAAACUUUAAAAUGGAUUCUUUUAUUCAGUAUCUUAGAACUAAGUUUCCUUAUGAGAAGAUAAUAGUUUCAGUAGUAAUUUACAUAUAAUUUUCUAUAUUUGAAUUAUUUUCUAGUUAGGGAUGAACUAACCUGAUCACGAAGAAUCCCAAGCAAAGUUUCCCUCUCAUUUUCCAUCAAAUCAUGUGAAGUGCCAAAUUGAAGAGCAGCUCUUGCAACGCAAGAAUUGUCACUUUGAUUCUCCACUCCAUACUUGCAACAAUCUUCGGCCAACUUUCUCGCUACAAUAUUUGAAUACAAAAAUAUUGUACACGAGAACUAGUCAAGAAAAUUAAAAAAAAAAAAAAUCAAAUAUUAUAACGAGAGCAAGAGCAAACAAACAACCUAUUUCCAUUUGUUUCAAGCUUACUGCAACAAACCCUUCAACGCCACGGACAACAUUCCUCUGAAAAUGCUGCGCUACAGAGCAUAUAUUCCAAAUUAUUGUUCAGAUAAAACCAUACAAACCAUCAUAAUUAUUCAACAUACAUUAAGCUCCGUUUGGUAAAUACUUGCAACUUCAGUCCAGAAAAUACAGUUAAUUUUUAUUUAAAAAACAUCAUAAUUAUCAACAUACAUAUUUGACAAAAUUAUUAUUUAAAAAUCAUAACUAAUUACCAAAAGCCACAAUAAAUCAAUAUCAAACAGUCUUAUUAUUAGCUAAAGGAGGAUAGUACCUUAGCUGCCCUGGUGGAAUUGUAUAGAUUUUGAAGUUGUUGGUGACACUCAAUUUCAGAUUCAUCAACAUUUUCAAUACCAAGAUGGAGCAGAUGCUUCAAUACUGCCUGUACAAACCAUAAAAAACUAAUGAAAAAUAAAUAAAAUCGAGAAAUUUCACUAAAUAAAAGUCUAAAUAUAAUUUUUAAAAAAAGAAAAGAAACGGACUUGCUGCUGCUUGGCGACUUGUUCUCGGAGCUUGAUUGCCUGUUUCUUGAUAGCUUCCAUACUGUUUCUUUCAAAAAGCGACGACGGCUCAGCUCAUGGAGGUGGAAAAAAAAAAGUGUGAUGGAGAAAAAUAAAAAGGCAUGAAUAAUUUUUGACAAAAAGCGAAAAUCAAGGAAAGCCAGCUCUUUCCAGAAAAAUAAAAAAGAAAAAAGAAAAUUAUAAGUUUGAAAGGAGAAGAUGAUAGUGGAAGUGUGCGGUGUGGCUGCCAGCUACUUGGAUUUUACUGUUGGGUAAGGUAAUAGUAGAGAAUUUUUUUUUUUUUUUAAGAAAAAUAGUAGAGAAUUUUUUAAGAAGCUAGAACAGAGCAUGACAUUAGACUUUUGUGGACCAAAUUCAAAAGCCGAAUGGCACGGCCCAGAAGCUUUUGAAUAGAAAAACUUGCAUCAGCCUCAAUCACUUCUUAAUCGCUUGCUUUAACUGCAUCGCUCUCUCUGUGCUCUUCUAUAUAUGUAACGGUUAUGCGGUUGUAGUUCACGACUGAGGCUACGUGUUGGUUUGACGUGGCAGUUACGUUACUAGGGGAUAAAUAAGAUUGGUUUCAACAAACCCACUAAUUUUAUAAAAUUCGAGUAAUAUAGAAUAAAAUAAAAAAAAUAAAUACAAAAUUGGCUUUUAUUUUUUCUGGUUGACUGUAUUUUGUGUUCUCUUCCGGCACUACUACAAUUGUUCCCUAUAUAUUAGUCACACCCAUAUGUCAUUAACACAAGAAAUGAAAUCUAAUGUCACCUAUUUAGUUAAAGAAUCACUUAUGAAAAAAUUUUACCAUUUUGAUUUGAGGAUCCAUAUUUUGAACUGCAAACUAAUGUUCAUCAAGAACAGAGUAUGACUUAUGUGUAGAAAAUUUUAUGAUUUUGGCCCGAAAUAUAAGGAAAUUAAAUUAGAUGAGAAUCUGCCACUUUCUCAUGAAGAAAGGCAUGCGGAGCAUACCAUGGUACCAUACGGAGAAUAUUAGAACCUCCCUAGAAUAUCUUUACCCUGAUGUUUCUAACAAAAAUCUGCAUGUGGCAGCAAUUACUAGAUCUACAAUUUCCCAAAUAAUAUUUUGUGUUUCUUAAAAAAUUUGAAAUACAUAGUUGCACUUGCACACCGUGAGACAGUGCUACAAUCUACUGAGAUCUAAAUUAUAUGAGACUUUAAGCUACUAAUGUUUGCAUAUUUCUACAUGUCAAAUUAACAUUACCAUCUAUAAUCCUAAACGACAGAUGAUAAACGGCUUUUGGCCACUUAUUACUAGCAUCCACAAUUAAUUUUUGUUCAGCAAUCAGCUUAUUUUAUAGAAAUUGAUUUAGUCAGCAACAAACACUAUAAUACUUGAAAUUAGUUCUUGUUCUUUGUAAUUUUCUAUGAUUUUUCAUAUAUCAAUUAAUCUGCAGUGCCAAGAUGAGGUUUAGUUUUCAAACUAAAUAAUCAAGUAAGCAAAAAUACAAAUUCAGAGAUUAGCGGGGUAAACUAGCUGGGUGGUUUAGAACUGGGCUAGCUACCUCCCUGUAUUCCUAUUUGUAAGGUGAAUUAAUUGAAUCAUGAGAAAACAAUGUGACCAUAGCUCAAUAUGAGAUGAUUUCGGAGAGGCAUAUUGUUUUCGAGUGAAUUUGAUCCAUUAAGAGAUGAAGUGGAUUGAAGUGGAAAGUUUAAAUAACAAAUCCUUGUUCUUGAGUUUUACGACGUCGUUACUCCUUCAGGUGGCAGAUUAUGCAAGUGAAUUCAAAAACACAAUGCAUCAAUCACGGGGACAAAAGACGGGAUCACAGUCUAUGCAUUGAACAGUUACAGUUGCUGCUACCAAUUGUUCGGCAAAGAUCAAGAAGACUGAACGGGAAGCUAAUGCCAUCAAUGUCGUCUUCACUAUAUCUGCUGGGAAUGUAGGUGAACUUUCCUCAUUUGCAGCUGUCUAUACAUAGGCUUUUCCCCAGCUUAAGUACAAAUAAAUGAAGCUGCCUUGAAGGCUUUAUUAUUGACCCCAAUAAGGAUUACUAAUUGAAGAAGACUAUACGGAGUUAAUCUCACAUUUUAGUUCUCUCAAUUUCUUUCAGAAGUGCCUCUGAAAAUAGCUGCCAAACCGUUAGUCAGCUUGUAUACUCUGUUUUCUGGAAACAGAGUAGCAUAUUUAAUCGUUUUAAUUGAAUUGUCUUCGUAGCGAUCAUCAACAAACUCAUCAUAAGAUUUUUGAAGCACCCAAGGACUAUCACUGGGUUUCUCUUCUGGUUGAUUUAUUAAUUAAUCAAAGAACGGUUGGAUGAAGUGCAAUGAUGGAGCAAAAUUUACAAUGUCUCCGGUUUCUCCUGACCAUCGGACUUUUGCAGUGAGAACAUAUAACAAAAAGACCUUCAUCAAAAUUUGUAGACUCCGGGUAUGGAUUGGAUCGAGUUUUUUGUUUGAUAUUGAAGAACCACUUUACUAUCGCGAUAUAGAUUAUGUGCAAGGGGUUGUCUACUGUUCUUUGCCUUGUGCUAUGAUCGGUGCUUUUGACGUUGCCCCGAAACAGUGGAAAAUACUUCGAUUUCCUCCGUUUGAUGAUGCAAAGAACUGGUUAAUGUACGAUUACCUAAUUGACUCAGGAUCAAGUAACAACAACAAUUUAUUAAUAGUAGUAUCACAAACGAAGAAGAUUUCGGAGAGGGUGAUGUAUGCCUAUACCGUUUACAGGUUUGAUCCACAGGGGAUGAAGUGGUCUCAAGUGGAAAGUGAUUUAUUAAACAACAAAUCAUUGUUCUUGGGUCAUACCUCAUGAUGUCAUCAAGUGGAAGAUGAAGAUUAUGCAAGACGAAGAUCGUUUGAUAUUGAAGAAUUUGAACAGAAAGCCCAUAGAAAGUACUUAAAUAAGCAUAUUCUUGUUGGGGUAGAAUAUUAAGAAAGGAGUUGUCUACUGUGUGUUGCGUGAUUAGGCUAUGAUCUGUGCUUUGAACAUUGCCCUCAAAACAGUGGAAAAUACUUCAUAUCCUCGACAUGAUGAUGAAAAAUUGGUUACCGAUUACCUAAUUGACUCAGUGACAACAAUCUAUUAAUAGCACAAUUUGGCGUGAUGCCGUUUAGGUAUAUGGUUUUCAAGUUUGAUUCAUCAGUGAUGAAGUGGACUAAAAUAAGAUGUUUAAAUGAUAAGUCAUUGUUCUUGGGCAUAUCGUCAUUACUACUUCUAGUGAUCAAAGAUGAAGAUGAAGAUGAAGAUGAAGAUGAAAAUUGUGCGAGUUCAAGAUUACCAUCAACUCAAUUUUAUGAUUGGAGUGUCUCACCGUGACUCAGACAAAUUCUGAUUCAACCUCCUUCACCAAUGGAUUUUGAUUAGUUAUUUUGUGAUCAAGCAACUUAAUUAAACUCACAGUUUGUUAGUCUAAUUUUAGUUUUACUGUGACCACUAUUCAAGGUAAGCGAAAGUUACAGAUGUGGCAAAAUCAAUAAUUAAAUUCAUAAAAUGUUAAAAAAUAAAACUUAUAAAUUUUGCAUGACUACUUACUAAUAAAUAAAUAAGUUAGAAUGUAGUUAGUUAAUUUUACACCAUAUUAUAUAUUAUUCGAUAAUAAUAUAAAAUAAAAAGAAUUAAAAAAUAAAUAAUUGAAUAAACAAAUAUGACUUUCUAAACAGUAAAAAUUCUAGAGUUAAAAUUUAUAUUAUUAUUUUAUUUUUUAAAAUUGACAUAUUUCUAUUAUCUUACAUGUACACAGAUUUUGAGAGUUGAGAAGAAUAUAUUUAAUGAAGCUUGCUAACAUUUGGUGGGAUAGCAAGUAAGGGUAAAUAAGAUUUUUUUGUUAUUUAUUUGAAUUAUAUCUAUUUUGUUCAAGUUAAAAUACUAAAUAUAAAUUGGAGGUAGACAUUUUAACAGAUCAUCUAAGCUCUCAAAUCUGAAAUUUUGUGUAGAUUUAAAUUCAUAAUUUUAGUUAAUUUUCAUACAUUCAUAUAAACAAAUUUAUGAGAUUUUUCUUUUCAGCAUGUUAUAUUUUGAAACUUUCAAUGUAUUAUUCUAGCUUUAUUUAAAUAAUUAAUUUAUUUAAAAUUUAUUUAAUUUUGAAUUUGAUCAAUAGUAAAAUUAUUUUUAUAUCAAAUUUUUUUAUUUAAAUAGUUCGUGGAUUGGACAAAAUUAAAAAUUUUUAAUCCACAAAAUGGUGGAUUAGAUAUGAAUUGGGUUAAAUACACAUUCGAUCCGCAGUCGUAUGAAUUUGAUUUGGAUUGAAUUUCAUCAAUCCAUGGAUUAGAUUGGAUUGAAAAAUUUAUUAUCCGCAAAAUCGUGGAUCGAAUAUGGACUGAUGUCCAAUCAGCAAAAUCCAAUCCCCGAACACUCCUCUAUCAAAAUUUUCAAGAAUAUUUUUUAUCUUACAAAUUUUUUUUAAAGUCAUAGUCUAAGGGCGGCCCAAUUUCUACUCCAUCCAUAUAAGCGGAGUUCAAAUCUCAUACCUCUUAUCUCCACACAAGAGAUUUAACCAAUUGAAAUAGCUAGCACCCACAAGUAUACUAGUACAGCAUCUCUUAACGUUUAACAUACGUAAAAUUAACGCCAUAGCUAUUGAUAAACACAUUGUUCAAUAUAUAUGAUCAAGAAUCUGAUCCUGCGAGCAACAGCAGUCAGAAGAACCAUUAUAAUGCCUAGCUCUUAUCCUGGUUAAUCCUCUGGCCCGAUGCUUCAUCAUAGUGAUUUAAAAAACCAACAACAGCUCUCUAAAAGAGAUGAAGAUAUCAUCUACGUAAAGAACAUGAGACGGAGAUUCACAACCCAUAAGAACUGAGAUAAAUUGGACCAGACCAGUAAUCUUGAGAUAAGUUAAACUGUGACUUAAGUUGAAAUCAGAGGACAGGAAUUUUAAAAUCUUUCGGCUAAGCCCCUGAGGAAUUUUCUAGAGUACGACUUCUGCUUACCUCUGUUUAAUUUCUCUUUAUAUUUUUCUUUCAUUUCAUUAAUAAAGUCAAAUAAUAAAUCAAAGAACGAGGGAAGAUUUUUCCAAGUCAUGCAUUAUUUGAUUACCAUCAAUCAAGAAACCGACCAAAUUAAUUUCUCUCCGUGAUUUUUAAAAAUUAAAAAAAAAAUAUUUGAGCAUAACAUCAUUAAUUAUAGAGUGGAUCAAACUGCGUUAAUCAUGAACUUUGUUGUGUUAAUUAUUUCAAUCCCCGAUUACGCAAUUUUUAAAUUAUAGCCUAACGGUGGUCUCAUCACCACGUGUGUGAUUUUCUUUUGCCAAUAGGAUCUGUAGAGAGCUUGAUCUCACCCAAUAGCAAAAUAAACUUCCUAAUAAGUGAAGGCAUAGUAUAAAUAAUUCACCCCCAUAUUAUUUAUUAGCAGCUUGAUUAUUUUAUAUGCAUCUUUGAUUUAAAUUUUUUUUUCCCAUAAUUGCUACUAUGUUCGAACUGGUCAUGAAUUAUCUAUAAGAUUUUUCAUGUUGCUUUUAGGUGCAUUGGAUUUUUUUUAGUUUAGUGCAAGAGUAGAGGAAGGCAAAUUAAGAAAAAGGAUAAAGAUCUAUGAUUAGCUAUUUUGGGAUGUCUCAUAACAUAUUGAUGGUAACAUUAUACAUAUGUAUAUCUAAAAAAUGGGGUUGGAUCAAGAGCCCAUUAAUAAUCAUAGAUUAGCUUAUAUAGCAAUUUCACAAGCACAUGUUAGCCUAUGUUGAGCUUUAUUAUCAAUAGUUCAUAGUUCAUCGGUGCACUGCAGGUUUACUAUUUGAAGUAAAUAUUAUGGUGCGUGCAUUUUUUAUAAGGCCAACUGCUGAAUUUAGCAUUGAAACUUACAAAAUGUAAUAGAGAGAGGUAGAUAACAGCCACAAAACACUAAGAUUGGAAAUCAGGGCUACUAAAUACUAUUACAAGCCCUUAGAAAAGACACUGAUCAUCCUAGAAUGUAUAUACUGAAAGUAAGAAAUAUUAAUCGCAAAGUUAUGUGCCAACAAAACUAUUGACUACUUGUCUCUAGCAGAAGGUAUAUAUUUUUAACUUCAGCUCUCUACUUUGUUCUAAGAACUAGGCAAAAGAAUGAAACUUCGGUGUCUAAAGUUUGCCGCUUGAAAUAUUUCACUGUCUAAACAUUCACUCACCACUUAUUUCAUAAAUGAAUUUUGUCUAACUAUAUGUUGAUAAAGAUAUUAGAGGUAAUAUAAUGCAUUUAAGACUUAACGUAUAUUUUUUAUUAGUAGAGUGUAGAAUUUUUAAGAAAUAAAUUAUUAAAUUACUAUAACUAACAUAUUAUUUUAAAGUUAUGUUAAGAAAAGAAUGAAAAUAAAAAAUAAAAAAAUAAGGGUAUUCUAAAACUUUGAUCCUUUUAAAAGUAGUUUUUGACGUAAAUAAAAUAAUUUUUAUUUUUUUUAAAUCACAUACUCUAGUUAAAAUCAAAUUUGUAUUUAUAAAGAUUGUAAAAUUUUUUUUAGCAUUAAUAUUUGAAUACUUUCAAGAUAAGAAAUAGGGUACUAAUUAUGCUACAACAUUAUUAUAGCACAUAAAAAGACAAUACCCUUUAUAUUAUUAUACUAUCGUUUUUGUUAUGAUAGUAUUUUGUUAGUGGUCAAAUAUUACUUUUUUAAAUAAAAAAGUAGACAAAUGUAAAUCAAUUUUUAAUCUCUCCUAAAAUUCUAAUUCCUAGUUACCAAACAAAAUUGUUUGAAAAUAAUUUGGCUAAGUGCAUGGGUUCUUAAAACUAUAGGUGAUAGAAGUUACAAGCACAAGCAAAUUUGACGGUCCAUUUUAUAAAAUUUUUAAUAAUUUUUUAUUUACCAUUUUACCACCUAUAUAAUGAGUGCCACAUCGACAAAUCAAUUCAUUUGCAAAUUAUAUUAAUUUUGUAAAAUUCAUUUGACUUGCUAAACCCUUCUUAUCCCCUUUCUCGACUGUCAUACCCUAACCUUAUUUCCCGUGUCCACACUUGACCACGCUCAAUUCAGGCCAUCAGAUUAUCCUGGACCCACAUUAAUCCAACUGCUCACAAUGACCGACAGCCUCUCCAUCUCCAUUUCAAGCUUCCUCUUCAACUGGCUUCUGCUUCCGUCGUACUCUUUCUUGGAUUCGGAGUCCGUAUUUGCUCGGCCGGUCCCGCACAGCUCCCUCUCACUCCAAUUGUCACCCAACAAGACCAAUUGCUUAACAUUGACCGUAUGGCAAUUGUCCGUAUUUCUUGGAUUCGGAGUCCGUAUGGCACAGAACAAGAAGAGGAUGAGAAAUUGAAACAAGAAUUUGAGAAUUGGAAAUCGAAAACGUACGCAUUGACCGUGCCUUUGAGGGCAAUUACUUUUCUUGAGAAUUGAAGUUUGGUAAUGUAAUUUGUUCUCCAUCUGUGUUCCCUUUGUAGUCAUUUCAUUUAUUUGUUUGUUUGCUUUUAUUUGCACUUACGAAGUCUCAGAUAUAUCUACGCAGGAAUGAUGCAGGAGAAAUUGAUCCUCGAGCUUACAAGAAAAGUAAAUUUCGAAAGCAUAAUUUGGCUCCGAUUGAGGUAAUAAUUGUCUUUAAACUCAUUUAGUUUUAUAUCAAACAAAAUAAAGGCUGCCUUUCUCUUCAAUAUUUUUUAUGAUAAUAUCUUUAGAAGCAUCUCAUUGACGGGUAAUCAUGGUAUCCCUUAAAGAGUCUAUAAACUCAAUGAUAUUUUCUUCUGCAAAUGGUUCAUUAAACUUCUUAGACGUAGUUAAAUGUACACUAAGAACAACGAGAAGCUAUGCCGCUGUAGCAUGUAGUGAGAUCUUGUUUGAAGUUGUUUUCUGAAAUGAACUGCCAAAUGGUAGUUUUUUAUUUCUUGGGUGCAUUUGAUGACUCUUUUCUCCUCAUUUUAAGCAUGUACCUGCUUGGAAUGGGAAGGAAUAGGCUUCCGAGUUGUUAUAUAUGUUGACAUGCUCUGAUCAUUACACAAAAUGUUCAAAUUGGAAAUUAGAAUGAGAUAUUUGUCGAUGCUUUUUGAGAGAUCUGCAUUCUAUGCACCAUAACAUGAUUAAUGAAAACAGGUUUAAGGACUGGAAAGAUCUGUGGCGGCCCAAGCUUGCAGGAAGGAUUUCAAUGGUUAAUUCUCCCAGAGAGGUUAUUGGUACAGUUUUGAAGUAUAUGGGAGCAUCAUACAAUUCAAACGACAUUGAUUAGCAAGUUGCUGCUGGGAGGAUUGCUGUUCAGCAGAAUCUGGCAUUACUGGGAAACCAGGUACUCUUAAAGAAAUGAUAUCUGGUCAAUGCAUAUUACUGCCUGAGCUGAUUUUGUUUGUAAAGUCUGCCUCUUCAUACAUAUGAAUGCAUAUGUUAGUGUUUUCUUCUCCUUUUAAUACACAUGAAUGCAUAUGUUAGUGUUGUCUUCUCCUUUCCAUAAAUAUGAAUGCAUAUGCUCUGGGUGUUGGUUACUACUUCAAGUGGAAGGUGAAGGUGAUGCAAGUGAUUUCAGGAGUACAUAUAUUCCAAGGAUGCUGGACUAUUAUUGCUUCCCCCCAUAUUUCAGAAUUUUUUGUCAACCUCCUCCACUAAGGGAUUCCAAUUGAGUUACAAAUAUAUUUUCUGUAGCUAUGUUUUAAAGUUUUGGUCUCAUGUUAAUUUUUCUAAUUACUAUUCUUCAACAAAUCUCUUUUACUUUAAAAAACUGCUACAGUUUGAUUUUACUGCCUUAUAUCAUUGAACAUUGAUACAUGGAAUUUGAAAUCAGACUUGUAACAACAGAUAUAUAGAUAUAGAACAUGCAUAUAAUCUCCAUUUCGAGCUCCCUCUCCAACUGGCUUCUGCUUCCGUCGUACUCUUUCUGGGAUUCGGAGUCCGUAUUUGCUCGGCCGGUCCUGCACAGCUCCCUCUCACUCCAAUUGUCACCCAACAAGACCAAUUGCUUAAUCAAGGCACAGAACAAGAAGAGGAUGAGAAGUUGAAACAAGAAUUUGAGAAUUGGAAAUCGAAAACGUAUGCAUUGACUGUGCCUCUAAGGGUUGUUUCUCUUCAGAAUUCAGUGCCUCAAUCUUGGGUUAAGGAUUUUAUGCGAAGUCAAGGAAAGAGAUUGAAGUUUCAGAUGAAUUUGUGUGCUAGCAUUGGUGGGAUCUUUAACAAUUUAUCUGUGCCCUUUAACAAAGUUAAGGGUAAGUCAGCUUCGUAUACGGCUGCUGAUUUGGUUAGUGUUGGUGAUUCAUGGCUCAGUUUUGCGAUUAAAAAGAGAUUGAUUGAGCCAAUAGCUGAAGCUGAAGAUCAAGAUUGGUUCAAAUGCUUAUGUCACAAAUGGAAGGUAACAUACUAACAUCUUUAUCUUUGACCCGAUAAUUUUUAUUGUCUUACAUUGAAAUUUGGUAAUGUAAUUUGUUCUCUAUUUGUGUUACCCUUUGUAGUCGUUUUAUUUAUUUGUUUAUUUGCUUUUAUUUGCACUAAUGAAAUCUCAGGUAUAUCUACGCAGGAAUGAUUCAGGAGAAAUUGAUCCUCGAGGUAAAAUAUGGGCGGCACCAUACAGGUGGGGCACAACGGUGAUAGCCCACAAGAAAAGUAAAUUUCGAAAGCAUAAUUUGGCUCCGAUUGAGGUAAUAAUUGUCUUUAAACUCAUUUAUUUUUAUAUCAAACAAAAUCAAGACUGCCUUUCUCUUCAAUAUUUUUUAUGAUAAUAUCUUUAGAAGCAUCUCAUUGACGGGUAACAAUGGUAUCCCUGAAAGAGUCUUUAAACUCAAUGAUAUUAUCUUCUACAAAUGGUUCAUUAAACUUUGUCGUUGUAGUGAAAUGUACACUCAGAGCAAUGAGAAGCUAUGCCACUGUAGCAUGUAGUGAUGGCACUUAAUAAGUGAGUUGCUAGGAUGUGAACUAGAAAAAUUAAAUAUUGUCUCCUUGGGUAUGCUAGCUCAUAAGUCAGGGUUAAUAUUAGAGCUUAAGUUACUAUAACCAUGAGACGCUAUUGACUGCCAAUUAAAAUAUCCAUUAAAUUGUCUAGGAAGUUAUGAAAGUGGAGGUAUCUUCCGAUUUCUAAGGCCAGAUAGUAGACAUCAUCCAGGAUCCUAGGAAAGUGCAGUUAACCUCCUGCUCGAUGCAAUUAAUAAAUUUGGUCAAUGCCACUGAAACCUGCAAACCGACGUCACAAUGCAAGAUGAGCACUUCAAAAUGGGACAGACGGUCAGUAGCACUAAAUUUUUCUUUCCCAAGAUUGAGCAAUUGGUCUAACAACUAACCCCUAUUGUAGGUUGAUCAUUAUUUUUCCAAUUAUGUUCAGUUUGACCCAAAAAGUUACAGAAUCUUGAGCUGAAUAUUGUCACUGAACACUGUCAAUGUCGUUUAGCAUACCCAACUAACUUGAGUUUGGUAAAACAAACACACUGUGUGUCUCAUCUCUCACAAUUCAAAUUAUCAUCUGUAAUGAUGGAGAAUUUUUCCGAUGUAUGAAGUAUGCUUUGAUACGUGUACCUUGGAGAAGAUAUCUCCAAAUAAAGAAUAUGGAGAGAAAACGGUUCAGUAGUUUAUUAUUCUGUAGGCAAUUCUUGUCUCAAAAAUGGUCAAAAUUUAAAUGAAUAAGGACAGGGGAUCUUCAUUCUUUUUUCCCUUUUUUAUACCAAGAUAUCUCUCAACCUUUAUAUAAUCCCCACUGGAUAUCUGCUUCUAAUAAUUAAAAUAAAAAUUUCACCCGCACAAAUAAAUACUGACCAAGCUCUAACAAUAAAAAGUAACAUCUUUACUCAAGUAAUUUACAGUUCCUCAUCAUCUUAGUGUGAGACUAUCAUUACGUUCCAAAAACAUAAUAAAACUGGUUUGAUCCUGUUUAUUGAUGUUUAAAUGUUGUUCAUUGUGACAUGUAGAAAUGAUGAGGCGAAGUUUAUUUGGUCAUCAAUUAGUAAGAUCUUGUUUGAAGUUGUUUUCUGAAAUGAACUGCCAAAUGGUAGUUUUUUUGGGCAUAUGAUGGCUCUUUUUUCCUCAUUUUCAACAUGUGCCUGCUUGGAAUGGGAUGGAUUAGGCUGCAGAGUUGUUAUAUAUUUUGAGAUGCUCUGGCCAUUGCACAAUUUGUUCACACUGGAAAUUAGAAUGAGAAAUUUGUUGAUGCUGUUUUGAGAGAUCUGCAUUCUAUGCACAAUAACAUGAUUAAUGAAAAUGGAUUGUAGGACUGGAAAGAUCUGUGGCAGCCUGAGCUCGCAGGAAGAAUUUCAAUGGUUAAUUCUCCCCGAGAGGUUAUUGGUUCAGUUUUGAAGUAUAUGGGAGCAUCAUACAAUUCAAGCGAUAUUGAUUCGCAAGUUGCGGGUGGGAAGAUUGCUGUUCAGCAGAAUCUGGCAUUACUGGCAAACCAGGUACUCUUAAAGAAAUGAUAUCUGAUCAUGCAUGUUAUUGCCUGACAACUGAUUUUGUUUGUAAAAGUCUGCUUCUUCAUACAUAUGAAUGCAUAUGUUAGUGUUCUCUUCUCCUUUUCAUACAUAUGAAUGCAUAUGUUGGUGUUGUCUUUUCCUUUUCAUACAUAUUAAUACAUAUAUUGGUGCUCUCUCCUGAGAUGGAUGCAAUAAAGGCUUUUGGUCCUAAAUUUAGCUGAAGAAAUGGCAAGGGAUGUGAGAUUCUGUCUCAUUAAAUUAACAAAAACCCAAAACAAUGAAAACCGAUAAUAAUGUGGUGGGGGUAAAUUGGCACCAUUUGGUUUGUUUCCUUAAUGUGAAUACACGAGCAAUAGGGACUAACAAAAUGAAGUGACAACAACAAGUCAGUGUCCUUUGAUGGAUGCAUUUUAGGCAGAAAUAGGUUUGUAAUUGACCAAUUUCAAAAAAUUUAAAUUAUGUGGUUAUUAGCUGUAAUGAAGGGGAUAGUAGGUGCAAUCAGGUGGAUCCAGGAAAGUUCAACAAAGUUCUGGUAUGGCAUAGUGAAAUUGGUUUGUGCAACUCAAGAGUCUUUCAGGUGAACGAUGAUACGUUUUGAUUUAUAAAUGUUAUAAAUCUACCGUCCAUAGUAUUCUAGUAGAGUCAUCUAUAAGUUCUAGUUAUUGAAAUUGUCUACUUUGUCCAGUUUGAGUUAAGGGCACAUGUAAUAGGAAAAAUAGUAUUCACAUCUUUUUGGUUACCUAACAUUUGAUCGAUCCUAUUAUGAGGGCUUCAAGAUGCCUGACAAUAUGUAGAAUGCCCAUGCUCCUCCCCAUUGUUUAUCUUAUACAAUAAUUUGUUUUAGAUGCUAAUAUAUUUGUCGAUACCGGUAACGAUAUUACAAUAUCUGCGUUUAUUGGGUUUUACAUAGGUUCGACUGUUUGACAGUACACACUAUCUGAAGGCAUUUGGAAUUGGAGAUGUAUGGGUUGCUGUUGGGUGGAGUAGUGAUGUUCUUCCUGCUGUCAAACGUAUGUCUAAUGUUGCAGUUGUUGUUCCCAAGUCUGGUGCUAGCUUAUGGGCCGAUCUUUGGGUAUACCCAUGCCUGCCAUUCUACUUCGAUAUUCACAUUGUUAUCUCCUUCAUUUUAGCGAUCAUAAACUUGAUAAUGUGACUAAUAAGUUCGUAUUCUCUAUAUAGGCAAUCCCUGCUGCCUCAAGACUUGAAACAAAAGAAAUUGGAGGGCGAGUCAGAGGUCCAUCUCCAUUAAUCCAUCAAUGGAUAGAAUUCUGCUUGCAAACAGCGAGAACAUUGCCUUUCAAGCAAGAGGUUAUCCCGGGCGCAUCUCCCUCUGCCCUUGAAAGUACUCUGGUUAAGUUGCCUGAAGAACUUCUGAUGGGUAAACCAAGUCUGGAUACUAACUUAAUUGCUGGAGUACCCCCGGCUGAAAUUCUGGCCAGAUGUGAGUUUUUGGAGCCAUUGCCUGAAGCUACAUUGUCAGAUUAUGAGUGGCUGGUUGCUAAUCUGCAAAAACCUGCCCCCGUCUUGAUGAAAAGGCUGCAACAUUACUUGUCAUCAUUAAUCCAAAGCUUUCUAGCAAAAGCUACAUUGAAAAGUUAAUGGCACUGCAUGCCAGUCAUUGUAAUGCUGUCAGGGCUAUUGGGUCAGGGCAAUUAGGUAAGAGCAUAACUUCAUUAGGAAAAGAGGCUUCAGCUACGUUAAAUAUUGCAGGAUGUACUGAGAUGGUUGAAGUUCUUGAGGUUUUACGAGAAACGAAAGAUGAGUGUUUGUUUGAACAAAGUUGUUGCCAUCUUGCAAGAUCACUGAGCGAAUGCCACCGAUUUCUUAAUCAUUGUAGCCUCCAUAGUUGAAGUUUCCUUAUUUGAAGCUGUUUAUGCGUACGCUUUUUCCCUGCUCAAGUACAGGAAAUUGAAGAAUUAACCAGAUGUGAUAUGCUGAAAGAGGGAAGUUUUCUUCCUUGAACGUGGCCUUGUGAUUUGUCUUGAAGGAAUAGGAUGAUCACUGGCAAGAACCCUAUCAAGGUAGAUUUUAUGGUGCUAACGUAUUAUUAAGCAUUUUGUUACAUCAGCAAUGAUGCUUCCAUAGCAUGAAAGUGUUUAAAUUUAACUGAAUGAUCUUGAUUAAUCAAUUAUGAGUUUUAAUCGAGUAAAAACUAAAUACAAUCAUCGUUAGCAAAUACUGAAAUUGGGUAAAUAUGAUCUUGAUAUUGAAGAAUCUGAAAACACAACCCACACAGGGAAUCACCCUUCGCGUGGGGAUGGAGAUGUUUACUGCAGCGAUAUUGAAUAUGUCCACUGCUCUUUGGGUUAUGGUGCGACUUGCCCUGAAACAAUGGAAAAGAUUAACAUACCCUGCAAUGAAUGAAAGCGGCUGGACUAAUUCUGAUUACCUAAUUGACUCAGGAUCGGGUGGCAAUAAUGACAGUUUAUUAACAAUGCACAGUUCCGAGUACUUUUCCAGGAUCAGAUAUUACGUGGUCUAAUGUUGAUAAUAAUAGAUUAUCAAAUGAGAGAUGCUGAGAGAUGCUGGUCUACCUUUGCAAGCCCCCAGAUUUAAGAAUCUUUUGAUGAUAAUUUACCACCUGUACCUGUGCCGGAAGAUUCACCUAGCACUGAAAAAGAUGAUAAUUUAAUUGAUAUGGAUAGUUUUCAUAACACUUUUAAAUCAUCUAUAUGUGAACUAUUAUUGACGCUAUUUUGUUGUAAACAAUCUUAUUCAAUUAAUAUAUAAUUUAAAAUCAUUAUGUAAAUCAAUCUAUUACUUUUCAUGAUAUUUAAUUGAGUUAAAACUAAGUGCACCCAAUAAAUCUCUUUUCCUUUAAAAAACUGUUACGCUUUGAUUUUAGUGCUUAAUAUUUACGGAACUCCGGUACAGGGAAUUCGAAAUCAAACUCGUAACCACAGAUUAUCUAAUUGCAAGUUUUUGUCCAUAGUUGCUGAUUGUAGUGAUUAUCUAAUUGACUGAGGUGACAACAAUUUUUUUUUUUAAUUUUCAAUAGCAUAAUGUGGAAUUCAAUAAUUAAAUUCUCCUUUUUAAUUUGUUUCCAAUUAAAUUAUUAAUUACUUAAACUCUGUUUUAAGUCUUUAAUUUUAUGUCUUGGCGUAUAUGCAGGGUUGGAUUCUUGAGCGUGUUGGACACGACCAACAAUGAAAUUGACAGUAAACAAACAUUACAACGCGUUGAGUGUCGACUCCGCUAGCUGCCCUACAAGUCUACAACUUUACAAACAACAACUGAGUACACACAUUUGAUUCUUGGGACCCUUCAAUGAAUUUCUAGCCCGGUUGACUCCACCGACAAAAGUUUUGGAAAAUAAAAAAGAAAAUUCAUAGAAUUCCACCAAAUGCAAAACGCGUGGAAUUUAAUUUUCGGCCAUGUGGACCAAAACAUAAUUUAAUGAAAAAAAAAGAUAAGAUUUCUAAAAUGUGUGGAAGGUGAUCCAUAUUUUACUGAAAACAACUUGUUAAAUUUUUCAAAGAUUUAGAAUAUUUGGUCAUAAAUUACGCUCAUGUUAAUUUUUCCGCUAUUGACUAUCAUAUUCUAGACUCACUGGUACCUUUCUUGAUGAAGGGUACUUAGUCUCUCUUCUCCUCUUAUAAAAAUUAUAUUAAGUGAUUUCUUAUUAUAAUAAAUAGUCUUUAAGAACGUAUAGAUUUAUUGUUUUCGUGACCAAAUUAUGCCAGCUUAAGGUUGCGACUAUUAAUAAAAUUAAUAUUUAAUGUUUAUGUUAAAAGAUAUAAGAUUUUAUGCAUUCAUUAAUUGUUAUUAGCUAAAGGAUUAAUUAUUUUUUCAACCCAAUCAGUUGAUGCAUCUGCAAAAAAAAUUUCUUUUAUUGACCAUAAUUAUAUUCCGGGUACAAUAAAUUAUCUUUGGUGCUUGGAAAAUUUGACUUCUUACUUCAAGUUUGAUGUGUCUCUCUCCAUAAGCUUACUGGAAAUAUAUCCUUUUGUAUUAUUAAUAAAGUGAAAUUUGUUGCUCCUUCCUUCUAAAUCUAAACAGAGUUUCACAAUUUCACCAACUUGGAAUAUUUGACAUUGGACUUUUCCUCUCUCCAUAUAAGCCUUCUGCAAAGAAUUGCAUCGUUAUUCCCUUCAUUAAAAAAUCUGUCGAUGUCUGGUUGUGAAGUCAAUGGUGUCCUACGCGGUCAAGGUAAAAGAAAAGUGUUGAUUGUGAACUCACUCAAUGGUGUCCUACGUGUUCAACAUUUUUAUUUAUUAAUCUUUCUGCUAGAUUUUCCUCAUUUCAAGAGUUUGGAACAUUUUGACCAGCUUUCUUCAAAUCAUCGGUGAAUCAAUGCCUUCUCUUAAGUACUUAUCACUGUCAGAUUCUACUCUUGGCACUAACAGCAGCAGGAUUCUUGUUCGAGGUUAAUCAGAUGCUCCCACCCUCCCUUCUUAAUCUAUAAUAUUAAUUUUCAAUUAAAUAUUCAAUUACACAAACCAAUCACUUAUUAUAAAAGAACAAUACGCAUUCAUUAAUUUUUAUAUUGUAUUAAUAAUUGAUGAAUUUAAUAAAUUUUCAAAUAUUGUAUUAAUAUUUGACAUCCAUUGAAGAGCUGUAUCUUUCAAACAAUCACUUCCAGAUCCCAAUUUCACUUGAACCAUUUUUCAAUCACUCACGACUCAAGAGUUUCUAUGCUGACAACAAUGAAAUAAAUGCAGAAAUAAUUGAGUCGCAUUCUUUGACUGCCCCAAACUUCCAAUUAAAAUAUCUCUCAUUGUCUUCCGGUUACGGAGAUGGUGUCACAUUCCCCAAAUUCCUUUACCAUCAACAUGAUCUGGAGACUGUUGACCUCUCACAUAUAAAGAUGAGUGGAGAAUUUCCAAAUUGGUUGUUGGAAAACAACACAAACUUAGAAUAUCUUUUUUUGGUUAAUGAUUCUCUUGCAGGACCUUUUCGGUUGCCAAUUCAUUCACACAAGCGGUUAAGACUGUUGGAUAUAUCCAACAACAACAUCCGAGGCCACAUUCCAGUAGAAAUUGGAGAUGUUUUACCAAAUUUAUACGUUUUCAACAAUUCCAUGAAUGCUUUAGACGGUAGCAUUCCCUCUUCAUUUGGUAAUAUGAAAUUCCUCCAAAUUCUAGACUUAUCCAACAAUCACUUGACUGGUAAAAUCCCCGAGCACUUGGCCAUGGGUUGCGUCUACUUGAAUUUUCUUGUCUUGUCAAACAACAACCUACAAGGUCAUUUGUUCUCUAGAAAUUUUAACUUGACAAACUUGAAAUGGUUACAAUUGGAGGGCAAUCGCUUCGUAGGUGAGAUCCCAGAAAGUUUGUCUAAAUGCUCCUCACUAGAAGGAUUGUCUCUUAACAAUAAUAGUCUUUCGGGUAAGAUUCCACGAUGGUUGGGUAAUCUCACAUGGUUAGAAUAUAUUAUAAUGCCCAAUAAUCAUCUUGAAGGCCCUAUUCCAGUGGAGUUUUGUCAGCUUGAUUUGCUUCAGAUUUUGGGCAUUUCAGACAACAACAUAUCUGGAAGUUUACCAUCUUGUUUCCAUCCUCUCUCUAUCAAACAAGUUCAUCUUUCAAAAAAUAUGUUACAUGGACAGCUAAAAAGAGGUACAUUCUUUCAUUGCUCUUCCCUUGUGACAUUAGAUCUUAGCUAUAACCGCUUGAAUGGCAGCAUUCCGGAUUGGGUUGAUGGGCUUUCUCAGUUAAGCCACCUUAUCUUAGGUCACAAUAAUCUUGAAGGUGAAGUGCUAGUUCAAUUAUGCGAAUUGAACCAACUACAAUUGUUAGAUCUUUCUAAUAAUAAUCUUCACGGUCCUAUUCCUCCUUGCUUUGAUAACACCACACUUUAUGAAAGUUACAGCAAUAAUUCUAGUCUUGAUGAGCAAUUUGAAAUAUCUUGUUCCAUCGAAAGCCCUCAGGGAGAUGUAGAAAAGCAAAUCCGUGAAAAUUUUGAGUUCACAACAAAGAACAUUGCGUACAUUUACCAAGGAAAAGUGCUUAGCCUCCUAUCAGGACUUGAUCUUUCUUGCAACAAGCUAAUCGGUCCUAUUCCUCCUCAAAUUGGAAAUUUGACAAGGAUUCAAACAUUGAAUCUAUCACACAACGACUUGACAGGAUCGAUCCCAUCAACAUUUUCAAACUUGAAGCAUGUCGAAAGUUUGGAUCUUUCCAACAACAAAUUGAAUGGGAAAAUCCCUCAUCAACUAGUGGGGUUAAAGACAUUGGAGGUUUUCAGUGUGGCAUACAAUAACUUAUCAGGCGAAAUUCCAGAAUGGACUGCACAAUUUGCAACAUUCAAUGAGAGUAGCUAUGAGGGAAAUACUUUUCUUUGUGGAUUGCCAAUGCCCAUUUGCAGAUCACCAGAAACUAUAUCGGAGGCUUCAAUUGGCAAUGAACGAGAUGAUAAUUUAAUUGACAUGGACAGUUUCUUUAUCACAUUUACAACAUCGUACGUAAUUGUGAUAUUCGCAAUUAUUAUUAUUUUAUAUGUAAAUUCUUAUUGGCGACGUAGAUGGUUUUACUUUGUUGAAAUGUGGAUAACUUCAUCUUACUAUUUUGUUGUAGACAAUCUUAUUCCAACAUGAUUUUGUCAUUGAAAUUAAUUAGUAGCUUAAUUACGAUCCUUUAAGUACUAAUCAAGUUUGCUUAGGAAAUAUUUUUUUAUUAAAAUUGUAGUAGUAUUUAGCAUUAUAUAGCUUCCAACUUCCAAGCACUUCACAUUUGUCUCUACACUUAAAAAACUGAGUGAUCAUGUUUUGCAGAUCUGGAUUUGGAGCAGGAUGGAUCCAAACCCAUAUCUGUCCACCAUAACUUAUAGCUUCCCUAUACUGUGCAGCAUACUUAAAUAAGAGAACCAUCUCCAAUGUUAAAAGCAUUCACUCUAUAACAUUCAUUUAGAAACUAUAUUCAGAAUAAUUUUAUAAUUAAACACAAGAAAUGAAACACACAGAUACACUUGAUCGCCUAUUUUACUCUAAAAAAGAACGAUUACUGUGCUAUCAUCAUCUUCUUCACUAGCAACAUUAACACCAAAUCGAUAGACCCAUACAUUUCAUCAAGAAAGGUAUAUAUCCAAUAAAGUUGAAGCCUAACAAAAAAUUCAAGAAGAUUAAUGCCUCGCCACAACAAGGGGCACAACAACAUCAAAGUAGAGAUUAAGCAGUAUUCUCAAAGCUAAAACUCUCAAAUCCACCCACCAGAAUUUCAUAUCUCCUCAACAAUUUUAAGAAAUAAAGAUAAUUAGGAUUUAACAUUAGUUUUUUAUAUAUUAGUUUCAUAAUUUACAAAUCAAUGAAGAUGAAGAUUAUGCUAAUAAAUUCAAAUUAUACCAUACAUUCUCUAGAUGUUACCAAAAAUUUCUAAGUCAAUCCCACAUAUUUCAUAAUUUUAAGACUAGAAAAUUUCACUAGUUAGAAGUUUCAUUAACUUCAAGUGGAAGAUGAAGAACAUUAUACAAGUGAUUCAGAUUAUAUCAUACAUACUCCAAAUGCAACUAGAAAUUAACAAGUUCAUGCGCACAUAUUUCAUAACAUUAUGAUUGAAACGUUUCACAAAGAGAAAUUCUAAAUUCAAUCUCUUGCAUGAAGGCAGUUUGAUUGAUUUGAGUUACUUUCUUAUCAAGCUACUAAUAUAACAUUCAAGUCAGGGAGAAAAUAAAUUAAAACUGGGAAGAAAUAACAGUAAAAAUUUGUUGCUCAACAUGAUGUGUAUUUUUUUUCAAGGCAAUUUGGAAACACAAUUGUUACUACAGAUAUUCUUCUCAACUUGGAGAUAAAUACAAAUAUUAAAAUGCAUAUGAUCGCACAUAUUACUUCGAGUUUAGUAAGAUUUCAUUAAAAGAAGCAAUCAAACCACUUAUCAAUUGUCGCAGUCGUUCUAUAAACUAAAAUAGCAAUAUAAUACAAGAAAAAGAACAUAUAGAUACUUGGCAAGAGUUCAUUAAGAAGUCGCAUCACAUUCGGGUGAGGAGUUUGCUUCUGAUAUCUUGCUAGCUGGGGCUUUUUCUUGUCUUUCUACGUAUGCCGAGGGAAACCAACCAGCUUGGCCCUUGCAUUCACCUUCCGACCAUCCAAUAGGAGCCACCUUGAGAAGUUAUAACUAAAACGGUGAAUUAAACAAAAGUUGACCGUUCAAAGACCUAAGGGGAAAACUAAUUCUUUUACGUAGGAGGAGUGAAUUAGUUGUGAUCACUGAAAUAACAGCAUAACUAUGGAAGCAUAACAAGAUAUAAAUUCACACGUCUAUAAGGAUAAACUGGGUGGUUUAGAACUGAGCUAGCAACCCUACUAUAUUCUGAUUUGCACUUCAAUGUAAAAGGGAAUAUAUGGUAGGAAGAAAGAAAACCAACCAUCAUUUGUUAACUCAUUGCUUUUCAAUCAAAAUUUUAAGAACAAAAUGCCAUGUGCUUUGAACAUCAAAUAAGUAUAAGCAUUAGUUCUAAAUUCCACAUAUCAUAAGUUGUUAGAAGGAUAAGUUAAUAGCAGAGUAGAAAAAUCAAUGUGUUGGUAUUUAGAGGGGAAAGUACCUGGCGAACCACAACAUAAUCAUCAAUUGAAAGACUUAGCUCUCCAUUUGCUUGAGCAUCAAAUGGAUGUAUAACCUGCAAGAUAAUGGGAUAAAUGGAACUUAAAAAAAGCAUAACAAAAGCAGCAACAGUAGCAGCAACGUUCAUUGUAACCACUAUGAUCAUGGCCAACAAAGAUAUAUUAGAAACAAAAUUCCAUUUUUACUAUGACAUUAAUAUGUACUAUACGAUAUCAUGACGAUUGGGUUACUAAGAGCUAUCAAAGUCUAAUAAGUUCUGUAUAACUUUAUGUAGUUAUUUAAAUUAUGGAUCAGAUUUUAAAUUUGAAAUUUUGACUGCUCUCCACAAAACAUGGCCUAUGCACAAGAAAGUCAUAGAUAAUGAGGAUUACAAGUGUCCGACAUCUUUUGAGUGAUGGAUUUAACAUGAGAGCUUAUGGUCAGUCAAUUUCCUCUGCCUAGCAAUAUAAGCUUUCUCGGCCAGAUUUAUCAUCAAAUACAUAGAUUGCCCCCAAGUCACAUCCAUAUAAACAUAGUUUUUCUAGGUAAACCAAGUAAGGAGCAUCAUAAUUCAGACAUAAUCAUAAAAAGGCCCAUCUAAAUUAAGAGAAAAUCUCAAAAAGAGGGAUGCUGAGCUAUCAGUCUUGUAUCUAUAAGCAAUAUCAAGACUUUACAUCACCUGCUACAUCAUGAGUGGCUACACAACUUUCAGUGGUUUGUCUUUCUUUGGCACGCCUAACUCAGCUUUGAUGUUGCUGAGAUAUUGAUAGUAGAGACACAUGAUACUUCUAGCUCAUGCAUUCUAUCUAACUCAUCCAACAACUAUCUCUUUUUUAAUUCAUUAGUGUUUGCUAAACCUCAUGCUUAAAAGUCCUGUUCUCCUAAAUAAAGUUUCCUAAGAAUGACUUCCUUAGCACCACAGUUGGACACUUGUAGAGCAAUUUUAUUUGGGGGAAAAGAAUUUUCAAGGUGUUAACUAAUAAAUUUUAAAAAAUAAUUACAAUUUGUCCUACGAUCAUAUGACAAUUUAUCUGGGAUGAAAGGAUACAGAUAGACAUCUUCCACUUUCAAGACUAAUCACUACUUCCGUAGAUGUUGUGCAAUAAUACAAAUACUUGACCAGAUGGUAGUGAUGGUAGAAAAAAAAUUUAUUGCUCCAAAAUUAAAAUAAGAAUGCAAUAUGUUAAGCAAAAGGCUGUGCAACAUCAAAUUAAUUGAUAAGAUAGAUGCAGACAAGCAAGUUAAAAUGCAUAGUCCCAAACCUCCGCAUACAACUUCUCUAAAAUAGCAAUAACGUGUUGAUGCUAUGUUUUCUCAGCAUCUACCUGCAAAGGCCCGAGACCAGGAAAACAACAAUAAAACCACUAGCUGAAGGAGAAAGCAAAGAAAGAAAUACACUUGACAUAAAUCUUGACAAGAAGCACAAUUUAAGACAUAACAAACCCCAAUCAUAUUGUUUAGAACUACCAUUCGUUAUUUCGUUAUUGUAACAUUUCGAACAAGUGUUGACUUAAUUCAACAUUGUUGGAAAGAUAGGCUUUUAGAAGCAGAAGAAAGCCUCUCAAACCAAAGUGCUGGUCCUUGUAUUGAUCAAGGGAUGUAAACAUAUUACAUUUGCAGGAUGAGAUUUAAUCACUCCCCUGAUUUAUUUGGGUUGCAGUAAAACUAAGCGAGCAACUGUUUGACUUCCAAGCAACAGCUAAAUCAGCUAUUAAAAUUCAAAUAAAAUCAUAAUAGAAUAAUAACAGGCCCUCUUGCAUCAAAAAUUAAGUUUAAUUUGUGCAUUGUUUUCUAUAGACAUGUCAGUUUCUGCUAUUGAAAUGUUAAAAGCAUUGAAAAAUUAUUCAAUAAAUUAUGCAAGCAUUAAAAUAGAGGACAUAUUAAAAAGUUUCUAAUUACAAUGCUAAUAUUUCCUAUAUUUUAGCAUUUGCAUAUUUUAAUUUAUUUAAAAGCUACGUCGAUCAACUUUGGGCAUGAAGAUUUUAGCUUCUACGAGACUUGAUUGGAAUAUGCAUAAGGAAGAGUGUUAAAAUAUGAUGCAUCCAACGAAAGAAAACCACGUGUAGUCUUUUAAUUAAGCCAAAGUAGCAGCUCAAACAAAUGACACUUGGACCAACAUGCAAUCAUGAAGUGGCCGGAAAAAGGACAAAUGCUACUUUGGCUUAAAUAAAAAAUAACAUGUGACUUGACUUUUGCUGGACAUGCAUCAUGUUAUUACAAGACAACAGAAAUCAGUAUGAUAGUACUAAAAGUUGACAAUAACAUGAAGAUAAGAGGCAGAAUGUCAACACAUGCAUAGGCACACACAAGAAAGUAUUAACAUAUAUACCAUAGCAAAAACUCUUUUAUAUGUCAUCUGUUGCUGCUGUGAUUCAACUGACAGCAAGGCAGCUGUCGCUUCUCUACCAAGAGCCAUUAUUUUAGAUUUAAGCUCGGUCAAUCUUGCUUCUGCAUUUCGAAGCUUCACAGCACUCUCUGCUGAUAUAUCAGAUUCCCUAAUCUUUGAUCGGUGCCUAAAUACUUCAGCUGCCUGGUGAAAAUAUUCAAUAUAAAUCUAAUAUAAUUCUCAUCUUGCCUUAUACAUGCAUAUGUUACGUCAAAGCUUACCUGGGCUUCAACUUCAUGUCGAAGUUUGUCAUAACAAUGAGUCAGGUGUCGAGCAUCUUCCAAAGGUGCUCCGUUGAUUAACGCCCGUAGUGGCUCAGAUACCUACAUGUCCAAAAACCUGUAACAUAGUUAGAAAAAUGAAAAGAAAGAGCGAAACCUCAAUUAAAAAGUUCAUCCAACAUAAUCAUGGAAUUUGGGCCUACUUUAAGAAUAUAUAUAAGGAUAAUUUAUGCAAUUUUGGGUCUUAGGAUGAUUGGUAUUAGGUUAGUGUUCUUCUCUUCUGUAUUUAAGGUUAAAAUAGAAAUAAACCUAUGCAAGUAUCUAAAUUAGGCCUGUAAGACAUCCACAUGCAUCCUUCAGUCUCAUGGAUUUGAUUUUACUAUAGAUGCAAGUGUCUUUAUCGAAAAUGCUUGGAGUCAAUUGAGAGAACUCAUGGCCAAUAACUUGUCACACGCUAGUCUUUGCUAGUGAUCACAAGGUCUCUUCAACAUUUGAACCAAUAAAAUUAUUAAGUCAUGGAUGUCACUAGCAAUGAUUUUAAUAUAAAACAUUAAAUAUUUCAGAGUUGUAACUUUAAAAUGGAUUCUUUUAUUCAAUAUCAUAGAACUAAGUUUCCUUAUGAGAAGAUAAUAGUUUCGAUAAUAAUUUUACAUAUAAUUUUCUAUAUUUGAAUUAUUUUCUAGUUAGGGAUGAACUAACCUGAUCACGAAGAAUCCCGAGCAAAGUUUCCCUCUCAUUUUCCAUCAAAUCAUGUGAAGUGCCAAAUUGAAGAGCAGCUCUUGCAACGCAAGAAUUGUCACUUUGAUUCUCUACUCCAUACUUGCAACAAUCUUCAGCCAACUUUCUCGCUACAAUAUUUGAAUACAAAAAUAUUGUACACAAGAACUAUAAAAAAACUAAUGAAAAAUGCCAAGAUGGAGCAGAUGCUUCAAUACUGCCUAUACAAACCAUAAAAAACUAAUGAAAAAUAAAUAAAAUCGAGAAAUUUUACUAAUUAAAAGUCUAAAUAUAAUUUUGAAAAAAGAAAAGAAACGGACUUGCUGCUGCUUGGCGACUUGUUCUCGGAGCUUGAUUGCCUGUUUCUUGAUAGCUUCCAUACUGUUUCUUUCAAAAAGCGACGACGGCUCUGCUCAUGGAAGUGGAAAAAAAAGUGUGAUCGAGAAAAAUGAAAAGGCGUGAAUAAUUUUUGACAAAAAGCGAAAAUCAAGGAAAGCCGGCUCUUUCCAGAAAAUAAAAAAAAGAAAAAAAGAAAAAAGAAAAUCAUAAGUUUGAAAGGAGAAGAUGAUAUUGGAAGUAUGCAGUGUGGCUGCCAGGUACUUGGAUUGUAUUGUCGGGUAAGGUAAUAGUGGAGAAUUGUAAGUUUGAACGGAGCAUGUUGGACUUUUGUUGACCAAAUUCAAAAGCCAAAUGGCACGGCCCGGAAGCUUUUGAAUAGAAAAACUUGCUAGAAAGCAUCAGUUUAAAUCACUACUUAAACGCUUGCUUUAACUGCACCGCUUUGUACUGUUUUAUGUAUGUAGCGGUUGUGCGGUUGUAAUUCACGGCUGACGCUACGUGUUUGUUUGUACUGUUCUAUUCGGUGACAGAGUAUUAUUAGUUAGGCCAAAACUAUGUUGCAACAGUGGUACAGUAGCACUGUUGCUUUCAGUCAUUAGAUCUAUAGUUGUACAGUUGCAUUAACAAGAUCCAAUGACUGAAAGCAACAGUAGUACCGAACUACUGUUGCAACAUAGCUGGAGCCUAUUAGUUAUUUCAAAGGGAUAAAUAAGAUUGGUUACAACAAACCUACUAAUUUUAUAAAAUUCAAGUAACAUAGAAUAAAAUAAAAAAAUAAAUACAAAAUUGACUUUUAUUUUUUAUGGUUGACUAUAUUUUGUGUUCUCUUCGGGCACUGCUACAAUUGUUCCCUAUAUAUCAAUUACACCACAUACUAUCGACACAAGAAAUGAAAUCUAAUAUCACCUGUUUAGUUAAAAAAUCACUCAUGAAAAAAUUUUACCAUUUUGAUUUGAGGAUCCAUAUUUUAAACUACAAGCUAAUGUUCAUCAAGAAUUACUGAUGGACAAAUUAUUUUUUUUGAUAGAAGAAUUUCUUUAGGAACUACUAAAUUAUUAAUAAAAAUAUCGAACACACCCACAUAUCAUCGACACAAUUGAUUUUGAGGAUCCAUGCUUUGAACUACAGCCUAAUGUUCAUCAAGAAUAGAGUAUGGCUUAUGAGUAGAAAAUUUUCUUAUUUUGGCCCAAAAUAAAAAGAAAUUAAAUUGGAUGAGAAUCUGCCACUUUCUCAUGAAGAAAGGCAUACGGAGCAUACCAUGGUACCAUACAAUAUAAGAAGCCUCCGUUCUUUGGUUUUUCAAACUCUGAAGGGGCUAAUAUUGCCAAAUUCCCCCUUGAAAAUUCUGAUUACGACAUUAUUCAUCGCUUGAUGCAAUCAAAGUAGUGACAAAGUUAGGAAAAAUAUGAGUCCUAAGUAAUUGCUAGGCAGGGCUCCUGAGAGCAAAAUUGUCCUAAGCAUUAUAUGCAUACAUAGUGCAGUACAUAGAGCACGUUGAAUUCCCCACUAUAACACAAACCCAGAAAGACAAGUAAUAACUCAACUGAUAUAAAGACAAAAAGAAGAUAAAAUGAUAUAGAAAAAAGAAUUUCAAAGAGACAGCAACAUACAAUAGACUGAAGCCACUUGAUCUGCUCAUUGAUUGCAGCCUUAAACUUGCAAAUAGUUACUGUACGCUAGUGCUCUAAGAAGUGAAAAUGAUGCGAGCCCUGAUUCCCUUUUGACUUCCAUUUACUGUCAAACAUUCUAGUAAUACAAAAAAUUGUUUAGAUAUCUUGCUAUAAAUAUAGCCGUUUGACUGUCAUAAUAAAGUCACAAAUAACCAUUCAUAUUGAUCUACUGUCACACAGCAUGCUUUAUGCAUACAACAGCUGUAUGCAUACCAACUCCUAACCUUAUCAAUACAUUUGGCAAAAACUUAAGAAGAAAGCUAUUUCUCCAUCUCUUUUUUGAAAUUUCACAAUAACCAGCACAAUGUGAAAGCUAUGUUCUAACCUUAUGAUAAAUGCUCCAGACUCCAAAAGGGUUUUAUAUAUGAGAGUUUGUUGCAGCAGAUAUAUUGACUUAUCAAGUAUGAAUCAUUGUCUGGAUGAACUAUCUUUAGAUAAAAGAAUAUUAGAACCACUGUAGAAUAUCUUUACCCUGCUGGUUCUAACAGGAAUCUGCAUGUGGCAACAAUUGCUAGACCCACAAUUCCCCAACUUGAAAUACAUAGUUGCACACCAUGAGAUAGUGCUACAAUCUACUGAGAUCUAACUUAUAUGGUACUUUAAGCUACUAAUGUUUGCAUAUUUCUACAUGUUAAAUUAACACUAUCAUCUAUAAUCACUCCAAAACAACAAAUGAUAAGCAGCUUUUGGCCACUUAUUACUAGCAUACACAAUUAUAAAUAAGAGAUCAUGGGUUUACUUGUUGCACCUACUUAAUUAUCUGCAGUUGACAUCCUGACACAAGGUUUAAAUAGUGACUGCUUAGAACCCUUGUAGUUGGAUCUUGACCUCUCCCAUUGUAGCCAAGAUUGGUUACUCUGGUAAUGAAUCAACACUCUCCUGCUCAGGGCCAUGAAGAUCUGAAAGCUCAGCACUAGUGGAGAACUUCAUCAAUCUCUUCUUCUCAGCAUACUUGAGACAAGGCUGCAUUACGAGACCAAUCACCACAGCACCAACGCUUAAAACUGCAACUUUUAAAGAAGAAAGAGCCAACACAACACAACACAAAUCAAUAUGGUUGGAGGAAUACACAUGAUAAUGGCUCCAACAGUGCCAGUGGGUAUCUUGUAGGGAUGAGAUGCAGCAGGAUAUUGUAUCCUUAACCAUACAAAUGCUAUGAACUCCAUAAUCAUUCCAAAACAGUACAGGAAGUUCUCUGCAGCUACAAUAUCUCGAAAGCUCAGCCAUGAUAGCAAAACCACACCAGAAGCUGAGAAUAUGAUUCCAAUCAAAGGAGUCCCAUAACAAGACCUCUUAGCAAAAAACUGAGGUAGCAUUCCACGCUCAGCCAUCCCCAAAAGUUGGAAAGAGUCGCUGCUCAUCUCAGCCACAAACAUGCCCAUAUUGGACAUUGCUGCAGCCCCCUGGAUGCACCAUCUCAACCAAACUCCUCCAAGCACUUUAGCAAUAUCUGAAAAGUAACCAUCGGUCCACAAGUCGCGAUCUAAUGGAAUAGCUCCAGUUCAAACUAGAAGGGGAAAGAAAUACCCAAAAAUGACCAAGAUCAAAGCAUAAAACAAAGCCUUUGGAAGAGUCUUCUUUGGGUUAUCCACCUCUCCAGCUAGUGUACUUAUUGAGUCCCAGUAGUUGAGAUUCCAAAACAGGGUGUUCAAAUACAAAUUCCAAUCCACUUCACCUAAAUUUACUACAAGCCAUCUUGAAGGCUCUAACUUGGGAAGGGACACAAGUCCCAUAACCCCAAAAGGAAGGAGUGAGAAAAUCCCUAAAAGAACAGCAGCCCAUCCCACAAUGGUUAGACCCCUAUAGUUCAUGAAAGUGAGAACAAAAGUCAAAGCUAACGCCGCAAAGGCUCUAGGUAACCCAUUGCCCAACGCAGGGAUACCAGACUUCAAGUAGUCAAGAAACAGAACUGGGUAUAAAGCAUUAUCAAUAACCCCACUUAGCCAUCCAACCUUGCUGAAAACCCCAAUAUGGGCCUAAGGCAGAUGAAACCCAAACCACAUAACCACAAUUUUCAGGAAACACAGUACCCAUUUCGGCAGUAAUUAAAGCUUCAGGGACACUCCAUAUAAUCGGAAACACCAAGAAACCAAGAAGUGCUAAAAGAGGACCAGCUGCCUUUACACUAUCCUCAACACCAAACGGCCCCCCAGAAACCUCAUAGAAUAUAAGGAAAAUAAGUGGCAAGAUUGAUACUUUUUUAGUGCCAUGGACUCGAGGAGAAGAUGGUUGGUCAUUGAUAUUAACAUAUUCAACAGCAUCAGACUGCCCUAUUUCUACUGAAACUUGCCUAUUUACAGUGUUCCUCAAUUUCUGCAUCAAGUUUAAGCAUAACUAUCAAAAGGGUAUCCGCAUCUAAAUUAUGAAACAAAAUGAGCAUUUACUUAUUAAAAAAAAUCAAAAAACAGAAAUGGAUUUCGCAGAGCACAUGAAUUUAAGUUCAACAUUAAACAGGCGCUUAAGAAAACAAAAGGGUCUGUUCGUAAAGCCAUCAGAUUGCAAGAUUGAACAACAUUAACGGAAUCAAUAGAAUAGAUGUAAAGAGAUCUGAAAAGAAAAUAAAAUAAAAGAUAAAGAGAGAUAAAACGAACCAUCAAAUAAGUGCAUGCAGAGCAGAGAGGCAGAUACUAGAGAAGCUCCGUCAUGUUAGAGAGAGCCUAAUUCAAUCAGAGCUCACUGAGUUUCUUUUCAACCGACCGGCAAAUUUGGAGUGGCACAACAUAAUAUUUUUACUUUUAAUUUUUGGAACACUUUUGAAUAGAAUUUUUUGUUUUUAAAAAAGGUAAGGGAGAUUAGUAUUUAUUUAACGGAUCAGGCUACGGUGCAACUGUGGCACCGUGCCACAGUUGCAUCUAGCCGUUGGAUGCAAUUGGAAUGGUGGAGUCCACUGACAUCCAACGGUUAGAUACAACUAUGACACGGUACCACAGUUGCACCUAAGGUUCCCUUAUUUAACUUUAUAUUUUUUAAAAUACCUUAAAAAUAUUUUUAUGUUAAAAUAUUAAUAUUUUUAUUAAUAAUUUUUAUAUUUUUAAUUUAUUUUUAUAAUAUUAUUUUUUAUAAUAAUUUUUUAUUUAAAUAUUAAUAAAAAAAUAAUUAAAUUAACAAUUUAAUCCUAAAAUAAAUAAACACGUGUUUGGUUUUGGGCUUUUUCUUUUGUUCGUUUAAUAUCAUCUGGCUCCCUGAUUUGUGACUAAUUAUCAACAGAAUCCCGUUGGUUUCUAAAUUGAAAUAAUAGAAGGUCAUGAGACUAUUUACUCCAUUUAGCACUGCAGACUUAGAGUAUAUUGAAAAAGCUUUGUCAAAUAGUAGUAAUAGGGGCAUAAGAAAUAAAUUAUAGCUAUCACAAAUUCGUUAGGAGAAUUUCAAUUUUUUCCAUCAAUAAUGGCUAUGAAGCAAAAUUACCUUAGGUUAUAUUGCAAUACUAAUACUUCAAAUCCUGAUAAUAAAUUUGAUGACAGUCGUUUUUAUCAUGGUUUUAACAGAUAUAAGAAGAGAAAAUUAACUGUUCAAACAAAUUAGAAGCAAAUUCUUUCAUAUCUUUCUUUUAUUUUUCCGCUUACUUUCUUAGCAUCCAAACAAGUUAAAGUUAAAACGCUGUUAGAGCCAACAAUAUGCAGGCAUCAAUAAGCAUAGUAGUUUUGUAUAUGUAUUCUAUACGAUAUUCUAGGGAUGUCAAUUGUAGAACAUUUUGUGGUAACUUUUUUACAUUAAUUAAUGUUUGAAGAACUUGUUAAAAAGAAAAUGGUAAUUUUAUCAUUUUGAAAGACAAAAAAAAAAAAAAAAAGAGUGAAAGUGGCGUUACCUCAUGGUCAUUAGAGACUUGUUGCAAUGAUAGCUCAAAAUUAAAAAUUUGUGAAGAAUUAGUAGACAACGACGAUACUAUAUUUAUACAGUCACCAACGUGUUGAUUUUUGUUUAAUGUUUGAUCGAUAGAAACUUUCGUCGUCGUCGCCGUUGUUGAAUUUGUGCUAAGAAUAUCACAAGAGAAGAAAAAAGGAUGAAAGGGAAGAGAAGAAGAGAGAAGUGGUGGACAGCAAAUAUGAUAUGCUAGCUACACACAGGCCUUAGAGAGUUUUUUUUUAAUAUUUAUUGUAUUUUUGUUUUUGUUAUUGGUUUUUCAUAUGCUUCCAAGGCAGCAAUGCGUUACAUCAUAAAUUGCACCUUUUAGGGGAGGUGGUAAAAAACAUGAGAGCAAUGCAUUCUAGCGCAUACAUGCAGAAAGAGUUUCCAAAUUUUCAAAAGUUUCUUUAUUUCUUCCACCUUUUUUUGCUUAAAAUAAAUUUUAAUUGUAUUUUGCAUUAACUUAGAGAAAAAAAAAUCCAGUUCUAUACAUAAACGCAUACAUUGAUUAGAAAAUGAGUUUUAUGGACACAAAGGGACAAUAUAAGAGAUUCUUUUUGUUUAUUAGAAGUAACAUAACUAGUUAGUGUAACAUGUAAUUAUAAGCUACCAAUAAUUUGCACUAAUGAUAAUUAACGGUAUAGAUUUUGAGCUAUGAAUGUCUUGUGGCUAGUUUAAUUAGAUUUUCGAGUUUUCAGCAGAUCUAUUUUAAUGAUUAUUAAAUUAUUUUCACUUCUUAUGCCUUAAUAAAAAAAAUCAAUAUUUUUUGCUGUAUUCUAUAUUUUAAAACUUAAUUUUUAGUUCUUUAUAUUGCAAACCAAACUGAGUCAAAUAGAGUAUGCUCUUCAAAUAAUUUUUCCAUUGCCUUCAAGAAGAAUUCAUUUUAUUUUUAUAUAUUAAUUUAACACUUGUAAACCGGGCCGUCAGAUUGCACAUAAAGCAAAUGAUCAAACCGUUACAAGACCGGCCCAGGCCCACCGACUCUAUUUUCUUUCAUUUGACCAUUAAAAAGCUUUUGGCCACCCCCACCAAAUAAAUAAGCUCUUGUUCUCUUUUGUUCCCUCUCAAAGGAAAAUAUCUGAUCACCGGAUAAUGAUUCCGGCGACACAAAAGAUCGAAACACCCCCCUAAAUUCCCUAAAUUUACGAUAAUACCCCACCAUGGAUGAUUCCGUUGAAAUGCCGCCUUACGAUGAAAGGCCUAAAAAGGGUUUUAACUUCACCUCCAUGCGCUUGAUCUUAACCCUCGUUUUCCCAAUUUUAACUUGCUUUUUGUUGGCAUUUUUUAUUGGAAUCGUAGCUGUUUUAUUCGGUGAAUCAUCAGUUUCCAGUUCCAUUUUUGUCCCUUCCCAGUGCAAGAUAGUGUCCAGCAGUAAGCUUUUUUUAACAUUUUCAAUUUUUUUUCCAUUUAUGAAGUCCAAAAAUUUUAUUAAUUUUGACUUUUUUGAAUGAUUUUGCAGGUGUUGAUAUAAGGUCAUCAAAAGUUUGUGAACUUGGGGUGUUGAAUUAUAAGGCGAAGCGUGUGUUUUAUCCAUUUGAAGCAAGUAAAUUUCGCUGUCGGUAUGAUUACUAUUAGGCUUCUAUCUUCAAGGUAUUCAUACAUUUUCCCCUGUACUAUAAGCUUCUCAGUGGCGGUCUUGUGAGCGGAAGUGAGCGGUGUGGUUGACAGCUUCUUGAAAAUUAUAAGUUUGAACCAAGCAUGUUAGAGCACCACCAAAAGCCUCUUUAAAUAAGAUUUUAUUAUUUAUUUAAAGAGCCACAUCAAUAUUGAAAGCUCCAAAAGACACUUCAAUUAAAAUUCUUUAAAUAAGAAUUGAUUCUCUUCAAAUUUGGAGAGUUAAUUUCUCCCUCUUCAAUUUAUAUUUUAUUACUUUUCAUUGAAGAAAUAGAGAAAUGCUUUAAUUGCUAUUAACUUUUCCUUUAAAAAACUAAUUAUAUGAUUAAAAUAAUAUUAACUUAUUUAUAUUUGAAGAGUCUUUUGAAGAAUAUCAUAUUUUUUUCACCAUUCUAUUUGCCACAUAGGUAAACAAAUAGAUAUUUAAAGAGUAAAAUUUAUAGAAACUUUUGGAGAUGCUCUUAGACUUUUGUUGACCAAAUUCGAAAGCCAAAUGGCACAGCUCAGAAGCUUUUGAAUUGAAUAACUUACUAGGAAGCUCCAAUUUUUUGUUGGCUACAGUAAAAGGAUGUUGUUUUAUUCUUCUUAUACUUUACGCUUGCAUCAGCUUAAAUCACUUCUUAAACGCUUUGCUUUAACUCCACUGCUUUGCUGGGGCGGAUUUACCUUGGAACAAGUGGGGACUUAAGUCCCCACUGAAAAAAAAAUUGUUUUAAUAAUUAAUUUGAUUUGCCAAAACUUCUCAAUAAAUUUUUCUUAAGCCCCCAUAAUUUCUUUCAACAAGCAAUUGAUCUAAAUGAGUUAAUUUCUGUCAGUUGUAUCCAAAUGAGUUCUCUGCAAUUGAUAUCAUGGCACUUGAAAUUCAACUUGAUACAUAUAUUUUGGAUAUGCGCACUAGUGCGAGACUAAAAGACAUAAGGUAUAUCCAUUGGUUUACUUGUUAAUAAUAUUAGCAUUGACUUUACCCGUUGCCAUUGCUAGUGUAGAGAGUAUUUUCAGCCAUGAACAUUUUGAAGAAUUGGUUAUAAAGCUGUGAGUAAUAGAUGAAUGAUAGUUUAAUUAUUUACAUAGAAAAAUACUUAUUUAAUAAUAUUGAUAAUGAACUUGUAAUGCAACAUUUUUAAUGUAUGAAAACUUGAAAGGACAAUUGUAAACAUAUAUUGAAGUAUGAUAAAUCUUUCAAAUUUAUAUAUUUAUUACUUUUUAAAUUUUUUUAUAUUGCCGUUGAAUGAGCCCCCAGUCAAUCAAUAUGUUGUCUUCACCCUGCUUCGUACUCUUCUAUAUAUGUAUCGGGUAUGCAGUUGUAGUUAAUGGUUGAGACUACGUGUUUGUUUGACGUGGUAGUUACGUUACGAGUCUGUUAAACAUUCGAUGAUUAAAGUAUUAUCUGUUAUUUCAAAGGGACAAAUAAGAUUAGCUACAACACACCCACUAGUUUUAUAAAAUUCGAAUGAGAUGGAAUAAAAUAAAAAAUAAAUAAGUAAAUUGACUUUUAAUUUUAGUGGUUGAAUAUAUUUUCUAUUCUCUUAGGGCACUGCUGUAAUUAUUCCUUAAACGUCAGUCAUACCCACAUAUAAUAGACACAAGAAAUGAAAUCUAAAAUCACCUGUUUAGUUAAAGAAUCAUCAUGAAAAAAUUUUGCCAUUUUGAUUUGAAGAUCCACUUUUUGAACAACCAACUUAUGUUCAUCAAGAACGGAUCAUGGCUUGUGAGUAGAAAAAUUAUUUUUGGACAAAUUAUUUUUUUUAAUAGAAGAAUUUCUCAAGGGACUAAUAAAAUUACUAAUAAAAAUGUCAGACACACCCACGUACCAUCGACACAAUUGACUAUGAGGAUCCAUGUUUUGAACUUCCACCUAAUGUUCAUCAAGAACAGAAUAUGGCUUGUGAAAAGAAAAUUUUCUGAUUUUGGCCUGGAACAAAAAGAAAUUAAAUUGAAGGAGAAUCUGCUACUUUCUCAUUAAGAAAGGCAGACAUGGUAUACCAUGGUACCAUACAAUAUAAAAAGUCUCCAUUCUCUGGCUUUUCAAACUCUGAAGGGGGCAAUAUUCCCCAAUUCUCCCGUGAAAAUUCUAAUUACGACAUUAUUCAUCGGUUGAUACAUAAGUACAAGUAGUGACAAAAUUAGGAAAAAUAUGACUCAUAAGUAAUUACUAGGCAGGGCUCUUGAGAGCAACAUUGUACUAGGCUUUAUAUGCAAACAUGGUGUGGUACAUAGAGCACGUUGAAUUCCACACUAUAACACAAACCCAGAAAGACAAGUAAUAUCUCAACUGAUAUAAAGACAAAAAGAAGAUAAAAUGAUACAGAACAAAGAAUUUCUAAGAGACAGCAACAUACAAUAGACUAAAGCCAGUUGAUCUGCUCAUUGAUUGCAGCCUUAAACUUGCAAAUGUUUACUGUAGCCUGGUGCUCUAAGAAGUGAAAAUGAUGCAAACCUUGAUUCCCUGUUUACUUCCAUUUACCAUCAACACAUUCUAUUCAUAAGAAAAAAAAUGUUUAGAUAUCUUGCCGUAAAUAUAGCCAUUUGAUUGUCUUAAUAAAGCCACACACAACCAUUCAUAUUGAUCCACAUUGCCACAUAGCCUGAUUUAAGCAUACAACAGCUGAAUGUAUACCUAACUCCUAACCUUAUCAAUACAUUGGCGACAACUUAAGAAGAAAACUAUUUCUCCAUCUCUUUUUUGAAAUUUCACAAUAAAACAGCACAAUGUAAGAGCUGCAAUGAAAAUGGACCGUCUGAAACUAUGGCGGAAGCUUCAACUAGUGUAGUGAUUUGACCUUCUUAUUAACCUAGCGAGAUCAAACACUGCCCUUGAUCUUGAACAGAUCAAUACGAUACGCACAACUUAUGAUUGAAUCCAGAAACAAUCAAAUCUUUAGCAAGAAUAAUUAAUCAGAAUCAAGAAACAAGUUUAAUGAAUAUAAACCUAUAAUUGGAACAAACACAGCCAAAGAACCCAAGAAUGACACAACGAACACCAAGGGAGAAGCUUUCCAGUGAGAUUAUAUUGAUGAUCAAAGAAGAAUCUUUUUACAAAGCUAACAAAAGAGAUUUCAGAGAAUAAGCUAUGACCCUCUCUCUCUUCAAUCUCUGUCUAGUUUGUUAACAGUGAUGACCCAAUCUGCUUCGUUAGCCAGCUUCAUAACUGCGUCAGUGACAAACCAGCAAACCCAGAUUGAGCAGACUAACGACACGUGCAUAACGGCUUUAACGAACUUGGUUAAAGAACUGCUCACAUGUUCGUCACGCGUGUUGCUUAAAUGAUAGCCAAAACGACUUCAACCAGAUGCCGUUUUGAAGCUUAUGAAUUAUAAGUGAAAACACGUGCUUGUCUCGUGACAUUUAAAUGCAACAACAAGCCCAAAACACUGCCGUUUCACUAUGUUGAGUUUGCCAUCUCUAAGCUUCACAACUAGCAGCGGACAAGAUGAUAAUUUAAUUGACAUGGACAACUUUUAUAUCACUUUUACAACAUUCUAUAUAAUUGUGAUAUUGGGAAUCGUCGGUGUUGUAUAUGUGAACCCUCGUUGGCGACACUGGUGGUUUUAUCUUUGUUGAAAUAUGGAUGACUUUUUGUUACUAUUUUGUUGUACAUAGUACAUAACCUUAUUCCCAGGAGAUUUAAUCAUUGAAAUUAACAUGUUAGUUUCAUUAGAAGGCUGAGUGGUUAGGGCUGCUACCCUCCAACUUGGAGGGCAAUAGUUUAAACCCACAAGCGCAAUGUGGGGGUAUUUCAUUCUUUAAUUACAUUGUAUAAUUGAAUAAAUGUAAUCUUCUCUCUUACACAAGUGUGAGUGGAGUAGACAUCUCUCGAAUAUUAGCGAGGGUUAAAACUUGGACAGAGCUCAAUAAGUAUUUAUGUAAGUUGGUCCUAGUAAUAAUCUGAUUUGUAAAUAUCAGUUAUAGUCUCAUGUUUCCUUCCUUAAUUAUAUUGUAUAAUUAAGUAAAUGUACUCUUCUCUCUUACCCAAGUGUGAGUGGAGUAAACAUCCCUAGAAUAUUAGUGAGGGUUAAAAUCUGGACAGAGCUCCAUAAGUAUUGAUGUAAGUUGAUCCCAGUAAUAGUAUGAUUUGUAAAUAUCAGUUAUAAUCUCAUGUAAUAUGAGUUGUAAUUUGAGCAACAGUUUCAUGUAAUUACAAAAAAAAUGCUACUUUCAUUACAUUUUUCUUCGUUAAAAUUCUCAAGUAUCAAUUAUGUUUGCUUAAGAAAUAAAAUUUCGUUAUGAAAAUUGUAGUAGUAUUUCCGAGCAUCUCACAUUUUCAAUGAUUUUUCAUAAAUCAAUUAAUCUGUCGUACCAAUAUCAUGUUUAGUUUUUCAGACUAAAUAAUCAAGAAAGCAAACAAAUUCACAGUUUAGAGGGGUAAACUAGCUUUUAGAUUUUAGAACUAGGCUAGAUACCUCACCAAAUUCCAAUUUGUACAGUGAACUACAAGAUUGAGAAAAUAAUGUAUUUAUAGUUUAAUUGAAUCAUGAGAAAACAAUGUAGUCAUAGCUCAAUCGGACAUGAUCACGGAGAGGCAUAUUCUUUUCAAGUUAAUUUGAUCCAUUUAUAAGAAAUGAAGUGGAUCGAAGUUAAAAGUUAAAAUAAAAAAUCCUUAUUCUUGAGUUUUACGACGUCGUUACUCCUUCAAGAGGCUGAUUGUGCAAGUGAAUGGAGAAACAGAAUGCUUUUAUAAUUUUUUUAAUAAUUGUAAAAAUAAUUAACCAUAACAAAUCCCUUGCGUAAAUACUAAUCAUUAUUUAAAAGGUAGAAAGAUAGUUAGUGCACAAUCAAAUUUUAAGCCCCUACCUCCUCGGCCCAAGAUUCAAACUUAGAUGAUCAGCCAAAUAAAAUUAUUUGAAAAUCAUUCAAUCAGGUUCCCGGAGUAAAAAUACAAGAUCCUUAUUAUAAAAGUUGUCCCACCUGCUGGUGUAUAACAACCACUUCAAUUCAAACUAGAUUCUUUUUGUUUUUUUUAAUGUAAUCCUGAUAAUAUUUAUGUUAUCUUAAGAAUAGGUCAGCUUGAUUAUUGCUGAAAUAUAGGAGGAAGUUAGCUUUGAUUCAUUGUAUUAUUUAUACGCUCUGAUACCAUAAAGAGAUUGAUAAUUGAAAAUGAACUCACUUCGUUACUGGUAUGUCUGGUUCGGUGGUUGGCGGGGAAGGUGGAAGAGAUGGUUGGCGGGCAGGUAGAGCUUCCUGUGGGGUUGGGUCAGCUGGUUGUGAAGUAGCCUCAGGCAGAGAUAAUUCUUGAGAGCUAGCUGCAGAUGGAGUGUUGGCUGCCUGCUGGAGUGAUGUGGGAAUGGACACAGUAAGUACAGGAGGAAUCCAAGUGGAUAUGGUAGUGGAAGUAGGACGUGGAAGAGUGGUGUGUAGUGAGGUGUAUGGAAAGACUGAUUCAACAAAUUGAACAUGGCGAGAAACAUGUUGCUGUUGAUUAUCAUUUUAUCAGAGAUCAAGUUCAAUCUGGUCUACUUCGAGUAGCUCAUGUCUCCUCUGCUGAUCAGCUUGCCGAUCUUCUCACCAAGCCACUGCCCACUUCUCAGUUCUUGCUUUUACGGGACAAGAUUGGCCUCUCUACUCGUGGCCUAUCUUGAGGGGGCAUAUAAAAGUUGUCCCACCUGCUGGUGUAUAACAACCACUUCAAUUCAAACUAGAUUCUUUUUGUUUUUUUGAAUGUAAUCCUGAUAAUAUUUCUGUUAUCUUAAGAAUAGGUCAGCUUGAUUAUUGCUGAAAUAUAGGAGGAAGUUAGGUUUGAUUCGUUGUAUUAUUUAUACGCUUUGAUUCUAAUGGAACGAAGUGAGUUCAUUUUCAAUUAUCAAUCUCUUUACUUAUUUGCAUGAUAUAUAUGAAUUAAUGUAAUUUAUUUGAAUUAUCCAAAUUCAUUAGAGAUAAAACUAUAAAAUAUACCAAAAACGUUAGAAGGAAGGGUGUGUUGGGAUGUUUUACAAACUAUAGGAAUCUGGUGAGAUUUUGAGCCAAACUGUAGGGAGUUGAAGGCAUUUGCCCAAUAUGUUUAGUCGUACACUAACCGUUAUUUGAUCUUGUUGUUGGUCCCGGAUGAGCUGUAGUCUUAUUUUAAUUUUAUUUAAACUCACCAUAAGAUUCGCGGAGCUCCUAACUAACUUAAAUGACUCUGCAGAGCAUGUCAACACAUAGCAUGUUUAACCGUUUUAUUUGUAGAAGAAUUUAUGAUUUCCCAUUAGCAUUAUUAUUGAAGUGGGGCGGGGGCGGGUCAAAUCUCAAUUGCUUGAAAAUUUUAUUUAUUAUUAUUAGUCUUGAAGUGAGGUGGGUAACGGUUCGCUCCAAUUCGAGGGAAUCAAAUAUAUCAUCCAAGGUAGAAUUGUGGAAAAUUAAAGCAAAAUAAGAAAUAUGGAAAGAAAAGAAGAAAGUUAAGGCAUGAAAGACAUAUACAGUUGAAAUUAUAAUCAUGUUUCUAUUUUGUUAACUAAUCAAAUGGAAAGCUGAACUGUAAACAAACAUUAAAACGUGUGGACCAAGCUAGCUGCCCUACAAGUCCACAAUAAUAAUUGAGUACUUUGAUUCAUCCUUCUAUAAAUUUCUACCCAUAUUGACUCCACCGAAAUUUCCACAAAAUUAAAAAAAAAAAACUGAAUUUCCACAAAAUACAAAACCCGUUGAACUUAUUUUUUGGUCAUGUGAACUAAGAUGUAAAUUAAAAAAAAAGUAUAAAAUUAAAAAAGAUAAGAUUUCUAAAAUGUGUGGAAGGUGAUUCAUGAUUCACUGAAAUUACUUACCCCAGAUAUAAAAGUAAACCUAUCUAAUUUCAUUAAAAAUAGUUAGAAAAAAUUAACUAAUAAAAAGCUACGGAAAUUAACCCCCCACAAAAAUGACUUUUUAUAGAAGAAUUUAUGUUUUUUAAAAUAUGUUAUCAAAGUGUAUUUGAUCAAAUCUCAAUUGCUUAGUAUGGUUAGGAUUUUGUGAACAUCACUAAAAAGUGAAAAACUAUGAAUGAUAGGGGUGAUGCUUGCAAUAUGAAUAAAUAAUGGACUGAUUCAAUUGAUGAUUACAUUUAUAUAUUAUUGAUUAUUUAUGAAUUUUCAGACUUGUUAUGAUGUAUAACUAUGUGAUUUUGAAACUUGAAACCGUGGCAAACAUUGAAAGGAAUUAUAACUUGAAAGCAUGACUCACGGGGUAUGUCAUGAUUCACGUGCACAAAAAAGGUAGAAUUGUGGAAAUUUACAACCCAACGACAAAUACGGAAAGAAAGGAAGAAAAUUAAAAGACUUCGGGCCUAGCCUGCGUGUAUUAAUUAUUAGAUUACUUUUUUUUUUAUAAGGGUAAUCAUCAAUUUACUCCAUAACAAUCUUUAAUUCAUUUUUAAAAAAUAUGAAAACUUUAAUUUAUCUUUUAAACAUCGUUACCUCUUCAUUGGUUUUAAUAGUUCAAAGGGUAAAAUUAUAUUUGCAUAUUUUCUUGACCGCCAACUAAAUGAUAAAACUCAAAAUUCAAUCUUGUUAUCUUGUUUCAAUCCUCUAUCAAUCAAAUAAGAUUUCUAAAAUAUGUGAAAGAUAUUGCAUGAUUUCCUCAACCUACCUGGCCCCGAACAUCAAGGUAAAUCUCUCUAAAAUAGUUGAUUAAAUCUCAGUUGCUAAGUAUAGUUAGGAUUGUGUGAACAUCACUGAAAACUAUGAUUGAUAGAAGUGAUCUUUGCAAUAUGAAUAAAUAAUUAACUGAAUCAAUUGAUUUAUAUAUUAAAGUUUAUGAAUUUUCGGACUUGUUGCGAUAUAAUAAUAGCAUAUGAUUUGAAACUUGAAACAGUGGUAAAUAUUGAAAGGAAUUAAUUUGAAAGCAUGAUCCGUGGGGAAUGUGAUGAAUCGUGUUUACAAAAAAGGUAGAAUUGUGGAAAUUUAUAACAGAACGAUAAAUAUGGUAAAAAGGAAGAAAAUUGAAAGACUUGGGGCCUGGCCUGGGUGUAUUUUCUAACUGUCCAAUGGACAAAAUUAUAUUUGUAUACUUUCUCUUCCCUAGCUAGGUUUCAUAGAAUAGCUCAUUUCAUUUUUAUUUUUUAAAUAAUAGCCCAAAACAUCCUUAUGUUAAUUCACUGUUAGUUGAAUAUCAUUUGUUAGUAAUUCAUUAAGGGUAAAAAAUGAUUUUCUAUCAAAGAGAAAAUUAGAAAAAUAAAUAAAAGUUGACAUAUAACUAAAAAUGAUCUUAUCUAAUCCCACUAAAUAAGAAAUGCCAAAAAAGAUGAAAAAUUUAUAUUUCAAGCAAUUCUUUUUUCACUUAUUUCUAUUUUGGCGGCAUGAAAGCCCUAUAAACCCUAGAUCUAAAUACCAAAAAUAUCACAAUUUUCUUAUUCAUAUAAGUAUACUCUCUAAUUGCAUUGUAAAAUGGCUUGAAUUGAAUUGAAGAUAAAGAAAAUAUUCAGCACAUGCAAGCACAUAAAAAUUGGUGGCAUUUUUGAGUUUUUCUUCCAAUGAUUUAAAGAUAUUGUUUUAAUUACAGUUUGUUCCUUAUGACAAUUAUUCAAUGGCUAUAUCAAACUAUAUCAUCGUUGAUUUCAUUUAAGAAAAAGUUAAUGAAUUUUGCAUACUUUGUAGUGUUAUUUAAUUGUGUAAAAAAAUUAUUUUAAUAUAGUUUGUAUCACUUUAAUGAAAAAUCUUAUUUUGCUCUCAAUGAAUUACUGGUUAAUAGUUUUACACUCACGGUGAGUUAACGGAAGGAUAUUUUAGGCUAUUGAUUGAAAAGGAGGGAUAAAAUGGGCUAUUGCAUUAAACUUUAGGGAUGAAAAAUGCUUUUUCUCCUUUCUUAUCAAUCAACUAACUGAUAAAAGUCAAAACUCAUAUUUUUUUUUUCCUUGUUUCAAUCCCCUCUCAAUCAAAAAAGUUUCCUUGUCUAAGCAAUGAGGAAUAUGGCUAGAAAGAUUGUUAUUAGAAAGAUUUAUCAAUAGUAAUUGGUUCACAACUGAACAAUUUUAGAUUAUUGUGAGUCAAUAUAGGUCUUGUUUGGAAUUGAAGUGUUGUAGCUUUUAAGCUACAGCUGCUUUAGAAAAAAAACUAUAAUUAUGAAAUAAGAGUUAAUAAUAUAUAAUAAAUAUAAAUUUUAAAUAAUAAAUUUGACAAAAUUAUUAAAAAUAUAAUAGAUUUUUGAUAAUACAAGUAAAAAAAUCAUAUCAACAUAGCUUGCAAGUUACAACAGUUAGUGUUUACCUAAUACUUUAAUACUGUAGCUUUUAAGUUACAGUUGUCCAAUACCUCAAUUCCAAACGCACCUAUAAAAUGGCUUGCUUCAAAAGUCUAUCAACCCAACUUGGAAUGCUCUCAUUGUUGCGGAAACGUGGGUUGAGCAAUUACUAAUACUGCAACUUCUGGAGAAAUAUAAAUGUGGUGAUAAACAAAUGCAAAGAAAAUAGAACACAAUAUUUUACGUGGUUCGGCGUAAUGCCUACGUCCACGGGCAAAAACUGGAAGAUAAUUUUACUAACAAUGAAAUUUACAAAAGUGGGAAAAACUCACAAAACCCACAACCCCAAUACACCCAAAUGGAACCUCACUAGAACACUCAAGUGGAAGCUCUCUCAAAUUCUCUCAAAGAACUCACUUGCAAUUGCUCUCUACUUCUCUCAAAUUGGGAUGGUUACAAUAGCAAAAUGCUUCUCUAUUUAUAGAUUGCAUUCUGCUCCAAGUUGGGUUCAAUUUGUCAAAAUGUUGAGCUGGAUCUUGUAUUGCAUGCACGAGCUUUUCAACACCUAACUUUGUCUUUUGAAAUUGCUUAGCCGACCAUCUUUGCUUUUUUGAAUUUGGCAAGCAAUUCUUUGACUUUUCAACAAUUCUCCACCUCGGCGAAGAUUUAGUAAAUCUGAGCCGAUUAUCAAUAAAUUAUCCUCCAGCCUUUGCCUUCUCCGACUGCUUUUAAACUUGCAGGAUAUUAAUCAAGUUUAGACAAUGCUCAAACUUGAUCGCUGUCACCACCUUGGUCAACAUAUCUGCGGGAUUAUCUAUAGUUUUAAUUUUCUGAAGAAGAAUCUUCCCCUCAUCAAUAAUUUCCCGCACAAAGUGAAAGCGUACAUCGAUGUGCUUCGUACGCACAUGAUAAACUUGGUUCUUCGUUAAAUGAAUAGCACUCUGACUAUCGCAAUACACAUUAAUGUGCUCCUGCGCCAAUCCCAAGUUUUCAAGCAAACCUUAUAACCAAAUAGCCUCUUUAAUAGCCUCUGUAAUUGCCAUGUACUCGGCCUCUGUGGUCGAUAGUGCAACUGUAGACUGUAGUGUAGACUUCCAACUAAUUGGCCCUCCAGCAAAAGUAAAUACAUAUCUGGUGGUUGACCGUCGUUUGUCCAAAUCACCAGCAUAAUCAGAAUCAAUGUACUCGAUCACACUUUGACCAAGUGUAUCGUCUCUUUCAAACAGUAAACCAACAUCCACGGUCUUCUAAAUGUACCGUAGAAUCCAUUUCACAGCUUGCCAAUGUCCUUUACCAGGAUUAUGCAUAUACCUGCUCACUAUACCAACUGCAUGUGAAAUGUCAGGCCUUGUACACACCAUUGCAUACAUCAAGCUACCCACUGCAUUUGAAUACGAAACUUGUAACAUGUAUUCUCGUUCUGCAUAUGUUGAAGGAGAUAAUUGUGCAGAAAGCUUGAAAUGAGAAGCCAACGGGGUACUCACAGGUUUUGUCUGCUCAGUCAUGCCAAACUGCUGUAGUACCUUCUUCAAAUAUUGCUUUUGAGACAAGCUUACUUUGCCACGAGCUCUAUCUCUGCAUAUCUCCAUGCCAAGAAUCUUCUUAGCUUCACCUAAAUCUUUCAUUUCAAAUUCUUGAUUGAGUUGAGUCUUCAACUUCUCAAUCUCAUUUUUGCUCUUCGAUGCUAUUAGCAUAUCAUCGACAUACAAUAGCAAAUAAAUGAAAGAGCCUUCUUGUAGCUUGCGAAAAUACACACAAUAAUCAAAUUUAUUUCUUGUGUACCUUUGUCUUUUCAUAAAUCGAUCAAAUCGCUUGUACCACUGCCUCGGAGAUUGUUUCAACCCAUAAAGCGACUUUGUCAAUUUGCAAACCCAAUUUUCUUUUCCAGCAACCUUAAAUCCAUCUGGCUGAGUCAUGUAGAUUUCCUCUUCCAAAUCACCAUGUAAGAAUGCAGUUUUUACAUCAAGUUGAACUAGUUCAAUAUCAAAUUGCGCAACCAUGGCUAGCAAAAUUCGAAUAGAUGAAUGUUUCACAACUGGAGAAAAUACCUCAUUGUAGUCUAUUCCUUCCUUCUGAGCGUAACCCUUCGCUACCAAUCUAGCCUUGUAUCGAAUUUCAUUUUUACAAGGAAAUCCUUCCUUUUUUGCAUAUACCCAUUUGCACCCAAUUGCCUUCUUUUCCUUGGGCAGUGUAACUAACUCCCAAGUUUCAUUUUUGUGAAGAGACUGCAUUUCUUCGUUCAUUGCUUUCUUCCACUGUAUACUUUCUGGAUUACUUACUGCUUCUCUGUAAGUGGAAGGAACAUCAUCAUCUACAAUUGGAAGUGCAUAGGCCACCAUAUCAACAAAGCGAGCAAGUCUGCGAAUCUCUCUAUGUGGCCUUCUAUAUGCAAUUGAAUCAUGUUGCUGUGAAGGUUCCUAGGUCAGAACCUCUUCAUCAUUUUCGGUCGAUGGAGAAUCAUUAUCCAUCUCAUCGACACCAGCUGGAUCAGCUUUAACUUUUUCAAACUCCACAUGCUGCAAACUGCUACUGGUCUUGUCAUUCUCUUGAGAAUCUUUUUGUUUCAACAUGGUUGAUUCAUCAAAAGUUACAUCUCUGCUGAAAAUAAUCUUCUUCGUUACAGGACACCAGAGACGGUAUCCUUUUACUCCACCAGUUAUACCCAUGAACAAUGCUUUCUUUGCUCUUGGGUCUAACUUAGAUUCUUUUACAUGAUAAUAAGUAGUGGAACCAAAAACAUGUAAAGAAUUAUAAUCAGUAGUAGGUUUACCAGUCCACAUCUCCAUGGGUGUUCUGCCCUCAAUUGCAGUUGAUGGCAAACGGUUGAUCAAAUGGCACGCAUAUACAACUGCCUCAGCCCAAAACUCUUUGCCCAAUCCAGCAUUGGAUAACAUACACCGAACUUUCUCCAGUAUAGUCCGGUUCAUGCGUUCUGCCACCCCAUUCUGUUGUGGUGUAUCUCGAACAGUGAAAUGUCGCACAAUACCCUCAUCUUGGCAUAUUUGAAGAAAUGGAUCAUUCUUGUACUCACCACCAUUAUCUGAGCGAAGUCUUUUGAUCUUUCGACCAUUCUGAGUCUCGACCAUUUUCUUCCAUUUCAUAAAUAUGCCCAAAACUUCAUUUUUGUUCUUCAUCAAAUACACCCACACUUUUCUUGAAUAAUCAUCAACAAAAGUAACAAAAUAGUGCAUACCUCCCAAAGAAGCUGUUUUGGUAUGUCCCCACACAUCACUGUGAACAUAGUCCAUAAUUCCUUUUGUAUCGUGAAUUGCUGAACCAAACUUUACCCUUGUCUAUUUGCCCAGAACACAAUGUUCACAAAAUUCUAAUUUGCAAGAAUUUGUACCUUUCAAUAAGCCUUGCUUCGCUAAAGUUUGCAAAGCUUUUUCACCAGCAUGUCCCAAACGCAUAUGCCACAAUUUGGUUGCUUCUAAAUCUGCAUCUUUUCCAGAAACUGUUGAUGCUGAUCCAAUAACUGUACUUCCUUGGAAAUAGUACAAGUUAUUUCUUCUUGUGCCUUUCAUUACCGUCAGUGCCCCAGCUACUACCUUCAACAAUCCAUCUCUUAAAGUGAUUGUGAGUCCUUUAGAUUCUAGGACUCCUAAUGAGAUGAGAUUUUUCUUCAAGCUUGGUACAUAGCGAACAUCUGUCAAAACUUGGAUUGAGCCAUCAUGAUUCUUUAAUUGGAUUGUACCUAUUCCCAUGGUUUUACAAGCAUUGUCAUUGCCCAUAAAAACAACUCCACCGUCUAGCUCCUUGAAGUUAGAAAACCAGCCCUUGUUAGGACACAUAUGAUAAGUACAACCCGAAUCCAAAAUCCACUCAUCUGAGUGACAUAUCAAUGUCAUGCCAACCAGACUAAAGUCUGACUCCUCAUCAUGCUCUGCUACACAUGCAUCAGAAGUAGCCUUGCCCUUUUGUAACUUAGGACAAUUCUUUUUCCAAUGCCCUUUCUCGCGACAAAAAGCACAUUCAUCUUUGGCAGGUCUCCCUUUAGACUUGUUCCUUUUUCCAGGUUUGUGGCUUUGCGAACGACCUCUCGCUGUCAGUGCUUCUGCAACUGUAUAUCUGUGAUCCUUUCUAUCUUUCUUUCUGGUCUCAGAGUUGUACAAUGCACUGCAUACAGCAUCGAAUGUGACACUGUCCUUCCCAUGAAGCAAAGUAGUGGUAAGAUGAUCAUAUUCAUCAGGAAGGGAAUUCAACAACAAUAAUGCCUUAUCUUCAUCUUCAAAUCUCUCAUCUAGAUUUAGCAAAUCCGCCAAUAUCUUGUUGAAUGAGUUCACGUGGUCAUUCAUUGACAUGCCAUGUGUAUAUGUAAAUCGAUAGAGUUUCUUUUUCAUAUAAAGCCUAUUUUCAAGACUUUUCUUCAUAUGCUUUUCUUCCAGUGUCUCCCACAAUUUCUUUGCCGAUGUCUCCCUCAUGACAGAGUAUUUCUGAUCUUUAGCCAGACAUAGGCGAAUAGUACCACAUGCCUGUCUAUUGAUUUUUAUCCACUCCUUGUCAUCCAUCACGUCAGGCUUUUCUUCAAGAGCAACGUCCAACUCUUGUUGACAUAAGACAUCCAACACCUCACAUUGCCACAUACCAAAAUUAUUGGUACCAUCAAAUUUCUCCACUUCAAACUUUGCAUUAGUCACAGUAGUUCUCGCUGAUGAAGACGACGACGGUGCCUCUGCCAUCCUUUUUAUCUCAAAUGAUCAGUUUCUUCAACAACUAUUUACACUUAAAAAACAGCCUCUAUGAUGUUUAUUUCGCGUGAAUAAAUGCACCAGGAAAGUUCCCAAGAGACUGGACGGGAACUCGGUCCCAAUUAAAAACCAGAAUCCUUAGACUCUUAUCGCCUUUGUUGACAGAACUUUCCUAGACAUGCAAAAAUACACACUACUUACAAUAGACUGCCUCCCAAGUAUAAAUGACCGUCUCCACCGUAUUUGUGAACAGUACCGUUUAUAGGAAUAGUACCGUAUACGUGAACAAUACCGUAUCCCCCCAAGUACGAGCCGUCGGCUCUGAUACCACUUGUUGCGGAAACGUGGGUUGAGCAAUUACUAAUACUGCAACUUCUGGAGAAAUAUAAAUGUGGUGAUAAACAAAUGCAAAGAAAAUAGAACACAAUGUUUUACGUGGUUCGGCGUAAUGCCUACGUCCACGGGCAAAAACUGGAAGAUAAUUUUACUAACAAUGAAAUUUACAAAAGUGGGAAAAACUCACAAAACCCACAACCCCAAUACACCCAAAUGGAACCUCACUAGAACACUCAAGUGGAAGCUCUCUCAAAUUCUCUCAAAGAACUCACUUGCAAUUGCUCUCUACUUCUCUCAAAUUGGGAUGGUUACAAUAGCAAAAUGCUUCUCUAUUUAUAGAUUGCAUUCUGCUCCAAGUUAGGUUCAAUUUGUCAAAACGUUGAGCUGGAUCUUGUAUUGCAUGCACGAGCUUUUCAACACCUAACUUUGUCUUUUGAAAUUGCUUAGCCGACCAUCUUUGCUUUUUUGAAUUUGGCAAGCAAUUCUUUGACUUUUCAACACUCAUUCAAGUGGCUAUAACUAAGAUAAAACGUCGCAAAGGAAGAGUAAUUAAAAAAUGUAACUUCUUUAACAUGUCCAUAUAGCAUUUUUGUUUACAAGUGAAUUUGUGUGAUAGAGAGAGGAUGUAAGCAAGAUAGUAAACUCCUAAAUAUAUUAUUGUUUGUAAUGUCUAAAAUUUGAAGAGAAUCAAGCUAAUAAAACUCCAUUGAAAUUAGACCUUCAAGAGUACGGUUCUUGGGCAUUAUAAAAUGUUGUAAUGUUGAGAGAUUACCCAACCAUUAUGGAAUCCUACCAAGAUGAUUGUUACCACUAAGAUACAAUCCUUCUAGUGAACAACAAUUAGACAAAUUUUUUGGAGAUCUCUCUUACAAAGUCAUUACCAUCCAAUCGCAAUUUUGAAUGAAAAUAAAUUUUUUUUAUUGGGAGUUUGACCUUAACAUUAAAUUUAGACAAUGAAUUUUAACUUUCUUCAAUUAUUAAGCAGAUUACGGACAUUUGAGGAAUUUGAAAACAUUUCAUCCAUCGAAAGUUAAAAUUAGAGAUGGAAGCUAGGUGCUACAGCUAAUGGGAACAUUAAUUCCUGUCCCUCAUCACACUUUAUUUUGGGUCUAAUAAUUUUACGGCAGCAUUGACCACUGCUCAAGGUAAGUAAAACUUACAAAUGUGUGGCAAAAUAAAUAAUUAAGUGGAUAAACUGUUAACUAAUUUUCUUGAUAUAUACAGCUAAUGUAGUUGUUCCUCUGUUAAAAAAACAAAUGCUAAGCAAUUUCGGCUGAGCCUGCUUGUGGUGUUGAUAAAAACGAGGGCUGGCUUCAAAUAUUUGAAUAGACACCUCCACCGUACCUCAAACAAAUCUGUCAUUAUUUGUGCCAUGAAACAUGUUUCGGCCGUCAAAGUCAUGAGAGGGUUGAUGACGCUACUACGUAUGAUGACACACCAGCCGACAGUGUAGUAACAGCUCAAAAACAAAAUCUACCAAAAUCAACGGAAGUUAAUAAAAAAUUAUUUUAUUAAUAAAAAUAAAUAAAUAACUUAUUAUUUUUGGAGACGUGUGUAGUUGAGUCUGUGGACUGAAAUGGAAAAUAUGAAGAAGUUCAGAGUCGUUGUGCAGAUUGACUUCAGUUAAAUGGGACUAGUAGAUAUUUUAUGCUGACGUGGCACGAAUUAGUUAUAAUCUGUUACAACGUUUCCAGAAACAUCAGUAUAAAUAGAAGCUGAUGAGCAGUGCCUGUUGUACUUGUACGAUCCUUUUUCUUCUUCAGUUGUUCGUCAAUUUGCAUAGAAUCUGUUUCAUUGUGAUCUGUGCAAAGUCUUCUAUAAAUCCACUUAUGUUUGAUUAGUUAUUGAUCAAUAUCGAGAACAUUAUCCACCUGGAACGACUUCAAGUCCAAAGUAAAAGAGAGAGUGGCUCCCCGCAAUUUUCUUGUUUUCAGUAUAUUUUCUUUUUUUUUUCUUUUUUAAAAUCUUUUGACGCAUGCAUAAUCUACCCUUGUUUAUUAUCUCUACUUUGCUCUGCUCAAGUCCAUUUUUUCAAAUCUUAUUUUAAAUAAUAAAUUGAAUAAAAGUACAUUUGUGUAAUUAAUUAGUAUCUGAGGGGGGCAGCAUAUUUGGUGGAGUGUUAUGCUAUGUAAGACUCAGCUAUUAUCAAACAGUCCCUUAACCAUUUAAUUUAAACCAACUUCUAUUUGGUUUAUUUGCUAUCUUUGUGGAUCUCAUAGGCGUGGCAGAGUUUAAUAAUUUUAUCGUCUGAAGAAUAGGAUAUUGGCUUCAAUAAAUUUAAUUUAAACCAACUUCUAUUUACUCCAUCAAUUAAUUAAUGACAUUUUGUUUUGAAAAAUUCAAUAAUUAAAUUCUCACGUUUCAUGUGUUUGAAGUCAAAUUAUUCAUUAACUAGAACUCUGUUCAAAAUUGACUGUCUUGUGGUUCCCAAAUGUAGUUGUAAUAUUGAAUGAAAGUAAAAACUUUCUAUGGCGAGUUUAAAUCUAAAUCUGGACAAUGAAUUUUGAGUUUCUCAAUGCUAUUCUAAUAACAAAAAUUAUGUUGAUUGAUUUAUUGUUACAGUUACUAUCCUUUGAAAAUGGAUGGAUUCAUUGUUUCCGUGACCAAAUUAUGCCUGCCUAACGCUGCAACUAUUAAAAAAUUUAAUAUUUAAUGCACAUGUUAAAAGAUUUAAAAUUUUAUGCAUUUAUUAAUUGUUAUAAUCUUAAAAAAAAUUAAUUAAUUCAGGUCAAUCUGAGUUGGUGCAUCUGCAGGAGCCUUUUUUUAAUUUUUUUUUCCCCUUAUUGACCAUAAUGACAUCUCCUUCAACAUGACUAUUGACAAAGAGCAUGUAAAAACAUGGAAACAGAACUUCCACAGGUGGAAUUUAAGUUUUGGCCAUGUGGCCAUGAAAGAAAAAGGAAAAGACGCCUCUAAGAUUUGUUUCAGUGGUUUACAUUGACUCUUUAAUUUAAUUUAUAGUAACACAAUUUUUUUUGUACAAAUAUAUAUUAUUCAUGUUUUGUAUUAUAUUUUAACAUCAUAUUUUUAUUUAUUAUAAAUAUUUAAAGCUAAUUUUUAGGUUGAUAUUUAAUAAAAGGGUAUAAUCGUUCCAUCCAUUUCUCAUCUCGCGAUCUCUCUCAAUUAUCCUUUAUUGAUAGCUCAAAGCGCGUUGCUGUGGAAAAUUGUAGCAAAAUGAAAAAUUGGAAAGAAAGGGAAGAAAAUUAAUGCUUGGAGAAAGCAAUCCAAUAAGUCAACUGGUCUUUAGUGGGAACAUAUUACAAAAAGGCCUCGAUCAUCAUAUCGUAGACUCGGGGAUAAGGAUUUGGAUCGAGUUUUUGUUUUGAUAUUGAAGGACCUACUUCUCUGCCGCGAUGUAGAAUAUAUGCAAGGAGUUGUCUACUGCUCUUUAGGUCAUAAUAAUGUGAUUGGUGCAUUCAACGUUGCCCCGAAACACUGGAAAGUACUUCCAUAUCCUCCGAAUGAGAACUGAUUUAUAUAUGAUUUCCUAAUUGACUCAGGAUCAGAUGACAACAACAACUUAUUAAUAGUUAUAUCAAAACGGCAGAAGACGUGUUUUGUUUACAGGUUUGAUCCAUUUGGAAUGAAGUGGUCUCAAGUCGAAAGUAAUUUAUCGAAUAACUUUCGACUAAUUAAUAGUUAUAUCAAAGGGUGUGGGUGUUUUACCUCAUCAUGUCUUCAAGUGGAAGAUGAAGACUAGCAAGUGAAUUCAGGAAUAUUGCAUGCCAUUAAAUUUGUAGUUUUUACAUGUUGAUCAGCAGGAUACAACAUUAAAUUUUGUCAUUGACAAUACUGCAUGCCUGUCGUCUAAAGCAUUACCUCACAAGGUUUUAUGAGAAACGAAAGAUGUGUUUGCUUUGAACAAUUAAAGUUACUGCUACGAACCUCCCCAAAGGUCAAGAAGACAGAACAGGAAGCUAAUGCCAUCAAUGUCUUGUUCAUUAUAGCUGCUGGGUAGUUAGGUGUAGUUUCCUCAUUUGAAGCUGUCUAUACAUGGGCAUUUCCCCUGCUUAUGUACAAAUAAAUGAACAACCUUGAAGCUUUAUUAUUCGCAACAAAAAGGGAUUACUAAUUGGAGAAGACUAUACAGAGUUUCUCUCACACUUUCACUCUGUCAAUUUCAUCUAGAAGUCCCUCUAAAAGCAUCUCCCAAAACAGUUAGUCAUCUUUUAUGCUCUGUUUGUAAAAAAUGUGGGCUUUAUUCUUUCUAGAAGAGAUGGAAUUCUAGAAGAGAUGGAUUUGCACGGUCAAAAAGAAAAGAAAAGCCGUAAAAUAAACAGUAGCCGCAAAAUGAACAGUAGCCGCAAAAUGAACAGUAACCGCAAGAUGAACAGUAGUCACUGGUGGCUAUAAAUAGAGGAGUGCUCCUCCUUAUUGUUUGUAUCCAAAAUCCCAGAGAAGGAAUCCAAGUUUUGGUGAGAAAUUGAGAAAGAAAAAUAUUCUUAAGCAUGUAGUUAUAUUGAAGGAGCAUUUGUCUCCUCAAUAUGGGUAUUACGAGUUUGCUUUGUUAAGAGGUAUUUCUCAAGAUUAUGUAUUUGGGGUUUGGGUGAGAGAAAAUUUAUGAGAGUGCGGUUGUAAUAAUUUUCCACAUAGUGAAUAUUUUUUCUCUGGUUGUCUUUUUGACAACGGCCGUGGUUUUUUCUCCGGAUUUGGAGUUUUCCACGUAAAUCUUGUGUUGUGGGAUUGAUAUUAUUUUUCAUUUAAUUUUUCUUGUUAAUUUGUUAAUUGACAAAUUGCUUGGAGAGAUCUUGGGAGGAAGCUCAAUUUCCUAACAGUGGUAUCAGAGCCAUUGAUUGAAGUUUUGGUGUCGGGGUACUAUUCACGUAUACGGUACUGUUCACGUGAAGCAGUUUGAGCCAAUCCGAAUAAUCUGUGGUGAAGAGAAUAUGAAGCAAAUAUGUCAGCAGCUGGUGUUUUUCAAACUUGGUUGAAGUUUGAUGUUGUUGAAAAAUUAAUGGGAGAAUGAUUUUAUUGGCUUGUGGAGAAUUCAAGUCAAAGGUGUAUUCAAUCUGGGUUACACAAGGCAUUGAAGGGGAAGCCAUCCCCUGCGUCCAGUGGUGGCUCUGGAAAAGCUAGUAUAAGUGAUGAAGAUUGGGAAGAAUUAGAUGAUCGAGCUGCAAGUGCCAUACGACUAUGUCUAGCAAAGAAUGUUCUUGCAAAUGUAGGAAAAAUUCUUACAGCGAAAGAACUUUGGGAGAAGCUAGAAAAGUUGUAUCAGACAAAGAGCAUCUCAAAUCGAUUGUACCUGAAGGAGCGAUUUCACACACUGCGAAUGGCUGAAGGUAUAAAAAUUUCCGAUCACCUCAGUGUUCUCAAUGGUAUUGUGUCAGAACUAGAAGCCAUUGGAGUUAAAAUUGAAGAUGAGGACAAGGCGCUUAGGUUACUAUGGUCACUUCCAACUUCCUACAAACACUUGUUACCUACUUUGAUGUACGGGAAGGAUACAGUAGAUCUUGAAGAAGUUACUAGUACUUUACUCUCAGAAGAAAGAAGACUGAAUGGUGAAAGUACUAAAACUACAGAUGUCUCGGCUUUGGCAGUUGUAGGGAAUUGGCAGAAAGAUAAAUCUAAGAAGAAAGGAGUCUGCUGGGGGUGUGGACAAUCGGGGCACUUAAAAAGAGAUUGUCAUAGUAGAAAUGGAGUAGGAUCGGCAAGUGGCUCCAGAUUAGAUACUGAUAGUAUUGCUAGUGGUAAGUCUCUCAUCAUCAUGGGAGACGAUGAUCCCUUGUAAAAUGGAUGAUGAUGACAUCCUCAUGGUAUACCGCUAGUACCAUGAAAGGGGAUAUGUUACUACUAGCGGGUCCACAAGAUUUACACACAAGGCAUGGUUGGCAUUGAUGCAGGGUGUGUGGUGGAAUUUAUGUCGAUGAUUGACAAACUUCCAGGAAGGCCAACAUGGAAGUUGCACCAUAAAUUUCAGCAGGAUAUUUCGACAUGUGCCGAUGUAAAAUUCUUAGAAUUGGUAAUUAAUUCUAAGUGGUAUAUUCUUUAUGGUGGAGUAUGAUAAUUCUCUAUGACGAGGAUUAUGACUUAGGUGAAAACAGUAAGGACAGUGUGGAGAUUGAUUGGUUCUUAAUCAAAUCUCCAAGUGAGAGAAUGUAAAAAAUGUGGGCUUUAUUCUUUCUAGAAGAGAUGGAAUUCUAGAAGAGAUGGAUUUGCACGGUCAAAAAGAAAAGAAAAGCCGUAAAAUAAACAGUAGCCGCAAAAUGAACAGUAACCGCAAGAUGAACAGUAGUCACUGGUGGCUAUAAAUAGAGGAGUGCUCCUCCUUAUUGUUUGUAUCCAAAAUCCCAGAGAAGGAAUCCAAGUUUUGGUGAGAAAUUGAGAAAGAAAAAUAUUCUUAAGCAUGUAGUUAUAUUGAAGGAGCAUUUGGCUCCUCAAUAUGGGUAUUACGAGUUUGCUUUGUUAAGGGGUAUUUCUCAAGAUUAUGUAUUUGGGGUUUGGGUGAGAGAAAAUUUAUGAGAGUGUGGUUGUAAUAAUUUUCCACAUAGUGAAUAUUUUUUCUCUGGUUGUCUUUUUGACAACGGCCGUGGUUUUUUCUCCGGAUUUGGAGUUUUCCACGUAAAUCUUGUGUUGUGGGAUUGAUAUUAUUUUUCAUUUAAUUUUUCUUGUUAAUUUGUUAAUUGACAAAUUGCUUGGAGAGAUCUUGGGAGGAAACUCAAUUUCCUAACACUGUUUUCUAGAAACAGAGUCCUAACUAAAUUGAUUGACUGAACAGUGCAUUUCAACAUAGCAUAUUUAACUGUUUAAACAGUUAUUUGAACCGUCUUCAGAGUUAUCAUCAACAAACUCAUUCAUACUGGUCCAAUCUUACGGACGAUAUCAUAUGCUUAAUAAUGAACGAAUAGUCUUGGAUCAGUGUUUUGCGGCAAGAGCAACUCGACACAAUCUGGAUUCAACCUCCUCCUAUCUAACAAGGGAUUUCGAUUUGAGUUACUUGGUGCUCAAGCAAAUUCACAUCAUAGUUUUGAUUCUUUAGAUAUGAAUUCAUCACAUUACAUAUAUCAGAUUAAGUGUAACAAAAUUCUUUAUCUACUGCGAAAAUAAUAUGCGCUAAAAAAUGAUUUCAAGACUAUUUGACUACAAAAAGCAGCUGCAUGGCUCAGCCUCAGGUAAGAAAGCCACAGAAAAGGAAAAUCUCACUGUCACGACUCACGUCACGCAUCAUUCAAGUGAUGGAUUUAACAAGACUGCUUAUGUUCUAUCAAAUUCCUCUGCCUCUCAGAAGAUAACUUUUCUGGGCCAAAUUUCUCAUCUAAAGCAUAUUAUGCCCCAAAGUCAGAGAUAACAAAAUGGGGCACUACCGAUUAUGAAAGAGAGCUAGUAGUUGUCAGAAGCCUAAGUCAAAUUCCGGUAGUAAGAAGAGGCCUUUCUUGAGUUUAGAUUAUGUGUUCGAGUUUUAAUAAAUGCCUAAGUUAAUAAUAAUAACAACAGUAAUAAUAAACUAAAAAGCAUAAUUACUAUUGAAUGGUAAAAAAAAAAAAUGAAAAUGUGUGAACUCCAAUAACCACCCCAGUGGCGAAUUUUGGAGAGGGCUAGGCCGGGCUUCUUAGAAAUUAUUUUUAUUUAAUUACAAAAUCACCUUUACUGAAACCUAUAUAAAAUUUUUUAUAUUAAUUAAUUAUGUUGCCUCUUCAAUUAUCAUUGAAUUCUUGUCCGUUCAUCAUUUGAUGGAUAAAUGUGUAUUUCAAUAAUUUCAAAUAAUGUCUAGAACAAAUAUUUUGAAUGAUAAAACUCAUUAUGUCCUGCAUUACUAGAUGUAUCUAUAAUUUAUUAUUUACAAAUUAUAUUGUAUGAUAAAAAUGUAUUGAAUUUUUUAAAAAAAAAAAAGUUCGGCUCACUCAGAAAAAAAUGUUAUUAGCUUCGCCACUGCACAAAUCUAGAAUAAUAAUUAUUCCUUAUUAUAUUGACUGCACCAAGCAAUAAACUAAUAAGUUCUCAUUAGUGGUUUUUAAUCUUUUUAAUUCUUUUUACCGCACACCUGAUCAAUAAUUCUAUUUUGUUAACUAAUCAAUUGCAAAUCAUAUAUUAGUGUUGAACGGUGAACAAAAUUGAAAAAAAAAAUUCUUAAAAAACGUGUGGACUCGGAUAGCCAGACCAGAAAUCUAUGACAAUAAUUAGCUUUGAUGCUGGGAAUCUUUUAGUUUCUGGCCGUAUUGACUCCACCAGUGAUGCUGGGAAUCUAAUGGAGCUCAUUCUUUGGUUUUACUUGCAGGUCUAGAAGCAGGUGUCAUCUUGUAAAGAAGGAAAAUAAUAUUUGCCUUUUUGAAUAAUUUUAUUGAACCAGGAGACGCAGCUAUAUACAAGAGAUUUCCUACAAUCAUGCUAAUCUAUUCUAGGUAGUCUAAGGGCCAGUUUGGUAAUGCUGCAGCUUUUAAAAUAAUUACUGUUAGCUGUGCUGUAGAAAUAAUCAGCUGUGAAGAGAAUCAGUUAAGUGUUUGGUAAAUUUUAUUUUUAAAAGUACUGUGAAUUUUGAAAGCAGUUAUGGGUGUUUGGUAAAUCUUAUUGUUAAACUGCUGUAAGAAAAUAAAUGACUAAAAUGUACAUAAUGUAGGAUGAAAUUUACUUAUACAUAUAAAAAUAUACACGUACAAUAUUAUAAUAAAAAUUGCAUAGGCAUAGAAUUGUUUAUAUAUAAACAAACCCAAAUAAGACAAACAACAAAUAUUAUAAUAAAAAAUACAUUGAAUAUGCAUGAAAAGGGUGAUGAAUCACUUACUGUUAUUGAAUAUGGUUAUGGAACACAUACUGGAUCUUGCUUUGUUGCACUAGAGAAGUUUUGAUAGAACACAAAAUAUGAAGAAAUAGGGUAAACGAAAGGUGUGUGUUAAUUAUAAUAAAAAAUUAUUAAAAUAUUGAUUUUAUUUCCAAUUUAAAUAAGGAUAAUUUCGGGUUUAAGUAAUAAUUGUAAGGAUAUUUAUGGAAUUAUAUUAAAGGAUAAAAUUGAUUCUCAAAAUCAAAAUCUAAAAGUUACUCCUUCCCUGCUUUUCAAAAUCAGCUGUAGGAGGAGCUGAUUCUGGCAAAAGUAAUUUUGAUUUUUUUUUUACCAAACACCAAAAUUAGCUUUUAGAUUUUUAAAAUCACUUUUAACCCUCUCAAAAGCAAUCCCAAACGGGGCCUAAAUAUAAAAGGCAACUAAACAAAUAUACAACUAAUACAAUAUAUUCGUCAAUGAAUGGUCAGAUAUCAUUGACCUUUCCUUCUCAACACUCCCCCUCAAGUUGGAGAGUGGAUGUCAAGAACUCCCAACUUGCGUAUCAUAGUUGAGAAAGCUUCCUUUCCCAAUGGCUUGGUGAACACAUCUGCAAGUUGAUCUGUUGAGGCAACAUGUUUGGUUACAACUGAACCAUCUUGUAUUUUGUCACGAAUAAAAUGGCAAUCCAUCUCUAUAUGUCUGGUUCUUUCGUGGAAAACGGGAUUGGCAGCUAUAUGUAAGGCUGCUCUGUGUUAUCACAAUAUAAUAAUGCUGGCUUCGGAUGCAAUAUUCUCAAAUCCUUCAAUAAUGAGCGUAGCCAGGAUAAUUCACAACAUGUACCUGUCAUGGCUCUAUAUUCAGCUUCUGCUGAGGAGAGAGAUACGGUUUUCUGCCUCUUUGUCCGCCAAGAAAUAAGAGAAGAUCCCAGAAAAACACAAUAACCCGUAGUGGAUCUACGAGAUAUUGGACAACCAGCCCAAUCCGAAUCAGAAAAAGCUCGCAAAGAUAAAUCAUUCUGAGAAAGGAAAAACAAACCUUGCCCUGGACUAUUUUUCAAAUAACGCUAUACACGCAAGACAGCUUCCAUGUGUGGUCUACGUGGUGCAUGCAUGAAUCUGCUUAACACAUGGACCGAAUAGGUGAUAUCCGGUCGGGUAAUAGUUAAAUAAAUUAGGCGUCCAACAAGUCGUCUAUACUGAGACGGAUCUUUAAGCAAUUCACCUAAAUCCGAGAGCUUUAUGUUUUGUUCCAUGGGAAAGUUCACAGGUUUAGCACCCAAAAAUCCACCAUCUUUUAAAAUUUCCAAAGUAUAUUUUCGUUGCGAGAUGGAAAUACCUUUCUUCGACCGAGAAACUUCGAUGCCCAGAAAAUACUUCAAAUCACCCAAAUCUUUAAUUCGAAAAUGACUAUGUAGAAACUGCUUGAGGGAUACUAUGGCAUUGACGUCAUUACCCGUAAUAAGAAUGUCAUCGACAUAUAUCAACAAAGCUGUAAACGAUUUGCCUUUCCGACAUGUGAAUAACGAGUAAUCAGCUUUGGAUUGAACAAAGCCAGCAGCUUGGAUAGCUGUAGAGAACUUGGCAAACCAUUGUCGGGAAGCUUGCUUUAAGCCAUAUAACGACUUGUGAAGGCGACACACUAGAUUCUCCCCCUGUCGCCGAAGACCAGGAGGUGGAGACAUAUAAAUUUCUUCAUGGAGAUCGCCAUGAAGAAAGGCAUUGUUGACAUCAAGUUGGUGAAGAGACCAAUUCUGGGCAGCUGCUAAAGCCAAUAAACAACGAACAGUAAUCAUUUUAGCAGUGGGAGAAAAAGUGUCAUGGUAAUCUAUACCUUCUAGCUGUGUGUAACCUUUUGCAACCAAACGAGCUUUGAAACGCUCAAUACUACCAUCCGAGUGUCGUUUGAUUUUAUAAACCCAACGACAACCAAUAGGCUUCUUACCAGGAGGAAGAGAAGUGAGGGACCAAGUGUGGUUGGCUUCUAAAGCAGCCAAUUCAGAUUGCAUUGCUUCUUGCCAAUGGGAAUGGGAAGCUGCUUUGGCAUAAGAUGUAGGCUCAAUAUCUUGACUGACAGCAGCAGUAAAAGAGCGAUGUUGUGGUGAGUAACGAUGAUAAGAGACAAAAUUGCAAAGGGGAUAUCGUGUACCUUUUUGUAGACUUGAUGACAAAGGCGGCAAAUGGUUGGGAGACGUUACUUGGUUACAGACAUAAUCACGUAAAGCCAUGGGAGGGUGAUGAGGUCUUUGGGAACGACGUAAAAUGGGUUCGGGAGGAGGACUAGCAGGUGAUAGCUGAGUAGAAACUAAAUUCGGUGGUAAUGGUUGUUGGAUGGGAGAAAUUGGUUCCGGUGGUAAGGGUUGUGGAACUGGUGGGGAAGGAGCGGAUAUAGAAAGAGGAAUCACAUGGUCUGAAUUUAAGGAAGGGGAUGGAAUAGACUCAUAAGGGAAAAUAGUUUCAUGAAAAACAACAUCACGGCUAGUGAACAUUUGGUGGGUGUCAAGGUCAUAGAGCUUGUAAGCUUUUUGACCAACUAGAUAGCCAAGAAAAAGACAUCGUUUAGCUCGAGGAGCAAAUUUAUGGGGGACGUGCACAUUAGUAGCAUAGGCAAGACACCCAAAAACUCGGAUAUGAGAAUAAGAAGGAAGCUUUCCAUAAAGUCGUUCAAAAGGAGUUUGGCGAGAAAGGAGUGGUGUGGGCAAACGAUUAAUUAUAUGAACAGCAGUAGAAACACAUUCUGCCCAAAAAUGUAAAUGAAGGUGGGUUUGAAAACGAAAAGCUCGAGCGGAAGCAAGAAUAUGGCGGUGCUUGCGCUCUACAACCCCAUUUUGUUGAGGGGUAUAGACACAAGAAUGUUGGUAAGUGGUCCCUUUUUGUUUAAAAAAUUCCCGCAUAGAGAAGAAUUCUCCACCAUUAUCAACCCAAAUGUUGGCUAUAGAUACAUGGAAUUGGGUUUGGACAAAUGAAAAAAAAUUGACAAGUAAAUGUUGUGUUUCACUUUUGUGAUGCAUAAAAAACACCCAUGUGAAUCUAGAAUAAUCAUCCACAAUAGUCAAAAAAUAUUUCGCACCAGAAAGAGAGGCAAUUUUAUAGGGACCCCAAAUGUCACAAUGAAUUAAUUCAAAAGGUCUAAUAGAUGAAAUUGAACUAAUAGAAAAUGGAAGUCGACUUUGUUUUGCAAGUGCACAAACAUCACAAGCAUUAUUAGACUGGGAAGGGAAAUUUAACAAAUGUUUUGCCAUAAAAUCUAAUCUAGAGGAAGACAAAUGCCCCAAACGGCGAUGCCACAAAAUGGUGGAGGAGGUGACCUGAGAACUGGGUGAACAGCAAGAAGUGGCUGCUGCGGAUGGAGUUUGAGGUUUUGGUUUUUCUGAUGCUAACGCAACCAAGUAAUAAAGUCCGUCUCGUUGUUCACCCAAACCAAUUGUCGUCCUCGUCGUCAAGUCCUGCAAAAUACACCAAUGAGGGAAAAAAGUUACUGAACAAUUGAGAUCUCUGGUAACUCGACUCACAGACAUUAAAUCCACCUUAAAAGAUGGCACACCAAGCACAUUUUGUAAAGUAAUAGCAGAAUUCAAAGGUAAAUUCCCAAUGGAUGUAAUCGAAGCCUGUUCUCCACUUGGCAUAGCAACUGGUGGCAAAAAAGUGUUCUUAUUGCUGUUGACAAGCAAAGUUGGUGAUGAAGUAAUGUGGUCUGUUGCACCACUGUCGAUAAUUAAUCGAUGGAGGCGCAACAAUCUUUGUAACAAACCUGAGGCAGCAGCAUUAGCUUUAGGAUUGGUGGAUUGUGUUGUCCCUUUACCCUGCAUGAUAGAUAAGAUUUGUUGGAUUUGCAAGUCAGAGAGCCCAUUUGUCACUGAUGGCACUUCCUGCAUUACUGGACUUUCCUUGACAUUGUUGGCUGAAGAUUGAUGGUUAUUGUUGCGCUUGAAAUGAGUGCUUCCUUGAUUAGAUUUGUUUGAUGCAUGUUUAGGGUGUUCUGGUGGGUACCCAUUCAGCUUCCAGCAUUUUUCUCGUACAUGAUGGUCACGAUCACAAUAAGAGCAAUGCAAAGGUUUUCGAUUAGAUGGGUUGGAACGAGAAGAAGAACCUUGUUCAUGUCGAACAGCUAGAGCUACCGGUUCAGCCCUUCGAACAAUCAUGGCUGAGUUCUCCAUCAUCUCACGUGCAACCCCCAGGCUGCGCUGCUUCUCCUCUUGUACAAUGGAAGAGUAAGCCUUAGCAACAUCAGGUAGCGGAUUCAUCAACAAAAUCUGCCCUCGGAUUGCACUGUAGGACUCAUUGAGUCCCAUGAGAAAUUGCAUCAAUCUGCGUCUCUUAUGGUCUGCCCCACAAGAGCAAACGGUGUCAUUAUAGGAUCCUAGUUCAUCCCAUAAUUUUUUUAGCCUUGUGUAAUAAGCUGCAACAGUCAUCUGAUCUUGAGCAAGACAAGCAAUGUCCCUCUCAAUCUGAAAAAUACGAGGGGCAUUGCUUUGAGAAAAACGAUCCCGAAGGUCUUCCCAUACCUCCUGGGCGGUGGUCGAAAAUAUGACACUGUCUGCAAGGUCUUGUGUGAGUGAAUUGAGAAUCCAAGACAGGAUCAUAUCGUUGCAUUUUUUCCACGAAGCACAUUCGUCUGGUUUGGCUGUGGCAGACGGCAUUGUGGUGGUCCCGUCUAUGAAACCUAACUUGGAUUUGGCAUUCAAAGAAAUCGUCAUGGCUCUACACCAUGUCGAAUAAUUAUCCCCAUUAAGGGGCUUGGAAACAAGCACCAUUCCUGGAUGAUCAGAAUGAUGAAGAAAAUAUGGAUUGGCAGCAUCAAGCUUGCCUCCAUUCGAAGGUUGCUGUUCCGUCAUGAUAAUGAGUAACAACGAAAAAAGAAAGAGGGCAGAGAGCUAGGGUAUCGUUCCCUGCUCUGAUACCAUGUAAAGAAGGAAAAUAAUAUUUGCCUUUUUGAAUAAUUUUAUUGAACCAGGAGACGCAGCUAUAUACAAGAGAUUUCCUACAAUCAUGCUAAUCUAUUCUAGGUAGUCUAAAUAUAAAAGGCAACUAAACAAAUAUACAACUAAUACAAUAUAUUCGUCAAUGAAUGGUCAGAUAUCAUUGACCUUUCCUUCUCAACACAUCUAACAGCUGCUUUGAUAAUUUCCCACACCUUCAUCUUUGAUGGAAAUAUGAAAUAAAAACAAAUUGGUGAAAAUGGUUUUGGUACCCGCGGCUCUGUAAUCUAUUUCAAAAACUACACCAUCAAAACGACUGCAUAAGAAUCUAACUUCUCCUCUUGAUUUUUAUGGGCAUGUUGUGUAGUCCAUGCAGACAAAAAUCAUAUUUUAGUUUACUCUUACUCAAUGCUUGGAUUAAAGGUUUUUUUUUUGGGGGGGGGGGGGGGGGGGGGGGAUUGAAGCAGACUAAAAUGACACAAAAAAUAGUUGAACGAGUGUGGGUUUUGUCUUCAUUUUAGGAGAUCUUUAUAAAUUUUAGGAUUUUUUUUCCCGAGAAAAUUUAUGCCAACUCAUUCUUUGCUUCUUUUAUGAAGGGACAGAUGCAACUGAAAGUAUAUUCUUGAAUUCUAUAAGAGACAGCAGUUUAGAUUCUCGAGCCUUCAAAAAAAUAUCAAAUUCUAGAUUGCUGAAAUUUUAUAUAUCCAAGUAUGAUGGUGCACCAAUUAUUAACUCCAGGGUGCAACUUCACCGCGGAUUAGAAUGUCUUCCUGCAGAAUUGAGAAAUCUCCAUUGGCAUAAAUAUUUUUUUGAAAAUACUGUCAUUAGAUAUUUUUAUUAUUCAUACUUCAUUGCACAAGGCACCACCUGGCUUCUAUUUCAAGCCCUAAUAAUGAUCCGCUGCUGGAAAAGAAUUUGUGCAGCAUGUACGCUCCUUGACCACAACAGCAAAGUUUAUUGAUGUUAUUUCAUAUUCUGCUGUGAGUCAAAUAAAAAUUUACUAUGCCCUUUCGGCAUGGCUUGCCUUUCAGCAAAAAAAGAAAAAAAAUCUUUCAAAUUGUGGAAGCAUGCUUACAUUAAUCAGCUCAGUAUGUUAUGUUUCAAGGGAUGCAAAAUUCGUUUUGUUUCUCAUGGAAGAAUUGACUUGUCUGGAUGUAUUAAUCUCAUAGAUUUUCCACAGAUUCGUGGGAAUAUAACAAAGCUAGACUUAAGUGAGAUCCCAAUAGAAGAAGUUCCGUCAUCAAUAAAAUGCCUAGCUGAUCUUAAAACGUUGCGUUUGAGUAAGUGCACGAGGCUGAAGAGGCUUUCCAUCAAGCAUUUGUAAAUUGAAAUCUCUUCUUGAGCUUUAUCUCUAUAACUGCUCAAACCUUGAAAGUUUUCCAGAAAUCAUGGAGAAAAUGGAACGUUUAAAGAUAUAAAUUUAGCAAGGACGGCCAAUUACAGAGCUGCAAUCUUGAUAGCCUUCGGGAUAACAUUAGCAAUUUAAAAUCUUUGAGGUACAUCUCUACUAAUGGAUCAGCCAUUAGUCCUCUGUCGCAGGUUCGGUUGUACUUAAAUAUCUAUCAUUUUCUCAAUACAGAGGUUUGGUAUCAUUGCCUCCAAUAUUAUUGUCAGGUUUAGGUUUAUCGAAUUUGUUACAGCUAAAUUUAAGAGACUCUGCUAUAAUGGAAAUUCCCCAAAAUAUUGUUCGUCAAUCCUCAUUGAAAAUUUUAAAUCUAAAGGCUUGUUUGUUAACUACUUGAAGUAUGUAGUUAAUGCUUUUUUUUUUUUUUUUGUAAUUUAUGUUUGAUUUGAGAUAUUUACAUUUGAAUAAAAAAAUUAAACUUUUGUUACAUUUAUCUAAAAAAAAAAAAGGCUGAAUGGGAAGUAAAUAAUUCCCUUUUUCGUUUUAACUUACAAAAACAUAAAUGUUAACUAUGUUUAAGAAAUUUUUUAUUUAUAAAAAGAAACCAAAUACUACUUAUAUUCGUAUAUCAAAAAAUGAAAAACAAACAUGUUAUUCAUACGUUCACAUACAAACUCAUUCAGACCUCAGCUAAAUACAAAUCCAUUUACAUUUCAAAAAAAUAAAUAAAUACUUCCUAAGCGGGAAUAACUUUGAGAGUUGACUUGCAAGGCUAGAAUAUCUUGACUUGAAGGGUUGCAAUGAUUUCUCAUCAUUGAGAGUUUAUCAUUGUGCUUCAUCAUCAUCAUCAUUAUUAAUAAAAAGGUAAGCAAUUAAGAGUCAAAUUAAACCAGAAAAUCACUCAUCCACGCUUUUGGGACAUCAUUCUGCUCAUUAUUUUUAUUCCGUAUCUUCAUUGUUUUAUUUGGUAAUUAUUACCAUUAGUAAAUAAAGGGAUUAGUUGAUUAUUAUGAACUAACUAAAUGGAGCUCACCCUUAAAUGUCGGCUUGUAUCAGGGAGGUGCCUUAGGGUUAAUAAAUCAACUAAUCCCAUAAUUUGUCGAUGUAGGUGAUGGUUGUUAAAGCCAACAAAAACAAAUACCUACUCUAAAUAAAUUGUGUAUAGUGAUUGAGCAGGGUCGUGUUUACAGAGAUCGGUAAUUAUUUAAAUCCUUUUAAAACGUAAAACAUAAAAUGGGGGUUUUGUUGACAAUAAUAAAAAUCAAAUUAAAAUAACAAGAAUGCAAAUUAAAGUUGUAAUUCAAAUUUGGAGAAAGCUCUGGUUGAAGGAAUUAACUCAGCUUAAUUCGACUACUGAUCAUUUAUUCAAAUAUAAAUUAUUACUACUUAUGAAUAGACCGGUUAUGGCUACUGAGAACCUCUAAUAGCCAAUAUCUCCUUAACUAGUCGAUAACCAAGGUACGACCAUUGAUUAUUUCCCUAAUCAAUAGACAACCCUAGAUACGAUCAUAUGAUUUAAUCAAUUGACAGCCUAAAAAACCAGAGAGACCCAAAUCCUAAUCAACAAACACAUACGAUGGUUCAUUUAAAUUAGAUUGUUUAUUCUCAUAACACAACUCUCUGCUAUGUUAUUUGUCACAAACAUUAAAAUCUUCAUACAAUGAAUCCUUUAAUUGACAAUAGAUUAAGUUGAUAAUUAAAUAGUGGCCAAUUACCUAAUUAACAAACAUAAUCAUGAAAAUAAUUCAGAGAAUAAACAAAUACCCAAAAAGCAAUAAAACAAUUAAAACAUAAGAAAGAUCUCACAGUAGUGAUGAAUCAAAGCUUCAUUAACCUUCAACUAGAAAAAUAGGUUUAGUUCUUCAUAGAGAGAAGAGAAAAGUUUAGAUCUAGCGUUUCUUUCUUUUUCUCCAAUCCCCCCUUUUUCACUAUAGAUUCCUCCCUUAAAUACUCUCUCUCUCUUCUCCUCUAGAGUUCUAUUUAAAAUAAAAUACUAAUAUAUGAAAUAUUAAAUUCGUAAUUACAAAAAUAGCCAAAAAUACAAAACAUGUUAAACUAAAAACUGCAGGUCCGUAGUUGACAGCACGCGCCCACGCCUUAUCAAUAAAGUUCUUCUGACGCUCUAAAUUUCUCCAAGAGAACAAUCAUCUUUAAACAUCAUCUUAUAGCUCAAUUUUAUCACAAAUCAAUAAAAUUGCACCUACAAAAGUAAAACACAAGUAAAUCAUUAUUAUUAAGUGCAAAACAUCGAUAUUAAGGGAAGUAAACAAUGCAAAACUAGUGCAUAAAUUGCACUCUAACAGUAGGGUAGCAAAUUAUUGCCAUAGAUCAGCACACAUCUCGAAAACAUAUUUGAUCCACACAGUGAAGAUGAUUCAAUAUUAAGCAUGUCAUAUAAUCUGGAGUUGGAUAUUGGAUCAAUUUGAUGAUAAUGAGUUUCUUUCAAUCUCAAUAUGUAUCUUCUUCGCAACAUGACUAGCCAUUGCAAACUCAAACUCUGACAAUGAUUUCUCAAUCGCUUUCUAAGACGAUGAGCAUGUAUGUAUAUAUAUGUGUGUGCACGUGCGCGUGUGUGUUUGUGUACGUAUAUAGAGAGAGAGAUAUAUAUAUAUCACACAUGUGCGCUUUCCUUUUGUCAAUAAGAUAUGCAGAGAGCUUAAUAAUCAUAGAUUAGCUUAUAUCCUUCAAACCAUGUGCUAUGAAGUAAUUUCACAAACACUUGUUGAACGUUAUUGAAUCAGUAGUUCACAGUUCAAUACAAUGUAGGUUUCCUAUUUGAAGUAAAUGAUUAUGGUGUGUGCAUUUUUCAUAAAGCUAACUACUGAAUUUACCAUUGAAACUUGCAAAAUGUAACAGAGAGAUGCAGAUAGCAGCCACGAAACACUAAGAUUGAAAAUCAGGACUACUGAAUUCUAUUACAAGCCCUUAAAAUAGACAACAAUCAUCCUCAAAUGUAUAUACUGAAAGUAAAAAAUAUUAAUCGUAAAGUUAUGCAUUAACAAAACUAUUGAAUACUUAUCUUUAGCUAUAUAUUUUUAAUUGUAGCUCCCUACUUUGUUCUAAGAACUAGGCAAAAGUAGCAUAUCUUCAAUCCAAUCAGCAUAUAUACCGCUCAUCUUCUCCAGUUCUUUCCACUUUGAUUUGCAUUUCAUACCCUGCACUUGCUGCUUAGAAAUAGUCAUAGUUUGCACAUUGACAGUAGAAAAAGUACUUGAAACAAUCAUUGGCAUAGCAUGGGAUUCCAUUGAGUCGCGGUCUCCAAGCUUUCAUGGUUCUGUAAAGAAAAUGACAAAAACAUCAUGCUAUUGGCAUUCUACUUUUAGCAAUUUUCCACAAGCUGAGCUUUUUCAUAUCUCUCUAUAAAUUAUGCUGGUUCAACCUUCAGAUAAGUUUGUGAUAAAGGCAUCUAUGAUUACAAUGGGAAAAUUACAUGAACUUAUGUUAUCAAUCAUUGUUUUGCCUUCUCGUGAUAGAAUUCUGCGCAAUAUAAAACAUGACAUAUCUGUUACUUACCAUGCCAUGUCGUGAACCUAGAAGCAAUGCAAAUUGCAAGGAACAUAUUAAGCUAUCUACUGUAUAUAACAAAUUCUUAUUAGCCCACAAUCUUGUGCCCCAACAUUGAUCAAGUAACACUAUUAUUUCAUUUCCAAAAUGGCAUAUAUAAUCUGAUGUUGAACAAACCAAAUUGGGAAUCAUCAUUCCUUACAUUGAGCUGACAUUCGUACCUGCUAGUCCAUGAGCAAAGUUGCUUAUAUUUCCACACAGGCAGCUCCCCUUAUCUCUCGGUUCCGACAGAGCUUUGUUUUCCCAUCACCAGCUUUGGAUUCAUUCGAUCACUGAUGCUCCGAGUUAGCAAGCCCCUUGUUGUGUUCCCAUUUAACAGACCCACUUCUGUUAUCCACAGAAGAUCCACCACUCAAAAUGCUUAUCACCGAACUAUUCCUAAACUGAGUAGAAACUUCCGCACAUCUCUCGGCAUUUACAUGAAGAAAUCGACACCCACCCUCAUAUUUGUAAGUUUUCUGAUAAUAGAAAUGUCUACAAAGCUGCAUUUCGUUAGGCAAUCUAGUCUCUCCAUUCCUAGCAAAGUGACAUUGAUUCCCGUAUUUGUAAUUGCCUAAUUGGGGUUUUGGCAAUAGCCUGGUCUUAAAAUUACCACCCAUUACUUUGUUCAAUGCCACUGGCAUCCUCUGAUUAGGAACAUUUUCACAAUUUUUAGCCCUGUUAGUCGAAUCACAUUCAAGGGGAUAGUGAGACAGUAUUUCACUAAAAGAUUCAAUUUGACUACACAUAUAAGAAUUUGAAAUCACUUUUUCUUGGAAUAUUUAAUGACCCACCCAGGGUGAAAGUUUUUGAAUGGAAAUUAUUUAAUUUGAUUUGUUUUCCAACAAAUUCAAGAAACCCCAGAUAGUAACAUAAAAAAAAAAAAUCAACCAAUAAUACGCAAUGGGUUUCUUUCUUUUUGCUUUUGGAGGGCCAUGAAGAUCUGGAGUGGGCUGUAAGUAAUAGCCUUUAUCACUGGAGUGACAAAUUUGCAGAAGAUGAUGCAUGGGGAAGGAUUGGGCGAGCAUAAAAAUGGCUUUACACUCUUUGGAUUAGCGCCUCAUUUAGGUUGUAGCGAGAUAAAGAUAUCAUUUAAAGUUUUAUAAUCCUUGUUAUGCUUAAGGCUUCACUUAGUAUAGCAUAGAGCUUUUCUAGUUUAGCAUUUUACAAGUAGAAUUUUUUUAAAUUAUUAUUUAUUUGGUUGUUUUGUUCAGAAGAGCUUUUAAAGCUCCAAAAUCUUUGAUAGUCAGGUUUUUUUUUGGUAAGUAAAACUUUUAACAAAAAUUUAUUAUUCACUUGAUCGUUUACAAGAGUUUUCAUUAGAAGUUAUGUAAAGUUCUUUAAUUUUUUUUAUCAGUGCAUCUUUUUACAAGUAUAAUUUUUAUUUUUUAACAAAAAUUAAUUCAAUAAUAUUAAUAAUCUCAAUAUUUGAGUUUUAAUAUCAUAUGUCACUCAUUUAUUGGAUGACAGAUUUCAUAACUUAUAAAAUUAUUUAACUAACAUCCACUAAGCUAAUGUCACUAUAGUGAAGAUUGAAGUUGAAAUUUAGAUGUUACGUUGGGUAAUAUUGCGCUUAUUUGGUUGUUUAUGAGAGUUUUUUUGUACAAAUUUAUUUUUAUACAAAUUGAUAUAGUCUAAAUUCAUUAAUUAGAUGAAAAUAGAAAAUAAUAAAAAUAAAUCUUGUGUACUAAAAGUUAUUUAAUCUAUUUAAUUGAAUUAUCCUACGUUUGUUUGUACUAAAUAAAUUUAUAUAAAAAUUAAUUCUAUUUUUUGAUGUGCAACUAAACUUUUAGUCUCUUAUUAUUCGUAAAAUUCAAAUUCAGUGGCUUAUCAAAUAAAAUUAAAACUAUUGGUUAAUCAAAUAAAAUUAUUUGAAAUCAUUGGGUGUGGUAGCUGGAGCUCUUGAAAGUUGAAACUAUGGAAGCCAUGAAAUAUACCAGCGAAAAGAGUUCUAAUUUUUAAAUGUCUAUUUUAUAAAAAUUUUAAUAAUAAAAGUGUCGCAUCGACAUUGAACAGUAUAAAAAUUUUUAAUAAUAAUUUUUUUACGUUUGGGGUAUUUUUGUAAUUAUACGAAGGUAAACUAAUCGCAAAAUUCAUUUGGCUUACACUUGCUCUGUGUAUGGUUAUGGCGGUAUCAUUAUCAUCUUCUCCAUUCGUACUGACACCAAACCUUAACCGUUCAGAUUCCCUUUCUCGACUGUCAUACCCUACGCCCCGUCUCCGUGUCUCCGAUAAACAGUGCUCAAUUAAGGCCAUCAGAUUAUCCCGGACCCACAUUGAUCCAACGGCUCACAAUGACCGACGACCUCUCCAUCUCCAUUACAAGCUUCCUCUUCAACUGGCUUCUGCCUCUAUCGUACUCUUUCUCGGAUUCGGAGCCCGUAUAUGCUCGGCUGGUCCUACGGAGCUACCUCUCACUCCAGCUGUCAACCAACAAGACCAAUUGCUUAAUCCAGACACAGAACAACAAGAGGGUGAGAAAUUGAAUCAAGAAUUUGAGAAUUGGAAAUCGAAAACGUACGCAUUGACCGUGCCUUUAAGGGUCGUUUCUCUUCAGAAUUCAGUGCCUCAAUCUUGGGUUAAGGAUUUUAUGCGAAGUCAAGGAAAGAGAUUGAAGUUUCAGAUGAAUUUUUGUGCUAGCACUGAUGGGAUCGUUAAAAAUUUAUCUAUGCCCUCUAACAAAGUUAAGGCUAACUCAGCUUCGUAUAUGGCUGCUGAUUUGGUUAGUGUUGGUGAUUCAUGGCUCAGUUUUGCGAUUAAAAAGAGAUUGAUUGAGCCAAUAGCUGAAGCUGAAGAUCAAGAUUGGUUCAAAUGCUUAAGUCACAAAUGGAAGGUAACAUCUUUGUCUUUGACCGGAUGAUUUUUAUUGUCUUACAUUGAAAUUUGGUAAUGUAAUUUGUUCUCUAUCUGUGUUACCUUUGUAGUGAUUUUUUUUUUUAUUUGCUUUUAUUUGCACUAACAAAGUCUUAGGUAUAUCUACGCAGGAAUGAUGCAGAAGAAAUUGAUCCUCGAGGUAAAAUAUGGGCGGCACCAUACAGGUGGGGCACAAUGGUGAUAGCCUACAAGAAAAGUAAAUUUCGAAAGCAUAAUUUGGCUCCGAUUGAGGUAAUAAUUGUCUUUAAACUCAUUUAGUUUUAUAUGAAACAAAAUCAAGACUGCCUUUCUCUUCAAUAUUUUUGAUGAUAAUAUCUUUAGAAGCAUCUCAUUGACAGGUAAUAAUGGUAUCCCUGAAAGAGUCUAUAAACUCAAUGAUAUUAUCUUCUACAAAUGGUUCAUUAAACUUCUUCGUUGCAGUCAAAUGUACACUAAGAACAAUGAGAAGCUAUGCCACUGUAGCAUGUAGUGAUGGCACUUAAUAAGUGAGUUGCUAGGAUGUGAACUAGAAAAAUUAAAUAUUGUCUCCUUGGGUAUGCUAGCUCGUAAGUCAGGGUUAAUAUUAGAACUUAUGAUACUAUAACCAUGAGAAGCUAUUGACUGCCAAUUAAAAUAUCCAUUAAAAUGUCUAGGGAGUUAUGAAGGUGGAGGUAACUUCCAAUUUCUAAGGCCACAUAGUAGACAUCAUGCAGGAUCCUAGGAAAGUGCAGUUAACCUCCUGGUCGAUGCCAUUAAUAAAUUUGAUCAAUGCCACUGAAACCUGCUAACUGAUGUCACAAUGCGACAUGAGCACUUCAAAAUGGGACAGACGGUCAGUAGCACUAAAUUUUUCUUGUCUAAGAUUGAGCAAUUGGUCUAACUACUAACCCCUAUUGUAGGUUGAUCAUUAUGUUUUUCAAUUAUGUUCAGUUUGACCCAAAACAUUACAGAAUCUUGAUCUGAAUAUUGUCACUGAACACUGUCAAUGUCGUUUGGCAUAGCCAACUAACUUGAGUUUGGUAAAACAAACACACAGUGUGUCUCAUGUCUCACAAUUCAAAUUAUCAUCUGUAAUGAUGGAGAAUUUUUCCAAUGUAUGAAGUAUGCUUUGAUACGUGGGUUACCUUGGGGAAGGUAUCUCAAAAUAAAGAAUAUGGGGAGAAAACAGUGCAGUAGUUUAUUAUUCCGUAGUCAAGUUUUGUCUCAAAAAUGGUCAAAAUUUAAAUGAAUAAGGACAGGGGAUCUUCAGUCUUUUUUCCCUUUUUUUAUACCAAGAUAUCUCUCAACCUUUAUAUAAUCCCACUGGAUAUCUGCUUCUAAUAAUUAAAAUAAAAUUUCACCCACACAAAUAAGUACUGACCAAGCUCUAACAAUAAAAAGUAACAUCUUUAGUCAAGUAAUUUACAGUUCCUCAUCAUCUUAGUGUGAGACUAUCAGUACGAUCCAAGAGCAAAAUAAAACUGGUUUGACCCUGUUUAUUGAUGUUUAAAUGUUGUUCAUUGUGACAUGUAGAAAUGAUGAGGUGAAGUUUCUUUGGUCAUCAAUUAGUAAGAUCUCGUUUGAAGUUGUUUUCUGAAAUGAACUGGCAAAUGGUAGUUUUUUUGGGGCAUUUGAUGGCUCUUUUUCUUUUUUCCUCAUUUUAAACAUGUGCCUGCUUGGAACGGGAUGGAUUAAGCUGCAGGUUAUAUAUUUUGACAUGCUCUGGUCAUUACACAAUUUGUUCACACUGGGAAUUAGGAUGAGAAAUUUGUUGAUGCUGUUUUGAGAGACCUGCAUUCUAUGCACAAUAACCUGAUUAAUGAAAAUGGAUUGUAGAACUGGAAAGAUCUGUGGCGGCCUGAGCUCGCAGGAAGAAUUUCAAUGGUUAAUUCUUCCCGAGAGGUUAUUAUUGGUUCAGUUUUUAAGUAUAUGGGAGCAUCAUACAAUUCAAACAAUAUUGAUUCGCAAGUUGCUGGUGGGAAGAUUGCUGUUCAGCAGAAUCUGGCAUUACUGGCAAACCAGGUACUCUUAAAGAAACGAUAUCUGGUCAUUGCAUGUUAUUGCCUGACAACUGAUUUUGUUUGUAAAAGUCUGCUUCUUCAUACAUAUGAAUGCAUAUGUUAGUGUUUUCUUCUCCUUUUCAUAAUAUAUGAAUGCAUAUGUUAGUGUUGUCUUUUCCUUUUCAAACAUAUUAUACAGAUGUUGGUGUUCUCUCCUGAGAUGGAUGCAAUAAAGGCAUUUGCUGCUUAAUUUAGCUGAAGAAAUGGCAAGGGAUGUGAGAUUCUGUCUCAUUAAAUUAACAAAAACCCAAAACAAUGAAAGCCCAUAAUAAUGUAGUGUGGGUAAAUUGGCGCCAUUUGGUUCGUUUCCUUAAUGUGAAUAUGCGAGCAAUAGAGACUAACAAAAUGAAGUGAGAACAGCAAGUCAGUGUCCUUUGAUGGAUGCUUUUUUAAGCAGAAAUAGGUUUGUAAUUGACCAAAUUUGUCUGGCAUGCCAAUUUCAAAAAAAUUAAAUUGUGUGGUUAUUAGCUGUAAUGAAGGGGCAUAGUAGGUGCAAUUAGGCGGAUCCAGGAAAGUUCAACAAAGUUCUGGUAUGGCCUAUUGAAAUUGGUUUUUGCAAUUCAAGAGUCUUUCAAGUGAACGAUGAGGGGUUUUGAUUUAUAAAUGUUAUAAAUCUACUGUGCAUAGUAUUCUAGUAGAAUCAUCUAUAAGUUCUAGUUAUUGAAAUUGUCUACCUUGUUCAGUUUGAGUUAAGGGCAUAUGUAAUAUGAAAAAUAGUUGUCGCAUCUUUUAGGUUACCUAACAUUUGAUCAAUCCUAUUAUGAGGGCUUCAAGAUGUCUAACAAUAUGCAGAAUGCCCAUGCUCCUCCCCAUUGUUUAUCUUAUACAAUAAUUUGUUUUAGAUGCUAAUAUCUUUGUUGAUACCGGUAACAAUAUUGCAAUAUCUGCGUUUAUUGGGUUUUACAUAGGUUCGACUGUUUGACAGUACACACUAUCUGAAGGCAUUUGGAAUUGGAGAUGUAUGGGUUGCUGUUGGGUGGAGUAGUGAUGUUCUUCCUGCUGUCAAACGUAUGUGAGUAUGUCUAAUGUUGCAUUGUUAUCUCCUUCAUAUUAGCGAUCAGUAAACACGAUAAUGUGACUAAUAAGUUUGUAUUCUCUUUUAUAGAUAAAAAAAUAUUAGAUGACUAGUAAUUAACAUUUAAUUAUAGUUGAAAUAUUGUUUAUUAAAUUAGUCUAUUGUCUAAGAACGGUUAUAAAAUUAAUUUCAACAUAUAAUAAGAACUAUUACAAUAAUUUAUUUAGAUUUAUAUAUAUAGCUUAACUAUGAAUUAUUAAAACCAAUAUAGCUUCAUAGUUUGUGUGUUAAUAUCUAUUUUAAUCUUUUGUUUAUCUUAUUAAUUUUUCAUUUAAAUUUAAAUCUAUGUUAAAGAUGUUCUAUCAAUCAAUUUGGACUAGAGAGUAAAUAAACAAUCUAGUAAUCACACAAUAGAUAUUGUAUAUAAUUGUUCAAUUAUAACAAACUUUAAAUUUGCAUUAAUAUGAUUAGAAGUAUUGUUUUGCAAUUAACCGAAUCAUAGGCUAAUAAUUUUCAAUAUGAAAUAACUAACUUAGGAUAAAUUAAUUAAUUGACUGAUUUUUUUUUUAAUUUGAAUAUCUUGUGUUAUCUCUAGUAAACAAUUAAAUUUGUCCUUCAAGACUUGAAACAAAACAAAUUGGAGGGCGAGUCAGAGGUCCCUCUCCCUUAAUCCAUCAAUGGAUAGAGUUCUGCUUGCAAACAGCAAGAGCAUUGCCUUUCAAGCAAGAGGUUAUGCCGGGCGCAUCUCCCUCUGCCCUUGAAAGACUCUGGUUAAGUUGCCUGAAGAACUUCUGAAGGGUAAACCAAGCCUGGAUACUAACUUAAUUGCUGGAGUACCCCCGGCUGAAAUUCUGGCCAGAUGUGAGUUUUUGGAGCCAUUAUCUGAAGCUACUUUGUCAGAUUAUGAGUAGCUGGUUGCUAAUCUGCAAAAACCUGCUCCUGUCUUGAUGAAAAGGGUGCAACAUUACUUGUCAUCAUUAAUCCAAAGCUUUCCAGCAAAAGCUACACUGAAAAGUUAAUGGCACUGCAUGCCAGUCAUUAUAAUGCUGUCAGGGCAAUUGGUUCAGGGCAACUGGGUCAGAGCAUAACUUCAUUGGGAAAAAAGGCUUCAGCUAGUUACCUAUUACAGUGCGCACUGAGAUGGCAGUUCUUGAGGUUUUAUAAGAAAUGAAAGAUGAGUGCUUGUUUGAACAAAGUUGUUGCCAAUCUCGCAGAGUUCAAGAAGAAAGAUCACAGAGCUAAUGCCACCAAUUUCUUCAUCAUUGUAGCCUGCAUAGUUGAAGUUUCCUCACUUGAAGCUGUUUAUGCAAACGCUUUUUCCCUGCUCAAGUACAGGAAAUUGAAGAAUUAACCAGAUAUGAUAUGCUGAAAGAGGGAAUUUCUUCCUUAGUGGCCUUUUGAUUUGUAGUGAAGGAGUAGGAUGAUCACUAGCAAGAACCCUAUCAAGGUAGAUUUUAUGAUGUUAACAUAUUAUUAAGCAUUUGUCACUUAGGAAUGAUACAUUCAUAGCAUGAAAUUAAUUAUAUGAUCCUGAUUAAUCAAUUAAUUUUCAUGAGUUUUAACCUAGGUAAAACUAAGUACAAUCGUCGUUAACAACUACUGAAAUUGGGUAAGUAUGAUCUUGACAUUGAAGAAUUUGAAAACACAACCCACAGAGGAAAUUACCUAUUGCAUGGGGAUGGAGAUGUUUACCGCAGCGAUACAGAGCAGUGUUGUCCACUGCUCUUUGGGCUAUGGUGUCACUAAUUCUGAUUACGUAAUUGACUCUGGAUCGGGUGGAAAUAAUAACACUUUAUUAACAUUGCAUAGUCCGAGUACUUUUCCAGGAUCAGAUACGACGUGGUCUAAUGUUGAUAAUAAUAGUUUAUUAAAUGACAAAUCGUUGUUCAAGUAGAAGAUGAAGGUUGUGCAGGUGAUUUCAGAAAUAAAAUACAUUCUAAGAGAUGCUGGUCUACUAUUGCAUGCCCCCAGAUUUAAGAAUCUUUUGAUUGGGGCAUUUGGCAACGAUUCGACAAAUUCUAGAUUCAAGCUCCUCCACCAAGGGAUACCAACUGAGUUAUCAAUUAUCGUAGCAGUUUCUAUGAACUAAAAUUUGCAAAAUAAUUUCUAGCCCCGUUGACUCCACCAACUAAAGUUUACAACUCUACAAUAAUAAUUUCUAGCCCCGUUGACUCCACCAACUAAAGUUUUUUAAAAUUUAAAAAAGUACAUAGAAUUCCACAACAAGCAAAACGUGUGGAAUUUAAUUUUUUGCCGAAAAAGGACAAGAAAAAUGAUAAGAUUUUUAAAAUGAGUGGAAGGUGAUCCAUAUUUUACUAAAACGACUUACCUCGAACAUUAAGAUAAUUGAUUUUUAUUUUUUAUUUUUUAAUAAUAUCAACUUCCAUAUCUUUCUAGCGGGUCCAGCUAUGUUGCAACAGUGAUACUGUACCAUUGUUGCUUUCAGCCAUUGGAUCUUACUAAUGUAACAGUACAACUAUAGAUCCAAUGACUGGUUGCAACUGUAAUACCAUACCACUGUUGCAACAUAAUUUUGCCCCUUUCUAACCCCCAGAAUAUGCUCACGUUCAAGUCUAUCUUGCUAAUUUAAAAAAAGAAAAUCAAAUCAACACCAAAACAAUGAAAAGUAAAGCUUUUGAAUUUCAACUCGAGCUAGCAAACGUAUUCAGCUUUUUCAAAUUCUUCCCAUUGCAUAUCUUCUUCCUCCAUCAAUGCAAUAUUUGAACGAUUAUGAAAGAGUUUAAGAACAUAAAAAAUCUCCAAGGUUUAUACGGUAUAACAAAUUUAAAUUCUCAAUUACAAUAGAUAAUAAUUAAACUAAUAAUUUUUUAUGUACUUAUUUUAGUAAUUUCACCUAAGAAUAAUAUUGUAAUUAGAAAAAAAAUCUAAUAAGUAGGGUGGUCUUAUAAAAAAUCAACUGGUCUCCCCCCCAUAUAAUUAUAAUCCUUCUAGAAAGCUAAUUUUUAUUAAAUAUUUGCUUUUUAAGUUAAUUUCAAUUAAAAAAUGUUUUAAGUUAUAUAUACUCUAAUGAGAUUCUGAAUUCCUUUAUUCCAAUAAUAAUGAAAACGUAUUAAAUUAGAAAUGAAAAAAUUGGUGUUGACGAUUCAACCUAUUUGGAUAGAUUACGUGAAUAAAAUUGAAAUUUUGAUUUAAUUUUUGUUUAUUGUUAAUUCUCAGGCUAUCUUAAUUUCAAGAAUUUAGAAUGUUAAUUUGGUCAUGGAUUUCAGCCCGUGAGUGUCAUAUUCUAGACUUAAUGGUAUCAUUCUUUGAUUGAGGGCAAUGACUCUCACUCCUCUUGUAAAAAAAUAUUUUCAACUAUUUUGAUGACUUAAAAAUUGAUAGAUUUAUUGUUGUCAUGACCAAAUUAUUCAUUUUAAUGAAAUAUAAUUAAUGCAUCAAAGUUACCAGGUUUAUGUUCUAUCUUAAUGCGCUUUUUUUUUUUUUUCAGUUAUCAGCUAUGCCCCUGAGGCAUUUUGUAGAGUAUAGCUUCUGCUUACCUCUGUUUCAUUUUUUUUUAAUAAAAAAACAAGGGAAGGUUUUUCCGAGUCAUCCAUUAUUUGAUUACCGUCAAUCAAGAAAACGACCAAAUUAAUUUCUCUCCAAAAUUUCCAAAAGCUAGAAAAUUUUGUUAUUUGAAAAUAACAUCAUUAAUUAUAGAGUGGAUCAAACCGCGUUAUUGUCUUUUAUAAAAUUGAUGUCUUUUUAAGAGUCAAUACAUUUUAUUUACGCAAACCAGUCGACAUCAACUUGAACUUCCAUAUUUUUAUUAUUAUGUUAUUUAUUUUAAUCCCCGAUUAUUUGAUUAGCCACUAUAUAUAUCAAGAAAGCGACAAAAUUUAUUUCUCAUGACUUCCAAAAACUAGAAAACAACAUCAUUUAUUAUUUUUUUGCAACCCUAAUUGACAUCAACUUUAACUUUAUUAUGUUAUUAUUUCAAUCCCCCAUUAUGACCUUUCUAAUCCUCCAUUAUGCAUCUUUUAUAGUGCAAAUUUAAUUGCACAUCUAAAUAAAUUGAUUAUUGUCACUCCACCACCAAUAUUUCAAAUAGUCACUAGACCAUUUCUGCCUUUAAUUUUCCCUUAAUUUUAACUGUUGACUGUUUUUAGCAUCUUAAAAUAUACAUUUAUUCCUUGAUUAUGUGAUAAAAUUAUGAAAAUAUCCAUUUUAGCUUAAAUUAAUUGGAAUAACCAUAAGCGUAACAUAAAUUAAUAGAACAAAAUUAUCAAGUGUAUGUUCUAUCUUACUUUUUGAAGAAUUUAACAUAUAUAAUGCUAUACUAUUAAUAAAUUUAUCAUUUACUAUAUAUGUUCAAAUAUUUUAUAUAUUUAUUAAUUGUUAUAUAGUCAAAGGAUGAAUGAUUUUUCAGGUCUACAUGAGUUGGUGCAUCUGCAAGACUCAAUUUUGACAACAAUGAUCUAAGGGGUAAUUUACCUUGGCGUUUGACAAAUAUAACCUCUCUUCAAGAUUUACUUCCAAUCUACUUACUGUAAAUAUCUCCUCAUCUCCUCUCAUUUAUAUGAUAACCCUUGAAGAUCUCACAUUUUCAAACGAUCAUAUUAGGGUUUUUAUUAUUAGCAUCAUUGUGUCAAUAAUAUAUGUUGCAGUAAGAUUUUUUCAGACCAAUUCCCUUCUUCAAAUAAUAAUGGAAAAGUAUUAAUUUAAAAAUAAAAUGAAUAUGCAUUGAUUAUAUCCUGAUUUUCAUCGAUUAUAGAGAGAGUUUCUCCAAAUCAACUCCCUUAUUCAAAUAAUACAGAAAAAAUAGUAAUUUAAUAGUAAAAUUAACAAGUGUUGAUUAUAUAUCCUAAGUUUCAUCGAUUAUGUGAUCAAAGUGGCAUUGUUGAUUUAUUUCUUCUUCAAUGUAAAUUUUUAGGUUAUCUAAAUUUCAAGGAUUUAAAAUCUUUGUUCAUGGAUUACACGCUUAUUAAUUUUUCUGCCAUUGACUGUCAUAUUCUAGACUUAAUGGUACCUUCCUUGAUCAAGGAUAAUUACUCUCUGCUCUCCUCUUAUAAAUUCUUCUUCCAUUAACAUCACUAGGAGUAUGUUGAUCUCUCAGACGUUAACUUCAGUGGAGAGUUUCCAAAUUGAUUGUCACAAAACAACACAAAAACUAGACACACUUGAUCUGUCUAUUAAUUCUCUUUCGGUAAAAUUAAUUAAUUUUAGGGGAAUAUUCGACCAACCUAUAUAAUUUUAGAUUGAUCAUUAAUUAAUUGGACGAAAAAAGUGCUUGUGCUUUUGUGGCGACAAUUGAACCAGAGAAGUGAAGCUGUAAAGAUUUGGCAGUAGUAAAUUGUUAGAAAGACAUAAAGACGAGUUCCCAUUAUUAUAAUUUUUUCAAAAAACUUUUUUACAACACAUGCACCUGGCCAAAAAUUUUAUUUUGCUAACUAACAAUAAUUGAGUAGCUGACCGUAUUGACUCCACCUACUUGCUAAAGUAAAAAAAUAGAAAUAGAAUUUCCACAAAAUGGCAAACAUGUAAAAUCUAAUAUUUGGCCGUGUGGAACAAAAUACAAAUAAAAAAAAAAGAAAAGAAAAAAGGCCUAAAGACUUUUAAAAUGUGUGGAAGUCUUUCGGCCCUUUUAUAAUGGUGUGUUUUUCAAAGGAACAAAUAAUAAUAAUGACACUUCUACGGUUUGUUUUGAUAAUCACACAUAUACUCUUUAAUUUGAUAAAUGGUUACACAAAUUUUGUUUACAAAAAUAUAUUAUUCAUGUUCUGUGUUAUUUUUUAACAUCAUAUUUUUAUUUAUUAUAAUUGUUUAAAGUUAAUUGUUAGGUUGAUAUAUAAUAAAAACGUAUAAUCGUUCUCUUACUAAACACACAUACUCAUAGUUUCUGUUCAUUUGUCAUCUCAAUCUCUCUCAUUUAUCCUUUAUUGAUAGCUCAAAACGCGUCACUGUGGAAAAUUAUAGCAAAACGACAAAUAUGGAAAAAAAUGGGAAGAAAAUUAAUGCAUGAAAGAGUUGCAGAAGACAACCAAAUAAGUCAACUAUACGCUAGCUGGGUGUAUAAAUUGUUAGAUGUGUUAUAAACAAAUAGCAUAGAGCCCUUUGGUUGGUUACAAAGAUAGAAAGAGUGUGUGUGUUUUUUAGAACUUAAAGAUACAGUUAGAAUGGGUGGUUCAAAAUAAAAAAUGGUGAUAAUGUUUGUUCUGUUAUUAAUAAUAUUAGAAGGUGGGGGGAGUGAGGGAUGUUUGGAUCAUGAGAGAUUUGCUCUUUUGCGACUUAAACUUUUCUUUGAUGAUCCUUUUAAUUAUCUUCACGAUUGGAUAGAUGAUGAGGGAGCAACUGAUUGUUGUCAGUGGGAAAGGGUUGAGUGCAGCAACACCACAGGCCGAGUGAUAGCGCUAUACCUUUUUCACACGUAUGGGGGAGAGGACAGCUGGUAUCUGAAUACUUCUUUUUUUACUCCCUUCCAACAACUUGAGUCACUUGCUUUACAUGGCAACAACAUAGCCGGUUUUGUUGAGAAUGAAGGUGCUUCGUCUAAUUCAAUUAAAUUACAUUUCGCUCUCGUAAUUUAAGACGAAUAUCAAGACUGAGCAGCUAUAUGCAUAUUCAUUCAAUUGACAAUUUUUGAAAUUACACCAAACAUCAUAUGUGAUCUUUGUUUUGAUUUUACUUGCAGGUCUAGAAAGAUUGAGCAACUUGAAGGGGCUUGAUUUAAGAGGAAACUUGUUCAACAAUAGCAUCUUAUCAUCUGUGGCUCAUCUUUCAUCACUAACAUCAUUAUAUUUAUCUGAAAAUAGAUUGGAAGGAAGUAUUAAUGUUAAAGGUACGUAAUUAAAACGUCAUCGCUUCUACCAACUCUUUCAUUAACAUGCUAAAAUAAGAUUCAAGGCUUUGAAUUCAAUUUUUUUUAUGAGUAAUAUUAGAAAAAUAGUUUUAAGCAAUUCAUAAAUACAAUUUUCAAUGUUUCUCAUAAUUUCAUCUUGUACUUUUGUAUGUCUUGACUUUAAGAUUAAAAAAAAAAUUACUCUAACUGUGAAGCAAAUACCCCAUGACUAAUUUACAAUUUUGUCCAGUUAAAAAUGAUAAAAUUUAUCAUUUGUUUAUAUUGAUUUAUUAACUCUAUUUUAAGUCUUAAGUCUUGGCGUCUUGGCAUGUUUGCAGAAUUUGAUUCCUUGAGCAACUUAGAGGAGUUGGACAUGAGCGGCAAUGAAAUAGACAAUUUCGAGGUUCCUCAAGGUACACAAUUAAAAUAUUAUUUAAUUAUAUUAAUUUAAUUCGUUUGAUUAGGGAAGGCCCAAAAUGUACAAAAACAUAAUUAAAAAAAAAAUAAAGAAAUAGAGAAUUCAUAUUAUUUCAAAAAACAAAAGGUAAUACUAUUAUUUCAAAAAAAGAAUGUAAUAAAGAUUUGAUUCCGGUUCUUUAAUCUUUAUAGCAAUUGAAAAACAAUGUUGCUCUUUUCCUAAAGCAUAAAAUAUGAAAUGAGUCAUAAUUGAAUUAGUCAUUUAUUUUGUUUAGAUCUAAAUUUAGACAAUAAAUUUUGAUUUUUUUUUUCAAUCCUAUCCUUAUUAUUAUUGUUAAACAGGUUACAGAGGUUUGAGGAAGUUGAAAAGCCUCUAUCUAUCGGAAGUUAAAAUUAGAGAUGGAAGCAAGUUGUUACAGUCAAUUGGAUCAUUCCCAUCCCUCAACACUCUUUACCUUUCAUCUAAUAAUUUUACCGAUAUAGCGACAACUACUACUCAAGGUAAGUAAAAGGUACAGAUGUGGCCAAAUUUAUAAAUAAAUUGUUAAUUAAUUAAUUUUUCCGUAUUAUUAAUAAAGCUAAAUUCGUCGCUCCUUCCUUCUAAUUCUAAACAGAGUUGGCAAUUUCACCAACUUGGAGUAUUUGACAUUGGACUUGUCCUCACUCCAUUUAAGCCUUCUGCAAUUGCUUGAAGAAUGAAUUUAUAUAUUUAUUUAUUAUUAUUAUUAUUGUUAUUGUUGUUGUUGAAGUGAGGUGGGCAAGCGUUCACUCAAUUAAUAUGUGGGGAAUUAAUAAUUACAAUCCAAGGUAGAAUUGUGGAAAAUUAAAGCAAAAUGAGAAAUAUGGAAAGAAAGGAAGAAAGUUAAGGGCAUGAAAGACUGGGAGAAGACUAAAGACCACCAAAUAAGUCAACUGAAAACUAGCUGGGGCCUGGCUGUACAAAUUGUUAGAUGUGUUUGUUAUAAAUAACAUAGAGCCCUCUUGUUGGUUGCAGAGGCAGAGAGACAGAGAGUGUGCAUUUUGUUAAUUAAAAAUAUAUAUAAAAUGGGUGGUUCAAAAUCCAAAAUGGUGAUAAUGUUAGUUUUGUUAGUAUUAAUAAUAUUAUAAGGGAGGUGGCGUGAGGGAUGUUUGGUGCAUGAGAGAUUUGGUCUUUCGAGACUUAAAACAUUUCUUUAAUUCUCCUUAUAAUUUUUGUCACGACUGACCAUUGUCAAUGGGAUGGGGCUGGGUGCAGGGUUGAUUUACGUUAGAACAAUAUAGCCGGUAGUGUUGAGAAUGAAGGUGUUUCAUUUAAUUUAAUUAAUUUACUUUCUCCCUCCUAAUUUAAGUGGAAUAUCAAGACUGAAUAAUUAUAUGCAUCUUCGUUCAGUUGACAAUUUUGACAUAUUUUUUUAAGUGAUUAAUUUUGAAAUUACACCAAACAUUAUUUGUGAUCUCUGCUUUGACUUUACUUGCAGCGCUAGAGACGUUACCAAGAUUGAGCAACUUGACGAUACUUGAUUUAAGAGGAAACUUGUUCAAUAAUAGCAUCUUGUCAUUUGUUGCUCGUCUUUCAUCAUUAACAUCAUUAGAUUUAUCUUACAAUGGAUUGGAAGGAAGUAUUAAUAUUAAAGGUACGUAAUUAAAACGUCAUCGCUUCUCCCAACUCUUCCAUUAACAUGCUAAAAUAAGGUUCAAGGCUUUGAAUUCAAUUUUUUUUAUGAGUAAUAUUAGAAAAAUAGUUUUAAGCAAUUCAUAAAUACAAUUUUCAAUGUUUCUCAUAAUUUCAUCUUGUACUUUUGUAUGUCUUGACUUUAAGAUUAAAAAAAAAUUACUCUAACUGUGAAGCAAAUACCCCAUGACUAAUUUACAAUUUUGUCCAGUUAAAAAUGAUAAAAUUUAUCAUUUGUUUAUAUUGAUUUAUUAACUCUAUUUUAAGUCUUAAGUCUUGGCGUCUUGGCAUGUUUGCAGAAUUUGAUUCCUUGAGCAACUUAGAGGAGUUGGACAUGAGCGGCAAUGAAAUAGACAAUUUCGAGGUUCCUCAAGGUACACAAUUAAAAUAUUAUUUAAUUAUAUUAAUUUAAUUCGUUUGAUUAGGGAAGGCCCAAAAUGUACAAAAACAUAAUUAAAAAAAAUAAAGAAAUAGAGAAUUCAUAUUAUUUCAAAAAACAAAAGGUAAUACUAUUAUUUCAAAAAAAGAAUGUAAUAAAGAUUUGAUUCCGGUUCUUUAAUCUUUAUAGCAAUUGAAAAACAAUGUUGCUCUUUUCCUAAAGCAUAAAAUAUGAAAUGAGUCAUAAUUGAAUUAGUCAUUUAUUUUGUUUAGAUCUAAAUUUAGACAAUAAAUUUUGAUUUUUUUUUCAAUCCUAUCCUUAUUAUUAUUGUUAAACAGGUUAUAGAGGUUUGAGGAAGUUGAAAAGCUUUGAUCUAUCGGAAGUUAAAAUUAGAGAUGGAAGCAAGUUGUUACAGUCAAUGGGAUCAUUCCCAUCCCUCAACGCUCUUUACCUUUCGUCUAAUAAUUUUACCGAUACAGCGACAGCUACUCAAGGUAAGUAAAAGGUACAAAUGUGGCCAAAUUUAUAAACAAACUGUUAAUUAAUUAAUUUUUCCGUAUUAUUAAUUAAGCUAAAUUUGUUGCUCCUUCCUUCUAAAUCUACACAGAGUUGCACAAUUUCACCAACUUGGAAUAUUUGGCAUUGGACUAUUCCUCUCUCCAUAUAAGCCUUCUGCAAAGCAUUGCAUCAAUAUUCCCUUCGUUAAAAAAUUUGUCGAUGUAUCACUGUGUAGUCAAUGGCGUCCUACGUGGUCAAGGUAAAAGAAAAGUGUUGAUUGUGAACUCGCUCAAUGGUGUCCUACGUGUUCAACAUUUUUAUUUAUUUAUUUUAUUGUUUAAUGUUUCUGCUAGGUUUUCCUCAUUUCAAGAGUUUGGAACAUUUGGACAUGGAUUUCGCGAGCAUUGCACUCAACACCAACUUUCUUCAAAUCAUCGGAGAAUCAAUGCCUUCUCUUAAGUACUUAUCACUAUCAUAUUCUAAUCUUAGCACUGACAGCAAGACUCUUGAUCGAGGUUAAUGAGAUGCUUCAACCCUCCCCUUUAAAUCUAUAAUAUUAAUUUUCGAUUAAAUAUAUAAUUAUAGAAACCAAUCACUUAUAAAAGAAUGCUAUGCAUUUGCCAAUUUUUUUAUAUUUUACUGAUUGAUGAAUUAAUAAAUUUUCAGGCCUCUGUUCGUUGGUGCAUCUACAAGAGUUGUACAUUGCAACUCUUGUAGUAAUUAAUUAAUUAAUUAAUUAAGUAUUAGUUAAUUAAUUAAUUAAUUAAUUUUUUGUAUUAUUAAUAAAGCUAAAUUUGUUGCUCCUUCCUUCUAAUUCUGAACAGAGUUGCACAAUUUCACAAACUUGUAAUAUUUGGCAUUAGACUCUUUCUCUCUCCAUAUAAGCCUUCUGCAAAGCAUUGCAUCAAUAUUCCCUACGUGGUCAAGGUAAAAGAAAAGGGUUGAAUGUGAACUCACUCAAUGGUGUCGUACGUGUUCAACAUUUUUAUUUAUUUAUUUAUUUUAUUGUUUAAUGUUUCUGCUAGGUUUUCCUCAUUUCAAGAGUUUGGAACAUUUGGAUAUGGAUUACACUCGCAUUGUACUCAACACCAGCUUUCUUCAAAUCAUCGGUGUAUCGAUGCCUUCUCUUAAGUACUUAUCACUGUCAAAUUCUGAUCGUAGCACUAACAGCAGCAGGAUUCUUGAUCAAGGUUAAUCAGAUGCUCCCACCCUCCCUUCUUAAUCUAUAAUAUUAAUUUUCGAUUAAACAUUUAAUUACACAAACAAAUCACUUAUUAUAAAAGAACAAUACGCAUUCAUUAAUUUUUAUAUUGUAUUAAUUGAUGAAUUUAAUAAAUUUUCAGGCCUCUGUUCGUUGGUGUAUCUGCAAGAGUUGUACAUUGAUAAUAAUGAUUUAAGAGGUAGUUUGCCUUGGUGCUUGGCAAAUAUGACAUCCCUCCGAAUAUUAGAUGUUUCUUCCAAUCAACUUACUGGAAGCAUCUCCUCAUCUCCCCUCAUUCAUUUGACAUCCAUUGAAGAGCUGAUGCUUUCAAACAAUCACUUCCAGAUCCCAAUUUCACUUGAACCACUUUUCAAUCACUCAAGACUCAAGAUUUUCAAUGCUUACAACAAUGAAAUAAAAGCUGAAAUAACUGAGUCACAUUCUUUGAUCGCCCCAAAAUUCCAAUUAAAUACACUCUUGUUGUCUUCCAGUUACGGAGACAGUUUCAUAUUCCCUAAAUUCCUUUACCAUCAACAUGACCUGGCGUAUGUUGAUCUCUCACACAUAAAAAUGAAUGGAGAAUUUCCAACUUGGUUGUUGGAAAACAACACAAAAUUGAGCCACCUUUCUCUCAUCAAUGAUUCUCUUGCAGGACCUUUUUGGUUGCCAAUUCAUUCACACACGCAGUUAAUACUGUUGGAUAUAUCCAACAACAACAUCCGAGGCCACAUUCCACUAGAAAUUGGAGAUGUUUUACCACGUUUAUACGUUUUCAACAAUUCCAUGAAUGCUCUAGACGGUAGCAUUCCCUCUUCAUUUGGUAAUAUGAAAUUCCUCCAAAUUCUGGACUUAUCCAACAAUCACUUGACUGGUGAAAUCCCCGAGCACUUGGCCGUGGGUUGCGUCAACUUGCAGGCUCUUGCAUUAUCAAAUAACAACCUACAAGGUCAUUUGUUCUCUAGAAAUUUUAACUUGACAAACUUGAAAUGGUUACAAUUGGAGGGCAAUCGCUUCGUAGGUGAGAUCCCACAAAGUUUGUCUAAAUGCUCCUCACUAGAAGGAUUGUCUCUUAACAAUAAUAGUCUUUCGGGUAAGAUUCCACGAUGGUUGGGUAAUCUCACACGGUUAGAAUAUAUUAUAAUGCCCAAUAAUAAUCUUGAAGGCCCUAUUCCAGUGGAGUUUUGUCAGCUUGAUUCGCUUCAGAUUUUGGACAUUUCAGACAACAACAUAUCUGGAAGUUUACCAUCUUGUUUCCAUCCUCUCUCUAUCAAACAAGUUCAUCUUUCAAAAAAUAUGUUACAUGGACAGCUAAAAAGAGGUACAUUCUUUAAUUGCUCUUCCCUUGUGACAUUAGAUCUUAGCUAUAACCGCUUGAAUGGCAGCAUUCCGGAUUGGGUUGAUGGGCUUUCUCAGUUAAGCCACCUUAUCUUAGGUCACAAUAAUCUUGAAGGUGAAGUGCCAGUUCAAUUGUGCGAAUUGAACCAACUACAAUUGUUAGAUCUUUCUAAUAAUAAUCUUCACGGUCCUAUUCCUCCUUGCUUUGAUAACACCACACUUCAUGAAAGUUACAGCAAUAGUUCUAGUCCUGAUGAGCAAUUUGAAAUAUCUUUUUUCAUCCAAGAAACUCAGGGAUAUGUAAAAGAGCAAAUCCAUGAAAUUUUUGAGUUCACAACAAAGAACAUUGCGUACAUUUACCAAGGAAAAGUGCUUAGCCUCCUAUCAGGACUUGAUCUUUCUUGCAACAAGUUAAUCGGUCAUAUUCCUCCUCAAAUUGGAAAUUUGACAAGGAUUCAAACAUUGAAUCUAUCACACAACAACUUGACAGGAUUGAUCCCAUCAACAUUUUCAAACUUGAAGCAUAUCGAAAGUUUGGAUCUUUCCUACAACAAAUUGAAUAGAAAAAUCCCUCAUCAACUAGUGGAGUUAAAGACAUUGGAGGUUUUCAGUGUGGCAUACAAUAACUUAUCAGGCGAAAUUCCAGAAUGGAAAGCACAAUUUGCAACCUUCAACGAGAGUAGCUAUGAGGGAAAUACUUUUCUUUGUGGAUUGCCAUUGCCCAUUUGCAGAUCACCAGCAACUACGCCAAAGGCUUCAAUUGGCAAUGAAAGAGAUGAAAAUUUAAUUGACAUGGACAAUUUCUUUAUCACAUUUACAACAUCGUACGUAAUUGUAAUAUUCGGAAUUGUUAUUGUUUUAUAUGUAAAUCCUUAUUGGCGACGUAGAUGGUUUUACUUUGUUGAAAUGUGGAUAAUUUCAUGUUACUAUUUUGUUGUAAACAAUCUUAUUGCAACAAGAUAUUGUCAGUGAAAUUAAUUAGCAGUUUAAUUACGAUUCUUUAAGUUCUAAUCAAGUUUGCUUAGGAAAUAAAUUUAUUUUUAUUUUUUAUUAAAAUUGUAGUAGUAUUUAGCGCUAUAUAGCUUCCAACUUCCAAGCACUUCACAUUUGUCUCUACACUUCCAAACCCAUAUCUAUCCAACAUAACUUAUACUUCCCUAUACUGUGCAGCAUACUUAAAUAAGAGAAUCAUCUCCAAUGUUAAAACCAACCACUCUAUAACAUUCAUUUAGAAACUAUAUUUAGAAUAGUUUUAUAAUCAUACACAAGAAAUGAAACACCUAGAUGCACUUGAUCGCCUAUUUUACUUUAAAAAAUAAUGAUUAUGGUGCUAUCAUCAUCUUCUUCACUAGCAACAUUAACACCAAAUCCAGCGAUGGACCCAGACAUUUAAUCAAGAAAGGUAUAUAUAUAAUAAAGUUGAAGCUUGACAAAAAAUUCAGGAAGAUUAAUGCAUCGCCACAACAAGAGGCACAACAGCAUCAAAGUAGAGAUGAAGCAAUAUUCUCAAAGCUAAAACUCUCAAAUCCACCCACCAGAAUUUCAUAUCUCCUCAACAAUUUUAAGAACUAAAGAUAAUUAGGAUCUAACAUUAGUUUUUUAUAUAUUAGUUUCAUAAUUUACAAAUCAAUGAAGAUGAAGAUUAUGCUAAUGAAUUCAAAUUAUACCAUACAUUCUCGAGAUGUUACCAAAAAUUUCUAAGUCAAUCCCACAUAUUUCAUAAUUUUAAGACUAGAAAAUUUCAUUAGUUAGAAGUUUCAUUACCUUCAAGUGGAAGAUGAAGAACAUUAUACAAUUGAUUCAGAUUAUAUCAUACAUACUCCAAAUGCAACUAGAAAUUAACAAGUUCAUGCACACAGAUUUCAUAACAUUAUGAUUGGAAAGUUUCGCAAAGAGAAAUUCUAAAUUCAAUCUCUUGCAUCAAGGUAGUUUGAUUGAUUUGAGUUACUUUCAAGUCAGGGAGAAAGUAAAUUAAAACAGGGAAAAAAUAACAGUAAAAAUUUGUUGCUAAACAUGAUGUGUAUUUUUUUUUUAAGGCAAUUUGGAAACACAGUUGUUACUACAGAUAUUCUCAACUUAGAGAUAACUACAAAUAUUAAAAUGCAUAUGAUCGCACAUAUUACUUGGAGCUUAGUAGGAUUUCAUUAAGAGAAGCAAUCAAACCACUUAUCAAUUGUUGCAAUCGUUCUAUAAGCUAAAAUAGCAAUAUAAUACAAGAAAAAGAACAUAUAGAUACUUGGCAAGAGUUCAUUAAGAAGUCGCAUCACAUUCGGGUGAGUUUGCUUCUGAUAUCUUGCUAGCUGGGGCUUUUUCUUGUCUUUCUGCGUAUGCCGAAGGAAACCAACCAGCUUGGCCCUUGCAUUCACC
Molecule: long non-coding RNA, 89110 nt
Filed under: Citrus maxima (pomelo)
Lineage: Eukaryota; Viridiplantae; Streptophyta; Magnoliopsida; Sapindales; Rutaceae
Description: long non-coding RNA (CMAX_LNC001472)
Source: RNAcentral